This 110308-nucleotide long non-coding RNA is filed under the name Brassica napus (rape). RNAcentral's name for it is "long non-coding RNA (BNAP_LNC015874)". Lineage: Eukaryota; Viridiplantae; Streptophyta; Magnoliopsida; Brassicales; Brassicaceae. The record is from RNAcentral.
AGACAAAGCCAUCCUCGAUGCUUUCAGUCUUUUGCCAAAGAGAGGUUGGGUCAAUGUUCUUGUAUGUCAGCCAUCAGCUGUUGAGGAAGCAGAAUUCUCCUCUGAAGUUAAGCUUCCACCUUGGGGUAAAAUUGUAGACACUGCUUUUGCGAUUUGUGAAAAGAAGCAGAAAGAGAGAGAAGAUUUCAGAAAGAGAGCAGAAGAAAUACGAGCUUCUUAUCUAAAUGGAACAGCCGAAGUUAGCCGUAUCUUUGGUGAAUUCUGAAGAAAAAAUCAAACAAGCUUUCUCUCACUAUAUUGCUUCGUUUUUCUCUUGUGUCUUUCCUUUGAUUUUCUGUUGCUAAAACCAUGGACUUUAACUUAAAGCAAUAAAAAAACAAAAACUAUGGAUUUGGUUAUGUUAUUUUUUUCAUUCUCUAUGUCUCAUUUUGCUUUCAUAACUUUGGAUUUCACAACAUUAACGUGUCAGAUGUGGUGGGUUCUAGCUUUACUCAAUUUCUCCUGCACAUCAAAUGAAAUGCCAAAUUCAUCUCAAACGUGCAAAUCACUUUCUAAUAAGUAAUAACACACGGAAAUGUAGUUUUUACGUAUGUGUUUAAAUAUUGUGAUGAUCUUAGCUAAAUUAAAAGUGAAUUUGACUAGUGUUAUGGAAAUAGAUUAUUGAUCACCUAUGUAUCAUUGUGGCUGGUUGGUUAGAUUUUAUCUCAUUUCUUCAACUCUAUUUAUUUAUUGGUUGGUGUAUUUGAUGAAUUUGAAAAUUCAAACUAAAUUUAAUGUUAUUGGUUCUAUGAUUUUAAAAUGUGUAAUGAAAUUAUGUGUUAUUGGUUUAAUGAUUCAUAAAUUCUAAUUCAAAUCAAGUGUUAUUCAAUCAUACGGAUUUACUAAUAGAUUUGAUUUUAUAAUGGAUUUGAAUGGAUUUGCAUGGAUUUUUUUGUUAAAAAUACAAAGACUCAAAUCUGAAGGAAAACCUCCGGAUUUGUAAAAACUAAUCCGAGAGAAUUUGAAUAUUUGUAUAUUUUACUUGGAUUUAUAAAUACUGUAUGGAUUUCUAAAUCAAUCAAAAUAGGUGUUAUUGGUUUAUAUAUUUUGAUUGAUUUAGAAAUCCAUGUAGUAUUUAUAAAUUCAAGUAAAAUAUACAGAUUUUUAAAUUUUUUCAGAUUAGUAUUUACAAAUCCGGAGGUUUUCCCUCGGAUUUGAGUCUUUGUAUUUUUAACAAAAAAUUUCAAACAAAUCCAUUCAAUUCCAUUAUAAAAUAAAAUUUAUUAAUAAAUCCUCACGAUUGAAUAACACUUGAUUUGAUAUAGAAUUUAUGAAUCACUAACACUAGAUUUAGUUCGGAUUUUUCAAAUCCAUUAAAAUACAACAACCAAUAACCCCGUGUUUUUAGUUUUAAAGUUUAAAGCCUACACCAAAAUUUUAUUAUUUUUUUGCUAAUCAUGAUUUGACUUUAUUUACAAUAGAAAAAGCAGUGUUUUGAAACCUGACCCGGACCCGCGGUUGAACCGGUAAACCCGGUGACUCAGAAAAAAUCCGGUUUGGGUUUUGUGAAAUACCCAAAAUUUAGAAACCCGCAAAAACCCGUAAAAACCCAGUAAAACCCGGAACCCGAUACCGGUUGAACCAAUAAAUAACUUUAACUUCUUUUUUUAGUUUUUAAUUAUGUUUUUAGAUUAUGUUUUAUAUUAUAAAUUUCCAAUUAAGAAAUUAGGUGAUGAUUAAAAAAAAGUUAGGUUUUCCCUUUUCAAUUUUAUAUUUGUAAUUUUUAGAUUUUGAUGAAGAUUUCACUAUGCCACCUGAAGAAAAUGAAAUGAACGAUGGUAUAGAGAACCAAAAUUAGUUGAUGUGAUUUGGUGUUAGUUUAUUUUCGUUAUUGACAAUUUAUUACAAUGAUCUUUUACUUUUGGUUUAUUUUGUAUUUGAAGUUUAAUUUAUUAUUCACAUUACACAUUUAAAUAUUUAAAAAUUUUAUGUCUUGAUUUUUUUAGAUGUCAUACAUCUUACCUUGUUAGAGAAAAUUUUAAAUAGUUUAAACUAUUUUUUUGAUAUUUUGUAUGUCAAAUGGAAAUAAAAAUAUAAAAACUAAAGUUAAGUAUUUUCUAAAUGUUUUUAAACAUAAAAUAGAUACAUAUCCAAACUAUUAUUUUACUUUCUUAAAAAACAUUUACAAAAUAUUAAACUUUAGUUUCUAUAUUUUUAUUUACAUAGCUGAUAUAUUAUUAUAUAAUAAAAUUAAUUUAUUUAUUAACCUGCGGUUCACCCGCGGUCGACCCAGUGACCCAGCAACCCAGUAAAUCGUCCGGUUCAGUGUUCGGGUCGGGUUUAAAAACAUUGAAAAAAGGUAAAGAAAAACUCUUUUUCUAAAUUAUUCAAAAAUCCAUCAUCUUAAUUAUUUAGGUUAUACCAUCUGUAAAAGAAAAAAUCAUGUAUGAUAUCAAAUAAACUAGAUAAUCGUAGCUAAAAUUUAUUAUUAUUUAAAUAUUAAUUUUUACUAUAUUUUAAAAUGUAUACACUAAUUUUAUUUGAUUCUGAAUAUAAAAUAUUAAAUAUUUAAAUAACAUAAAUGUCAUUUUUAUAUUAUAUUAAACAAUAAAAUAAAUUUGAUAAUUUAUAUUCUGAAAUAUCAGUCCGUUAUCUUAACCAAAUAAGACAAUAAUCUAGAAAAAAACAAGGUUAUUCAUUAUUACUAAUUAAUUUCUUUACAAGACAUUACUUGUAUUUUGAUUAGCAUCUUAAUGUCUUCAGCAACAAGCAAAUAGCUAUUCGUAUUGGCUUUCUUCGGAUUAAAAAAAGGUUUUAUUUUUUUUUUCCUUUUUUUGUAACUAAUUUUGGGAAAAUUGUCAAAUAUGACCUAGAACUUGAUUUUAAAUACAAAAGUAUAUCUCAACUUCAAUCUAAUGCAAAACUCAAAAGACUAGUGAAAAUACAAACAACCUUUUAUGACCAAACAAAUAACCAGGAUGCAUUUUUACGAAUAUAACCCUAAAAGUAUUUUGUGGGUUUUGUAAAUCUUCUCAUAUUGUAUAUCUUAAAUAUAAUUUAUAUAUUUUAUAAAAAAAAUAUUUUAUGGAGAAAAAAACUGAAAUCACGUAGUUAUAAACAUUUGUAAAUGAUAUAAUCAAGAUAUAGUAAAAUUGAAUUGUUUUCAACAUAGAUGAGUGAAUGUAGCGAGUCAUAGUAUUCUUUGGUUUAGGGUUUAGUAACAUAUGUGUAGUAUUGUUUGUAUUUUUAGGAUUAGAUUUUAGAACCUUAACAUUUUUUUUGAAAAAUUAAAGUUUGACAUAUAUGUAUUUAGUUAUGUGUAUACACUUUUAAUGUUGAUUUUAAAUUUAAUAAAGUAUUUGUUUCGAUUUAGUUAGUUAUUUGAAUAUAGUGUUAAUAUUUAGGGGAUAUAAGACAUCCACGAAGUCUUCUAAUAAGUCUUCUAAUAUAAAACUUUCCUGAAAGUUUUCUGAAUCGAAAAUAUUUAACCUAAAUGAAAAUUUUUGUCUCUAUAUAUAAAAAGAUCUCUCUAUUUCUCUCAAAUGGCUGUAACAAAAAUAUAAUGGAUCUGACUCUAAAACUCUCCAACAUCUCACUAAUCUCUUUGAAUUUGAAAACACCGAACUUUAUAUCAAUUUCUCAUUCUUAGUCUCAUGAAUUUCUCACUAAUUUAUCUUGUUUUUGUAGGUUUCUUACAUGGUUCUCAUUAUCCACUCUUUUAAAGGUAGAUCUACAAGUUUUGAAUAUGUAUUUUUAUGUGUUCUAUAACGGUAGAUCUAUCUCAUAUUCCACUCAUUUUCUUUGUUUUAAAGCCAUUUUAACGUUUUUGGAUAUACAGGUUUUCGUAUCUAAGUCAAACUUUGGAAGACUUCUAACAUAUAAUGAACUAGAAGACUUUCUGGAGGAGUUUUCUCCCAUGUCUCUUCUUUCGUAACAAGUGUUUUGGUAAGUAUUUAUGUUUGAUUUUUCUUCAUUUGGUAACAUUUUAUUGCUUAAAGUUUUUACCUUUUUCCUAAACUAAAACUCACUAAUCUCUCUCCAGCCUCUUUGAACUUGAAAACACCAAACUUUUUAUCAAUUUUUUAUUUUUUGUCACAUGUUUUUCUCACUAAUUUAUCUUGUGUUUUAUUACAUGGUUCUCAUCUUCCUCUCGUUUAAAGGUAGAUUCAUAAAAUUUGGAUAUAUAUUUUUGUGUGCUCUAUAAAGGUAGAUCUAUCUAAUCUUCCAUUUAUUUUGUCUGUUUUGAAGCCAUAUGAACGGUUUUGGAGAUGCAGGUUUUUCAGAUUUUAGUCAGAUUUAGGAAGUAUUCUCGGAAAUCUUCUAAAAUAUAAUGCGCUAGAAGAAUUCUUAGAAUCUUCAGAAAUACAAUGCACGGAGUUUUCUCUCUCAUAACAGAUAUGAGCGUUUUGGUAAGUCUACAUAUUUGAUUUGCCUCAUUUGGUAACCUCUUGGUGCUUAAAGCUCUUACUUUUUUUCCCAAACCAAAACUCUCAAACCUUUCUCUAAUCUCUUAAAAACACCAAACUUUAUAUCAAAUUCUCAGUUUUUGGUCGUUACCUAUCUGAUCUUGACGUCUUAACCUCAAAUGAUUUAGUUUUAAAACAAACAGUACAUUUUGAUCUGCAAUUCAAAGCAUGAGUUUAUUUUUGAAAGACCAAAUUUAUUUGUGUAUAUAUAUAUCUACAUUUAAAUGUUAUAAGAAUACUAUGUGUGCAAAUUAUUAUAUAUUUAAUGUUCUAAUGGAGAUUUUAAUUAUAGCAUAUGUAAUCAUGUUUCAGAAUAAUACAUAAAUAUAUGUAAUAGGGUUUAAAAUGAAACCAUGAUAUUUUUCUUGCAUUAAUCAGCAUUUUGUGUUAUUAACGUUAUUAGUUAAUAUUACCCGACCCAAAAAACCUACACUACAUUUACUCGAAACCGACCUGAAAAUCAGGGUCCUUAUCCCGAUUAAGACACAAUCUAUAUAUUCGGAGAGGUCUUAAAUUGCUAUAUCCAAAAUGGAUAUUGAAUCAGACCCGCACCAAAAAUUGAAUGAGUAUUUGAACAUAUAAAUGUAUAUAAAAUAUUAGUUGUAAUUAUACUUAUAAUAAUAUUACCUAAAAUUAGAAUUAUAAAUAAAAUAUGUUAGUUAUUCUAGGAAUUUAUAGAUAAACAUGGAUGUUUUGGACACAAAAAAAAAAAAAAACAUGUUGUAGCUCCUAGAUUUUGGGCUGAGGCUGCAUCAACUGCAGUAUAUUUGAUAAAUAGAUCGCCAAAUUCCUCAGUAAAUUUCAGACUACCUGAGGAAAUCUGGUCAGGAGUUAAACCAGAUUUGAGCAAUCUGAAGAGAUUCCAUAUAUAAUGAACAUUUUUAAGUAUUCUUAGUUUUUUUUUUGAAUACGUCUGGGUAAUUUGAAUAAAAGAAUACUCAAUCGAAUUGAGUAAAUUGGUUAUCUAAACUAUUAAAACUGAAGUACAAAUUUAAAAUAACCCUGACUUUUCCUAAAAAAUUACAAUCUCAUGCCACUGAGUAAUUAAGAUGUAUUUAUUUAAAAUAAUAUAUAAAUUAAUUAUUUUGCUGAACCAUUUCCUAAUCUACGCAAACUAUACCAGUAUGGUUCGUUGGACUUGGUCCAUAUAUAUCAAAACUAUGAGUUUAACUAUCCAACACAUGGCCUAACUCUGAACACAUAAAUAUUGAUAGUGCUCAUAUUAUAAAUCGUACUAUGAAUUUUUUUUUUUUUAAAUCCAAGACCUCGGAUUAUAGUAUCCAUUAUUGAUAGUGCUCAUAUUAUAUAUCGUACUAGGAAUUUUUUUAUAAUAAAUCCAAGACCUAGCAUUAUACAGUAGUAUCCAUUUUUUGGCAUAUAGAGUAAUUGGUUUAAUCUUUAAAUACAUGUCGUACUUGCAACAAUCUAUCAAACCGGUUUAAUAUAGUUUGUUACAACGUUGACCACAUAUUAUAGUAUCGAUUUGGUGGCAUACGAAGUCAUUGGUUUAGUAAUUGCAAACAAAUUGUUUUCACAACAAACUUGGUCUUGGUGUACAAUUCAAAAAUCAAUUUGUAUACCGAAAUAUCUAUCAAAAUUAGUUACGAAAAUCUAAACUUAACAAUAUUGAUCAACGAAUAAAAAAAAAAACCCAAAACGAGAUGAUUAUAGAAACUCAAUAUAUAUACAUACCUACCACGCACGUAUUAAAAGAUUUCCUAAUAACAAUAAAAAUAUUUUAAAUAUUAUAGGUUGUUCACAAAAAUCUCUAACAUAUUAACUAAUUUACUUAUCUACACCUAAAAUCAAGCAUAUAUAUUUUCCGUGAUACACUCUGUUUUAACGUUCUACCUUUUUAAAUACUUUAUAAAAUUUAUUUCCAAUUAUAAACUUUUAAAAAGAAUAUUCAAAAGUAUAAAAUCCCUACAAUCAAUGAAAGUUUAAAUAUGAAAUUAAUUAGCUCACUAACCAUGCCAUCGUCCUAUACAUAUACAUUUUUUACCAUCUACUAUUUUUUGCAUUCAAAACACGCAAUUAACAUAAAAAAGGCCACUAAUCGAGGUUUUCAUCUUCUUAAGGAAGCAAUUACUGAAGAGCGUACCAGUGAUCAUAUGAUUCUAUGUUUGAUUAGGUUUGCUAAAAUCAGCUCUUACAAAAGUAUUAAAAAUUCUUUUAGUUUCUGUGAACAAAAUUCCACUUAACAAGUGAAAACUCAACAUUACGUUUUCUUUAUGGGAAAUAGGAGAUGUACAAAUCACAAAUGCAGUUGAUGCUUCAGUUGUGACUCUCAACCCAACCAUGAAAGAAGCUAUUGACUUUCAUCUUAAUCUCAUGGACUAACAAAAUCUUGAAAAUAUUUUGUUUUAAUUACAGAAUGAUAAACGAUGAUCUUCCUAUUGCUCUUUGUGAGAGAAAUAGUGACAAGAAGUUGAUUAAGCAUCAAGAUGAAGAUUGGAAUGAGACUCAAGUCAGACCCAUCUCUGAAAUUUUGGCGGCAGUCGAGGUAAAAUUUCAAUAUUUUGAGAUAUUUUACAGCGGGCUUAUUGUGAUUAGAUGAUUUACAUAUUGUGUCCGUGAGUACAUAUAGACCGGUUGAAAUUUGAGAAAACAACCAUGGAAUUGUGAAUUCUGUCAUGCAUGUUUUAAUUAUCCAAAUUUUGUUUAUAUAGUUAGAUAUUGCACUUCUAACAUGUCCAAAAUGUAUAAGUGUAAAAAUUAUUAUUAAUAAAAUAUUUUUAACUGAUUUAAAAUUUUACCCAAAACAUCAUAAAAUUAAUAAUACGUUUAAAUCAUAUAAUAAUAUAUGAAAGAAAUGUUAAUAUAAAUCUGACAGGACAUGAUACAUUUAACACAUGGAUCCAAUUAUUAUUUGUAUAACUACAUAACAUCAUACAGUAUUGCAAUAUAUGGUCUCAACAAUAAAAUAAACUAAAUUAGUGAAAAUGCAACAAUUAAAUUAUUAUGUUUUAAAAUGUUUAUAUAUAUUCUAAAAGAAACAUCCGCACGGGUGUGCGGGUCAAGCUCUAGUUUUUCUUAAAAGUAUCCAAACCGAACCGGAUAUCCAGAAAUUUUAUGGUUCGUUUACAUGAGAACAAUAUCCAUCCUGACCAAGAGGAUUCGACCCGAACUCAGUCCAGUUUUCGUAAUAUCUGAAUGAGAUCUCUUUCAAAAUCCAAGAUGGCGGCAAUUAUUUGAAGGUUUUUGUUCUUUUUUUUUGAAGGAGUUAUUGUGUAAAUUAUUCAGUUGGGGGGUUUUUGUGAUUUGAAUUUAUUUGAUUUGAUUUUUAGUAAUUAAUUUUGAGGGAUUUUUCUCUCAAAUCUGUCGAUGAAUCUGGGGAAAAACCUUUCAGGUCUUCCCAUGGUCAACUAUUUUCCCUAUUUUUGUAACUUUUUCUUCAUUUUCUUUGGGGUGUACCUGUAAAUAUUUUUGUUUGUGUAAAUAUAAAAUGUGAUUGCUAAUUACCUUUUUGCUUAACCGUAUUCUGCUGUGAUGAUUACUGAUUAGUUUUAAAACUAACACAUACUACUUACAUAUGUUGCAAUACCUCUUUAAUCUUUAUUACAAGUUCUCAUAAUUAUGAUUAUUAAUAAUUGUGAUUGAUAGGGCAAUCUAGUGACGUAAUAACCGAUUUAUGUAAGGUAACUGAAUGGCAACUUCAUCCUCGAAUUUGAUAAAUUUGUUUCUAACGGAAGAAAAAUAAAUCUAAUAAUUAUCGAAGUCUCAGAAUAGCUCAUGGAGAUAUUAGGUUCAUCAUGUGAUGUACAUUUUAGAAGUUUAGUCAUGAAAUGUUACAUAUUCAGUAUAUUUAAAUAAGAUCAUAUACAAACAUAGAUAUAAAAAAAGAACUUUACAUACAUUAGAUGAUUACAAAUUUAAUAAUUCAACAAUGAGUAAAGCUUGUCCACAAAAACACUACAAAAUUUCAUUUUUUUUCUACUAAAAUGUAUUCACUAUAUCUAUAUGGCACAUAUAUCUAAUUGUGCAAUAAAUAAUUUUCUAAAAUUACCUACUCACUUUGUAAUAUUUAUGUAAAAUAAAUAAAUUGGUUAAGCAGCAGGGAAAGGGAACGAUCAUGAUUUUGGCAAAAGUGUAUGGGCUUUUUGUAAAUAUGACUUAUAACUUAAAGUCAAACACAAAACUAACCAAUGACUUUUUUUUUUAAUUUUAACUUGUUUUAUUCAUUCCAAAAGUUCGGAUUAUUCACAAAGAUAUCAUUACUUUUUCUAAAAUGAGUAUUUUACUCUAUCAUCCUCAUCUUCAUCAAUUAUUUACAAUAUUGUUAUUGCCAUCAAUACACCAAACACAUUGAACAACCAAUUUGAAUCUCUUAAUGCACCUAAAAUUCGAUUUUGACUUCUUCUAUCUCAUUUCUUAUGAACUAAAAAAAACAACUCUUUCACUUUCUUUCUAUAUUCAUCCAAAAAACCGAAGACUAUGAUUCUAAAAAUUUUAAGGUUCAUAGAGCCAUUCAAGCUCAUGACUCUUGGUCAUUAAUGUGGGCCGCUUUGGUGGUGAUGUUUUGUGUGGUUAGAGAAUGUAAACAAGUUAUCUCACUGGUUGAAACUAUGAAAUCAUUUUUUUUCCAGAUCUGUCCGUCACGUAGAGAGAAGACUUACACAGAAGUCUUUUGGUCAAUGCAUAGGUUAGUUUUGCAAUUGAAUUUAUGUGUCUUUGAUAAAAUGCUUCUCUGGAAGUCUUCCUUUUUUUUGCUUUCAAAUUUUUUUCGAAAAUACCAGAAAAGAUUCUCCAGUAAAUCGUCUAGGAUAAACAUGUUAAUUUUGCAUUUGAUCAGAUUGUGUCAGAAAUUUAACUUUUCCUAGACGACUUACAAGGAAGUCGUCCAACAGAAAAAUAAAACUUAAAUAUUUAAUUUUCACAAGAUGACUUUCAAGUAAGUCGUUUUAGGUUACUUUUGCAAUUGAAAAAUAAAACUUAAAAUAUUUAAUUUUAUCUGGACGACUUCCAUGUAUGUCUUCCGGUAGACAACUUAGACGGAAGUCUUCCAGGAUUUUAUUCUGAGAUUUUGGUCAAAUCUUGGUUAUUACAGAAAACCUGUCUUUUGAAAACAAAAAAACUAAUAAGCUACUUUGCCAGGACUUGAACAAAUCAAAAGUUUUUAAAAAUUGUCAUGGCUUCACACUAUUCCUUUUCAUUGUUUCAAUUUUUUUUUAAACACACUAUUUAAAUUGAGUUUAUUAUAAAUAAGAGUUCCUCAUUUAUUGACCGUUACUCAAUAAAUAAAUAUUGAUAAAAACCCAUACAAUGAUCUCAUUAUUUUUUUGUAUAAAUUUUGAUUGUGUAACUAAAUCUAAAGUUGUAAAACGUAUACACCCUUGAUAUAAAAGUAAAUGCUCACACAACUCUCUCAAUUUUUUUUUAAAAAAUUAUCAUGUCAUUCUUUUACUUUUAUUAUUUUCAUAUUUUUUUCAAGGGCAAAGAAAAAAAUAAACUAUGAUCCUCAAAUGAAGAUUUUGUAUUUUUACAUCAAUCAUUCCAUUAAAAGUAUACAUAUACAAAUAAAUAACAAUAUAUCUAUGUACAACUAAACAAGGAAAAAAAAACGCAAAGCUAACCGCAAAACUAAUUCAAAAGAAUGUAGGCACGGGUCGACGAUCUAUUUCCACAUCAGAACUUUCAUAUAGCAUCAGAUCCUCACCAAACUAUGACCUAAUGUUAGAUCUCUCUGAAUUGAAAGUUGUAAGCUUAUAUUUCACCAAAUUGAAAAUUACGAACUUAUUUCUCCAUUAAUCGAUAGUUCAAAACUUAAUUAUCCAUAGACCAAGGUUUGAACCAAUAUAUUAUUAACCAAACAAUUUUUAACCGGUUAAAAUUAAUUAAACCAAAUAAAUACAAUUCUAAAUAAAAACCAGACCCAUAAACAACCCGGUUUCUUUCUUCUUCACCCGGCUCGAUUUUGUUUCCUUCUUCUUUAGCCGAAACAGAAAAAAACAAGAAUAAUAAUUUAACUGCACAAUAACUCAGUUUUUUUCCCUUCGAAUCUAAGCCAAUCCAAUCUAUAAAUGGAAUUAGCUCCUGUAAUAGAUACAUCAGCACAGACGAGGAUAUGCUUCACGUUCCUGAUCUAAAAAAAAUACAUGAUUAAUCAAAAAUGAAAAAAAUGGUGGAUGAAGAACAGAAGAUAGAGUUCGUGAUUCGUGAAUCACAUAUUCCAGAUUUGAGGAGAAUCUUCGAGCUUUAGUUUUGCAAUUUGAGCUAACAACAAGAGGUUGAAAGAAAUGUGAGCCAGGUGAAAAAGAAACAAAUCGGGUCGGAUUGUUUUUGGGUUGGGUUUUUAAUUUAAAAUUGGUUUUAUUUGGUUUAAUUAACUUAAACUGCUUUAAAAUUGUUUGGUUAAUAAUAAAUAGGGUAAAACCAGAGCCCAUGGAUAAUUAAGUUAUAUGAACUAUCGAUUAAUGGAGAAAUAACUUUGUAACUUUUAAUUAGAGAAAAAUAAUCAACAACUUUGAGUUCAUGCAUGUCAUAGUUUGUUAAAAAUUUGAUGCUACAUGAUAGUUUUGAUGGGGAAAUAGAUCGUCGACCCAAUGGACACGAUAUAAUACUCCUAUUUAGUAAAGAUAUACAAAACAGUAGAAGUAAUUGAAGCGCGCGAAAUUUAAUCAAAAGUAUCUGCGUUCUCCCCACGUCGUGUUCCUCACUCCGUUAAACCGCUCUCCACGUCAUCAUCGCUAUUCGCUAGCGACUUCUUAAAUUCAACACACGCUCAUGGGCCCCAUGAAAGCCAACAACUAAUCACAAUCCUUGUUUUUUUCGUAAGCUUGAAACACGGAACUGGGCCCUACUGUUCUCACCUGUCCACAGCGUAAACGCCGCACGUCAAUCUUCUACCAACAAAUCCGGUAUUCUCCCCGAUGUAAACCGCGUCAUCCCACCUAAACCGGGUAAUACCGGUUCCUCACCGUCAAUAUAUUUCCUCGAACCGGUACUCAUCCUCGGCGGCGAAGAUUUUUCAUCUUCUUCCGGCGGAAGCUGCCCUCUGAUAUCGCUCGACCUUCUCGACGGAGCAAUGGCUUCCUUAUACGGCGCGUGUACUCCACUCGCCGUUAGGCUUUUGCAACCGCCACCGGUUCUGAAAAUAGCUCGGACGCUCGCGAAAAACCCGGGUUUCUUAACCAUAACCGGUUUAUCCUUAAGCGAAUCGGUUCGAACGGAUUUAUGUCUCUGCAUUUUGACGGCUACGGUCUCGUUUCGAUCUCACUCUCCCAAUGCAAGAGACCUUCGGAGAACCAGGCUCCGACAACGAAGGAUCCGAUUUCAACAGCGACCCGAACCGUUUCGGGAUCAUCAGAGUCUUCGCGAUUCUGCAGUUACGCCGCUUCUUCACUUCGUUGAAACACGUCUUCUGCGGUUUCGGUAAUCUGAUCACCGACGUUUUGGAUUUGAGAGAGAUCAUCUGAGAGCUCGAGUUUGUAUUCGUGCUCUGAGCAGGAAAACAGUUUCCUUUCUGUGAUUCUUUCCGCUCGAAGAAGGCGUUCUCGUUGAACCACUCGAGCUGUGCUUCUUUGGAUAAGGAGUAAGACUCCGGUGGAAAAUCGAUCGGACUCGCGGCGGAGUCGGAAACGGGUCGGACCAUCGAGUCAUUAACUGAGUCGUCGUUGUCGGAGACACUCGUGGGAGCUAAGUGACUCGGCCCAAACCCAUACUAUCCAGCCCGCUACAAGCAACAGGUCAAAAGCAACAGAAUAGAUUGAUGGGCUACGGUACACAAAGGCCCACUCUCAAACGUAGAGAACAAGUCGAAGGAGCAUGUCAUAUAAAUACAUGUUGUAGCUCCUAGGGUUCUCUCACGUUUUAUUUCUUGUUGUUGUUGGCUGCAGCUCUGUCUUGAGAUUGUGCUUGAACACCUGAGAUUGAGACAUAGCAGAGAUAGAUCGAUUAGUGCUUGUAAACUCCUAUUUGAUUCUAGUGAAAUUUGUGGGUAAGAGAUCCCACACGAGACGUACUGGUCGAGGCCAGGAACUCGUUAAAUCGCUUGUGUACUAGACUAGGUUAAUCUGACUAGCUCAAAACGAUCAAUCUAUAUCCUUCACAAGUGGUAUCAGAGCGCUGGUUAAGAGCAGAUCAAAAGUCUACAAGAAGAGUUUGAUAAAGUUCCAGUUACUAGACAAGUCAAAAGGAGAGAAGGCAAGUUUGAUACUUAUCUUUUUGCGAGAAGUAAGAAAGUCCGGAUCACACGUUCUGAGUUCUGAAGGUCCUUGAAUUGUUACCUGAAAUAAAACAAGAUCAAGACAAGUCAAACAUGGAACCAGUAUCUGGAAAAUUUGUAGUUGAAAAAUUUGAUGGUAAAGGAGAUUUUGGUUUGUGGAAACACAAGAUCUUAUGUCAACUAGAAUUAAUGGGACUUGACUCGGUUCUAACUGACGAUGAGGUUUCUACAUCAGAUUCAACUAAGGCUGAAGAUGAGGAGGAUGAAUCUACUAAUAAGGGUAAUGAAAAAGAGUCUAAGCCAGAUCCAAAGGCUGCUGAGAAGAACAGGCGGGUGAGAAGUCUCCUGACUAUGAGCCUUGGGGAUAAGAUUCUUAGGAAAGUAAUGAAGGAGAAGACAGCUCUUGAUAUGUGGAAGGCUUUGGAGAGAAGCUAUCAAACCAAGUCUUUGCCAAACCGAAUCUAUAUGAAGCAGAGAUUCUAUAGUUUCAAGAUGGAGGAAAGCAAGAGCUUAGAUGAGAAUAUGAAAGAUGGAAUGAUUCAGUUCUAUAAAGGAGAUCAGAAGGUGCUUGUUGGAAAAUACAAGGAUGGUUUGUAUUACUUGGAUGGAAUAGUUUCAAAGUCAGAAGUUGUAGAGGCUAAACUCGACACUAAUUUGACGAAAGUGUGGCACUCUAGACUUGGUCAUAUGAGUCAGAAGAAUAUGGACGUGUUGGUAAAAGAAGGAUACUUAACUAAGAAGGAUAUUCAGACUCUGAGUUUUUGUGAGAACUGUGUUUUUGGAAAAGCUCAUAAACUAAGCUUCCCAAAAGGAAAACACACGUCAAAAGAGACACUAGAGUAUAUACACUCUGAUCUUUGGGGAUCGCCAUCAGUAACACCAAGCUUAGCAGGCUGUCAGUACUUCAUCACCUUCAUUGAUGACUAUUCUCGAAAGGUGUGGAUAUUCUUCUUAAAGACAAAGGAUGGUGCUUUUCAAAGGUUUAAAGAAUGGAAGGCAAGCGUUGAAAAUCAGUCUAAGAAAAGUAUUAAGUACUUAAGGACUGACAAUGGACUAGAGUAUUGUAAUUCACAGUUCGACACUCUAUCCAAGGAAGCUGGCAUUAAGCGACAUAAGACAUGCACGUACACACCACAACCAAAUGGUGUGUCAGAGAGAAUGAACAGAACCAUUAUGGAAAAAGUUAGGUGCAUGCUGUCUGAAAGUGGAAUGGAGGAAAUAUUUUGGACUGAGGCUGCAUCAACUGCAGUAUAUUUGAUAAAUAGAUCGCCAAAUUCCUCAGUAAAUUUUAGACUACCUGAGGAAAUCUGGUCAGGAGUUAAACCAGAUUUGAGCAAUCUGAAGAGAUUCGGAUGUACAGCCUAUGUACACGUGAGAGAAAGCAAGACAAACCCUAGAGCAGUGAAAGCCAGCUUUGUGGGAUUUCCUCAAGGAACUAAAGGUCUUAGAACCUGGUUGCCUGAAGAAGAAAGAUGUACCAUAAGUCGGAAUGUGAUAUUUAAUGAGGACGAGAUGUUCAGAGACUUGUGUGAUAUCCAAGCAAGAGACCUUCGGAGAACCAGGCUCCGACAACGAAGGAUCCGAUUUCAACAGCGACCCGAACCGUUUCGGGAUCAUCAGAGUCUUCGCGAUUCUGCAGUUACGCCGCUUCUUCACUUCGUUGAAACACGUCUUCUGCGGUUUCGGUAAUCUGAUCACCGACGUUUUGAAUUUGAGAGAGAUCAUCUGAGAGCUCGAGUUUGUAUUCGUGCUCUGAGCAGGAAAACAGUUUCCUUUCUGUGAUUCUUUCCGCUCGAAGAAGGCGUUCUCGUUGAACCACUCGAGCUGUGCUUCUUUGGAUAAGGAGUAAGACUCCGGUGGAAAAUCGAUCGGACUCGCGGCGGAGUCGGAAACGGGUCGGACCAUCGAGUCAUUAACUGAGUCGUCGUUGUCGGAGACACUCGUGGGAGCUAAGUGACUCGGCCCAAACCCAUACUAUCCAGCCCGCUACAAGCAACAGGUCAAAAGCAACAGAAUAGAUUGAUGGGGUACGGUACACAAAGGCCCACUCUCAAACGCAGAGAACAAGUCGAAGGAGCAUGUCAUAUAAAUACAUGUUGUAGCUCCUAUGGUUCUCUCACGUUUUAUUUCUUGUUGUUGUUGGCUGCAGCUCUGUCUUGAGAUUGUGCUUGAACACCUGAGAUUGAGACAUAGCAGAGAUAGAUCGAUUAGUGCUUGUAAACUCCUAUUUGAUUCUAGUGAAAUUUGUGGGUAAGAGAUCCCACACGAGACGUACUGGUCGAGGCCAGGAACUCGUUAAAUCGCUUGUGUACUAGACUAGGUUAAUCUGACUAGCUCAAAACGAUCAAUCUAUAUCCUUCACAAGUGGUAUCAGAGCGCUGGUUAAGAGCAGAUCAGAAGUCUACAAGCAGGGUUUGAUAAAGUUCCAGUUACUAGACAAGUCAAAAGGAGAGAAGGCAAGUUUGAUACUUAUCUUUUUGCGAGAAGUAAGAAAGUCCGGAUCACACGUUCUGAGUUCUGAAGGUCCUUGAAUUGUUACCUGAAAUAAAACAAGAUCAAGACAAGUCAAACAUGGAACCAGUAUCUGGAAAAUUUGUAGUUGAAAAAUUUGAUGGUAAAGGAGAUUUUGGUUUGUGGAAACACAAGAUCUUAUGUCAACUAGAAUUAAUGGGACUUGACUCGGUUCUAACUGACGAUGAGGUUUCUACAUCAGAUUCAACUAAGGCUGAAGAUGAGGAGGAUGAAUCUACUAAUAAGGGUAAUGAAAAAGAGUCUAAGCCAGAUCCAAAGGCUGCUGAGAAGAACAUGAGGGUGAGAAGUCUCCUGACUAUGAGCCUUGGGGAUAAGAUUCUUAGGAAAGUAUUGAAGGAGAAGACAGCUCUUGAUAUGUGGAAGGCUUUGGAGAGAAGCUAUCAAACCAAGUCUUUGCCAAACCGAAUCUAUAUGAAGCAGGGAUUCUAUAGUUUCAAGAUGGAGGAAAGCAAGAGCUUAGAUGAGAAUAUCGAUGUUUUCUUGAAGCUAGUCUCAGACCUAGCAAGCGUCCAGGUUAAUAUCUCAGAAGAAGAUCAAGCGAUCUUCUUGCUUAACAGUCUGCCUAAGGCGUAUGAGCAGAUGGCUCACUCCCUGAAAUACGGAAAGGGAAAAGACACCAUCACUGUUGAAGAAGUAACUGAAUCUGCAUACUCUAAAGAAGUUGAGUUAAAGGAAGCAGGACAGUUAAACAAGGCCAAGACAGCAUCUGAAGGUCUAUUCGUAGGACAAAGAGGAAGGUCUGAUAGGAGGUCUAACAGUGGCUAUGCAAAAGGCAGAUCAAAGAGUAGAGGAAAAUCCCAAUCAAAGUUUAAGAAGAAGGGAUGUUUCUCAUGUGGCAAAGAUGGACACUGGAAGAGAGAUUGCCCAGAUCGUCAAGGCCCAAAGGUGGAGGAUUCUGCAAAUGUAGUCACAGAAUUCAAGGAGCCGUUGAUACUCACUGCAAGCGUUCAACAUGUAAAAGAUGAAUGGGUGUUGGAUUCAGGAGCGAGCUUUCACAUUACUCCAAACAAAGAACUACUAUUCGACUUAGAAGAGUUCAAGGGAGGUAAGGUGUUUAUGGGAAACAACACUCAAUGUGAUGUUCAAGGCAUGGGGAAGAUCAAGGUUCUGAAUUCAGACGGCUCAGUGAUUAUUCUCUCAGAAGUCAGGUAUAUGCCAUCUAUGAGUCGAAACUUGAUCUCAUAUGGGUGUUUGGAUAAAGCUGGAUGUCAUUACGAAGGAAAGGAUGGAAUGAUUCAGUUCUAUAAAGGAGAUCAGAAGGUGCUUGUUGGAAAAUACAAGGAUGGUUUGUAUUACUUGGAUGGAGUAGUUUCAAAGUCAGAAGUUGUAGAGGCUAAACUCGACACUAAUUUGACGAAAGUGUGGCACUCUAGACUUGGUCAUAUGAGUCAGAAGAAUAUGGACGUGUUGGUAAAAGAAGGAUACUUAACUAAGAAGGAUAUUCAGACUCUGAGUUUUUGUGAGAACUGUGUUUUUGGAAAAGCUCAUAAACUAAGCUUCCCAAAAGGAAAACACACGUCAAAGGAGACACUAGAGUAUAUACACUCUGAUCUUUGGGGAUCGCCAUCAGUAACACCAAGCUUAGCAGGCUGUCAGUACUUCAUCACCUUCAUUGAUGACUAUUCUCGAAAGGUGUGGAUAUUCUUCUUAAAGACAAAGGAUGGGGCUUUUCAAAGGUUUAAAGAAUGGAAGGCAAGCGUUGAAAAUCAGACUAAGAAGAGUAUUAAGUGCUUAAGGACUGACAAUGGACUAGAGUAUUGUAACUCACAGUUCGACACUCUAUGCAAGGAAGCUGGCAUUAAGCGACAUAAGACAUGCAUGUACACACCACAACAAAAUGGUGUGUCAGAGAGAAUGAACAGAACCAUUAUGGAAAAAGUUAGGUGCAUGCUGUCUGAAAGUGGAAUGGAGGAAAGAUUUUGGGCUGAGGCUGCAUCAACUGCAGUAUAUUUGAUAAAUAGAUCGCCAAAUUCCUCAGUAAAUUUCAGACUACCUGAGGAAAUCUGGUCAGGAGUUAAACCAGAUUUGAGCAAUCUGAAGAGAUUCGGAUGUACAGCCUAUGUACACGUGAGAGAAAGCAAGACAAACCCUAGAGCAGUGAAAGCCAGCUUUGUGGGAUUUCCUCAAGGAACUAAAGGUUUUAGAACCUGGUUGCCUGAAGAAGAAAGAUGUACCAUAAGUCGGAAUGUGAUAUUUAAUGAGGACGAGAUGUUCAGAGACUUGAAAGAUACAGUUCAAGAAAAUAGAGAACAAGAAGAAGAAGCUCCAGGAAAGAAGGUUAAACGAGUUACAUUCAAUCCAGAAUUAAUUCAAGGACCUUCAGGAAGGAUUACGAGUGUUGGGAAUCCAGCUCAAAGUGGAGUAACUUCUGAUAUUGAAGCCAAGUCAGACUCUGAACCUAAAGAAAACGAAGCGUCAGAAACUCAGGAGGAACAAGUUGAUCUGGAAAACUAUGUUCUGGCCAGAGACAGGGUUCGAAGGGAGAUCAAACUACGAUCAAAGUUUGAUGACUAUGAUUUGGUCGCAUAUGCUUUAGCCGCAGCGGAAGACCUAGAUAUUGACGAGCCUAAGACAAUUGAAGAGGCUAAGAGGUCGAAGUACUGGAAGCAGUGGCUGAAAGCUAUGGAAGAGGAAAUGAGUUCUCUUGAUAAGACUGGUACAUGGCAAACCGUUGAGAAGCCAGAAAAGAAAAAGAUCAUUGGAUGCAAGUGGGUUUUCAAGUUCAAAGAAGGAAUACCAGGCGUGGAGGAACCUAGAUUUAAAGCUAGACUUGUUGCUCAGGGUUUCUCGCAAGUUGAAGGUAUUGAUUAUACAGAGGUUUUUGCACCAGUAGUGAAACAUGUUUCGAUUAGGAUCAUGCUUUCAUUGGUAGCAAAUGAAGAUUUUGAGCUUGAACAGCUUGACGUUAAGACUGCCUUCUUGAACGGAGAGUUAGAGGAAGAAAUUUUCAUGAACCAGCCAGAGGGAUUUGUGGAGAAGGGGAAGGAAAGGAAAGUGUGUCUGUUAAAGAAAUCUUUAUAUGGACUAAAACAAUCCCCGAGACAGUGGAACAAGAAAUUUGAUGAAUUUAUGAAGACUCAAGAUUUUCGCAGAAGCUUAUAUGACCCAUGCGUCUACAUAAAAGGAUCAGAGGUUUCACAGAUGAUCUACUUGCUUAUCUACGUUGAUGAUAUGCUAAUUGCUUCAAAGGAUUUAUCUAAGAUCAAAGAGCUGAAAGAGAAUCUGAAAAAUCGGUUUGAGAUGAAAGACUUGGGAGCUGCAAGUAGAAUUCUUGGGAUGGAUAUUAUCCGAGAUAGAAAGAGCGGAUGGGUGAAGCUAUGUCAGAGAAGUUACUUAGAACAAGUUCUAAGAACGUUUAACAUGUCUGAAGCCAAAGCAGUGGUCACACCAACUGGAGCUCAAUAUAAGCUACGAAGUCUAAAUGAAGAAGAGCUAAGAACAGAAAAAGAAUUGAUGAGCGAGAUUCCAUAUGCAAGCGCAGUCGGUUCUCUAAUGUAUGCAAUGGUGGGAUCAAGGCCCGACUUGGGAUAUGCAGUGGGUUUAGUCAGUAGAUAUAUGGGUAAUCCAGGAAGAAUCCAUUGGGAAGCUGUGAAAUGGGUUAUGAAAUAUCUAGCAGGAACGUCGAGUUUUUGCCUAAAUUUUACUAAGAGCUCUAACUUCAGAGUGGAGGGCUUUUGUGAUGCUGACUAUGCGAGUGAUCUAGAUAGGAGAAGAUCGGUCACUGGAUACGUUUUUCAAGUGGGAGGAAAUACUAUAAGCUGGAGGUCAGGGCUUCAACAUAUAGUUUCUUUAUCUACUACAGAAUCAGAAUAUAUGGCUUUGACAGAGGCUGUUUAGGAAGCUAUAUGGUUGAAAGGAUUUUGCGGGGAUUUGGGGUUUCAGCAAGAGAAUGUUAAAGUGUUUUGUGAUUCGCAGAGCGAUAUACACUUGGCCAAAAAUGGAGGUUUCCAUGAAAGGAUCAAGCAUAUAGACACUCGAUUGCAUUUCAUACGAGAUGUAAUUGCUCAAGGAGAUGUUGUUGUUGAAAAGAUACAUAUAUCUAAGAAUCCAGCAGAUUUUUUGACAAAAAGUUUACCAGGUAAUAAGUUCCGGGACUUCCUGGAGCUUCUGAAAAUCGCCUAAGAAGAUUGUGGUCCUUGGAGGUUCCGUUUUGAUGACGUUUGAGAACCUCGCAGAUAAGGACAGAAGAUGGAAAUCGUCAGAUCAAUUUAUUGAUCGAAGGAGAACAGAAUCAAGUAAUAAAUCUGUUUGGAAAGUUGUUACCUUGAAGUGUUUGGUCAGUGGUUGAGGCUCAUUGGUUCUGUGGCCGUAACUGAACAAGGAAGCAGUUUGAAUACAACAAAAGGCACAGAAGAGUUUGAGUUAGUUCGUGACAUUUUUUUUUAAAAGACAAGCUAGAACUAAUCAACAAGAUUCAGAGGCAUUACGGUGAAAACAUCUACACAAUGUACUAAUUUUCUUAACAGGAAUUUGCUACUCUAGUGGAAAUAUUCAUGGUUAUGCAGUCAAGAGAAUAAGUAAGUGAAGGUUGGACCUAUCACAGUUACAGGGUUCUCGGAUGGAAUCUAAGGAAAGGAAGACGGGUAAUAUCUCUAGCAGGAAUCCUUAACCUGUAACCUGUCGGAUUAUCAGAAGCUUGGAGCUUAGUCACUGGAGAUUGACUUGGCUGAGAGGUUCUCUUGAUGAAUUCUAAAGAAAGAGGAACUUGUGUUAAUACAGAACACACAACAAAAGUUAAAUAAAGGUAAGACACGGUGUCUUACCCGAAUCAAUUGGAGUUGUAGACAGAUAUGGUUCAAGGACCGGGUUAUUUCUCAGACUCGACUGAAGAAGACACCAUUGAACAAAGCUCUGGAGAUUUUACGACUUGAGUUGAGCGGUCGUAUAGAAGAGACGAGAAGCUACUUCUUGAUGCUUAGACCCAAUUUUGGAUCUACGCAUAAAAGAAUAAAAAGCUAGAAAGUCAGUUGUGCAGAUCGAAAGGUGCAAUAAGGUUCUGAAACUGAUUGUACCUGUGAUUGGAGGCAGAUUCUAUACGGAGUGGCUAAAAGAAGAGUUAAUUGAUGAAAAGAUGAGCACACGCCAUUAGAGGCAGAUGUUCGGAGCUUCACUAGAGAACAUAGAAGAAGGAGGGAGAUCGAUGCUAAUUGAUCAGGGGAACGAAGCUUGUUCUCCGGUUGAUCUGGAUAGGAACGAUCGACAAAAGCCUGAAGAUCGCGAUAGAGAAAGGAGCUGCCAUGGCGUCUUUCCCACCAGGGUUUGGUGAGUCAAAGUGGAGAUUGUGAGCUAAGUGACUCGGCCCAAACCCAUGCUAUCCAGCCCGCUACAAGCAACAGGUCAAAAGCAACAGUAUAGAGUGAUGGGCUUCGUACACAAAGGCCCACUCUCAAACGUAGAGAACAAGUCGAAGGAGCAUGUCAUAUAAAUACAUGUUGUAGCUCCUAGGGUUCUCUCACGUUUUAUUUCUUGUUGUUGUUGGCUGCAGCUCUAUCUUGAGGUUGUGCUUGAACACCUGAGAUUGAGACAUAGCAGAGAUAGAUCGAUUAGUGCUUGUAAACUCCUAUUUGAUUCUAGUGAAGUUUGUGGGCAAGAGAUCCCACACGAGACGUACUGGUCGAGGCCAGGAACUCGUUAAAUCGCUUGUGUACUAGACUAGGUUAAUCUGACUAGCUCAAAACGAUCAAUCUAUAUCCUUCACAACUCGCAUGUGAUUUUCCGGUCGGAUCCACCCGAGCAAACCGAAGUAACCAAGGUUUCAAGAUCGACGUGGUUCAUUUUAUUUAAUCAAAACAGAGCGAUGAUGAGAUUGGCUUUGAUCGGAGUGAUAGUUUCAGUCUUUCUCAGAGAAGAGGAGAUAUACAAACAUGGGUUUCUUCUAUAUAAAUAUAACCAUUAACCGAUAGCUUCUUUUACACGGGAAAUUACAUUCAUCAUUUUUUCCAUCGAUAAAAGGACAUUUUCAAAAAUACAUUCUUCAUUAAGUGACAAAAUACUCUUAUGCCAUUGUUCUUUAUAUAUAUAAUAGGUAAAUAUUAAAAAAAAUAAAAAUCUAAAGAAAUAAAAAAUAAUUUUUUUAAUUUUUUUUCAAAUUAUACUAUUUCGAAAUUCAAACCCUAACCCUAAAACUCAACUCUAAACCCUAAACCAUCAAUCCUAAACCCUAUUUUUUUUUGAAAUACGAAUCCUAAACCCUAAACCAUCAAUCCUAAACCCUUUUUUUUUUGAAAUACGAACCCUAAACCCCGAAACAUCAACUCUAAACCCUAAACCCCGAAACAUCAACUCUAAACCCUAAACCCUAAACCUUCAACUUUAAACCCUAAAACAUCAACUCGAAACACUAAACCCUAAACUUGAACUCUAAACCCUAAACCCUAAAAAGUAAACGCUAAACCCUAAACCCUAAAAAAUUAACCCUAAACCCUAGAACAUCAACUCUAAACCCUAAACCCUAAACUUCAACUCUAAACCCUAAAUUCUAAACCCUAAAUCCUAAACCUUAAAUCCUAAACCCUAAACCCUAAAACCCUAGUGUUGAUGUUUUAGGUUUUAGAUUUGAAGAUUUAGAGUUUAGUGUUUACGUUUAGGGUUUAGAGUUGAUGUUUUAGGGUUUAGAUUUGAAGGUUUAGGGUUUUAGGGUUUAGGGUUCGAAUUUCAGAAAAAUAUAAGGUGUAGGGUUUAGGGUUUAUGUUUAGUAAGCAGUACGAUAGUCCGUUUUCAUAGAUAGAGAGACUUAGUAAAAACAACAAACACACACGUGCAUGAAAUAAAAGAGUGACGGUCGGACGGGUUAGAGCAUUCCCACGAUGGCUUCGUAAAACCUAACCGCCAUCUACUCAACUUCACUACCAAUUUUAUCAGGGGUAAUGCAUUUGCAGACGCCGACACCUGCGACGGCGUGAGCUUGCACGAGAAGAAGGGCUGACACAGCAGAGUCAGCAUGAAAAGUAUUUUGCGGAAUGCUACGAGGUCUCUCAAUGGAAAAUGCUCUAGCAUCUUUGUGCAAAAGCUCUUUACCCCCUUGUUUCAGAAGGUAUGGAAACAUCUGAGCAAUGGGAGUAACCUCUUUCACCAUCAUGCUGUCAGUCCUGAGUGCUAUGUUGCAGUCCAUCACAACAAUUGACCAUCUUGUGCAAUCAACGCAAACACUAACCCAGUGUUUUUUGUCGAGAUUGAAGGGAAGAUAGUAACGCUCAGCAUCGGGAUAAAUUCGAACUCGCUCAAGUAUAUUGCUGGGAAACCAGAAGGACUCUUUCUUGGACGUCUUAGAAAACUUGGUAAACAGUUUUAAGAGCUGGGAAACAAACUGAGUGUCCAUGAACACAGAGUGGUUGGACUGGUUUGGGGGUGAGUUUAGCGUAAACUGUGAACUAAUAUGGCCAAUGAGAACAUCAACCACCUGUUUUUGAAAAUUACAAUAUUAUUAAGGGACAAUAUUACUAGCAGCACAAAAAUUACAUUGCAGGGCAGAUGAACGAACCUUUGGUUGCAAGGGAGAUGAUCUUUGAACAAGCUCAUAUAGGUCAUUGCUCUCUAGCGUUGAUUGGCCAAUGCGUAUUGUACUAAACGAGGACGGCCAAGAAAGUUUGUUAGACGGUAUCUUAAAUAAUUAUACAGAUAACAAUUAAUUUAACCAUCCAGAAUUUGAACUUACAAUGGUGACUUCAGUUUAUCGAGGGAAGAGAACUUAGCAGUGUAAUCAAUGUUCCCGCAUGUGUUGUCGGGAUCUACAAAUGUUACUCGGGCCCGAUUGAGGAGACGCAUGUCGCAUUCAUACUGUCCCACCAGAGACUUGGGUAGGGCCUUAAGUCUCUUACUUUUCCGGCAGGCACCCAGCUGAUCCUCCUGUUCGCAAAUUUCUUUGCCAACAUAGUUUCCCCUUCAGUGACAGCCUCCUUCGGGUGCGGGCAUUCCUCAUGAGUUAGCCCUAGGGAGAAGGUUGGUUUUGGGAAUGGUAACUCAUGGUCAAGAUUCUGCAAAAGUAAUUAGACUUAAAUUAGGCAGAGGGAGCAGUGUGGCGCUGUGCAACCUGAAACAAAGUUGUACGUACCGUAUCUGGUGAGCUCUGACUAUGAUCAACAUCGUUUUCACACAUGCUGGCCCCUUCGGUGACAGUCUCUUUCCAGUGUGGACGUUCCGCCUGAGUUAGCCCUAGGGAGAAGGUUGGUUUUGGGAAUAGUAACUCAUGGUCAAGAUUCUGCAAAGUAAUUAGACUCAAUUAGGCAAAUGGAACAGAACUGGCGCCGUGCUAUCUGAAACAAAGUUGUACAUACCAUAUCUGGUGAACUUUUCCUAUGAUCAGCAAAUUUUCCCUCUCAGCCAAGGGGAUAUUGUGGUGGGGGAUUGUCAACGACCAACGAUGCGGAUGGGUUACUUGCAACCUAUUGACCAGAAAAUAUCACAAAAGACUUAAUAAAUUAUCAAAUGUGUAAGCAUAGAGCGAUUGUCAGUUACCAUAUCUUCAGCUCCAGAUUUCUGAGCGCCCCCACGCAAUGUCUGAUAUUCAGUGUGUAUAGAUGACUGAAUCUCUUGUGCUCCAUUUAGGACCUGCAUGAGAUCAGUAUUUUAUGUAAGAUUCAUCGUGUUAAUCGGCUAGUAUCAUAGUGUGGCCGGGUAUUGAGAAACUUACAUCGACAGCAAAUGUAUUUGCUUGAUUUGAGAAUAGGAUUGCAUCGGGAGGAUCAUCAGUUAUCAUCUCUUCAUGGCUGUCUCGCCGUGUCUGAUUUUCGGUGUGUAUCACUGGCUGAAUCACUUGUCCUCCGAUCAACCCAUGCGUGUGAAAUGUAUAUAACGUAAGUGACAGUGAGUUAGCCGGUUAAUAUAUUAUUUGUCAGGGUAUUUUGUAGCUUACUCGUCUGUGGAUGAUGUUUUUUGGUUUGCGAGUAUGGUGUCGUGCGAGACCAUUUCUCAGGAAUGACGCGCGGUGUCUGAUUUUCACUGGGUACAUCUAACUGAAUCCCUUGUCCUCCGUUCAGCCCUUGCAAAGUGAUGAAUAUUAUGUGUACAAGAAAAAGAAGUAUCCGGUUGACAUAAUAUUUGUCUGGUUAUUGAAAAACUUACAUCGACAGUCAAUGAUGUUGUUUGGUUUGCGAAUCGGAUAGUGUCGUUGAUAAUAUCAUUUUCGGCGGAUUCAGUAUGAAUACCUACAUGGUGUAGUGAAGUGCGCCUGAUGUCUGGAUGUUGGCCAUCUCUAGCGACAUUGGAAACAUUUACAGUCUGCGCUGAAGAGCUAACUGGUAUCUGGCCAGAAGAAACCUCCAAUUUACUAACCAAUUGUUGGAUGCUUUCUAGGACAUUGGUUUGGAAGGUGAUGAAAGAUUCAGAAAGUGUGCUUAAUUGCCUCUCAAUCCGAGAAAUAUCUUCUCUAACUUUGUCUCUGACCAUCGAUGCAAUUGAUUCACAAUCUAUGACCUCUGAGGUUGUUGUCUGUUUUAUCUGAUUUGGCUUCACUGUUUUCCGGUUAAUUGCCUCUGUUUUUUGCAUCUUCGCGCAUCCUAUUGACCUCUAGAUUAGUUACGCCACCGGUAAAGCUUGACUUGUUGAAGGGAAAUUGCUGCUCGAGUAGACUCAUCAAAUUAUCCACGAUAGGAUCCUCCUCGUCGUCCGACCAGCCAAGAUCAGGUGACGCUUUGAAGUGUUCUUUGUCUUCUACUAUUAUAGAAUGAACUGCGACCUACCACGCAAAGUAAAAAAGUAACGAGAAGUCAGUGUUGGUUGCAAUGGAGACAGUGGCUCAAAUUGUACUAUUUCACAUUUUGACUGAGAACGUGAAUAAGUAUACGUAAUGGGAAUACGUACCUUUCCUGCUGCGUCGGUGUCGCGAGCAUGACCCGGGCUGAUGCUUCUUUUCCCAUUCUUAUCUUCAUCUACUAGAUCAUCGUCCUCGCCGCCGUCACCUUCUGAGCCAGAUGAGGAUCCAUCGUUGACAACCUCUGUUAGAGCGGGGAUGGCUUCGACCAUUACAAGCUGUAGUGAAAGCACGAAUCCUUUCAGAGCAAUGGUGUUUUGCAACAGUGAAACCUCCUUCCUCUCUUUAAUACUACUCAUGAGCAUGUCAAAGGAUACUCUGCCCCAUGGGUAUGCAAAGAAAUCAUCUAUGUCUUUGAUAAGCUCUGCGUGAUCUUGUGAGAUACGCGGUGUGUGCGUGGUUGGUAGAAUAACAGCAGCUAGUAAAGCUAAUAGAGCGUAUUUCACACGAAUGCAGCUAUCUUUGACGGUUCUUUUCUUUAGCAUUCUUACAACAGAAGUGACGGGGACCUCCUUCAGUGUCCCAAAAAGCUCCCCCCAGUAUGGUUUUUCCGAGAUAAUUUUCUUGGCUCUUUUUUUUGUGUGUUUGGGAAGCUUGCGACAGUUUAGCCCAGUUACAUAGGCGAACUCUCGAAGAGAAAAACGUACAGGUUUGCCUGCGAAGAUGAACCAAGCUUCGUGUUUGCUUGAGACUAAUAGCUGCCUGGAGAUUAUGAAACGGCCAAAACGUCCGGAGAAAGAAGGCUUCUCCCCAAUCUCAAUAAGCUUCCCGAACGAUGAGCCCCUGAUGGUGUCUACUUCUUCAGGAUCGAGAGCGUUGAGUAUUUGCCUAAUGGCAUAGGGUUUGUGGUAUGGCGUUACUCUAACGCCGACUGGUUCAUGGUCCACCGCGAAAAUCCUGUCUGGAAUGCGUAGAGGUGGAGAUGAGCGAUCUUCUUCUUCCAUUUUGUUACUGAUUUUGUAGAAAUUGGGGUUUGGUGAUGAACCUCGAUGAUAACGAUGAGAGAGAUGGAUGAUUGUAUCGGGGAAAGAGGAAUGAGAUUUCAGAGAGUAAAUAUAUGAAUAUAUGUGAGAAGAGAAAGAUUCACUAAAUCUAUUAAGAUUUCUUAAAUAUUAAGGACUGACAAAAUCUCAAACUACGUACUUCAUAUCUUCUAUUUUAGAUUUCGUAAUCUCACGCCGAAUUGGUACAUAUAGGGGUAGCAGUGUCUAGAAAAUUUAUGAAUAGUGGUCAGAAAAGUGUCUUUUGGUGUGGUGUUAAUUAUGGUAUAAUACCUUGGUAUANNNNNNNNNNNNNNNNNNNNNNNNNNNNNNNNNNNNNNNNNNNNNNNNNNNNNNNNNNNNNNNNNNNNNNNNNNNNNNNNNNNNNNNNNNNNNNNNNNNNNNNNNNNNNNNNNNNNNNNNNNNNNNNNNNNNNNNNNNNNNNNNNNNNNNNNNNNNNNNNNNNNNNNNNNNNNNNNNNNNNNNNNNNNNNNNNNNNNNNNNNNNNNNNNNNNNNNNNNNNNNNNNNNNNNNNNNNNNNNNNNNNNNNNNNNNNNNNNNNNNNNNNNNNNNNNNNNNNNNNNNNNNNNNNNNNNNNNNNNNNNNNNNNNNNNNNNNCAGCUUACUUCUCAAGUCUGGCAGCUUACUUCUGCUUCAUGUCAACACUCCCCCUCAAGCUUGACCAUAUGGAACAAGUCAAGCUUGGAAGCCAUGAAGUAUUCUCUCAUUAAAACCUCAACUAGGUAAAACCCUUUGGGAGAAAACCCAAGUCAAGGAAAAAGAGUAGAACACUUCAUGAAGGAGAUAUCAGUUACAUGAGAGGUCUAUGAGUCCCAAUUUUGGAUGGAUAAACUCACAGACUUUAGUGCUUGCUGCCUUGGUGAAGAUAUCAGCUAACUGAUCUUCACUUUUAGUAUAGCAGGGUAAAAUGAUCUUCUGCUCCACAGCUUGUCUCACCUUGUGACAGUCAACUUCAAUGUGCUUUGUCCUCUCAUGAAACACUGAGUUUGAUGCUAUAUGUAUGGCCGCCUGAUUGUCACAGUGCAUUGUGAUUGGUGUUGUUGUCUCUAUGCCCAAAUCCUUUAGUAAGUUUCUGAUCCAAAUGAACUCACUAGUAAGCUUCCUCAUUGCUCUAUACUCUGCUUCAGCACUUGAACAAGACAUCGCCUUCUGCUUUUUGCUAUCCCAUGUGACCAGGUUUCCUCCAAUGAAGGUGCAAUAGCCUGUAGUUGAUCUCCUAUCAACUCUGUCUCCAGCCCAAUCAGCAUCACAAUACCCAACAACUUCAGUACUCUUGUUACAUGCCAUCCAUACUCCUUGGCCAGGCGCCUCUCUUAGGUACCUUAAGAUCCUCUCCACCAUAUUCCAAUGAUGCACCUUAGGAGCUCCCAUGUGUUGACUCACUUGAUUCACAGCAAAACACACAUCUGGUCUGGUGAUGGUUAGAUAGAUGAGCUUGCCCACCAUUCUUCUAUACUUCUUGAUAUCUCCAAAUGGUGUAGACCCAUACUCCCCCUCUCUCAGCACCUUGUAUCCUUCUUCUAAUGGAGUCUUGGCCUUUUUACUCCCAAGGUUUCCUGCCUCCUUUAAAAUAUCAAGUACGUACUUCCUUUGAGAUAAGAAUAACCCCUCUUUAGAGCGGCAGAUCUCAAUCCCAAGAAAAUACUUCAACUCUCCCAAAUCCUUGAUAUCAAAGGCACUUUUAAGAAAUGUUUUAGUUGAGAGAAUACCUUCCUUGUNNNNNNNNNNNNNNNNNNNNNNNNNNNNNNNNNNNNNNNNNNNNNNNNNNNNNNNNNNNNNNNNNNNNNNNNNNNNNNNNNNNNNNNNNNNNNNNNNNNNNNNNNNNNNNNNNNNNNNNNNNNNNNNNNNNNNNNNNNNNNNNNNNNNNNNNNNNNNNNNNNNNNNNNNNNNNNNNNNNNNNNNNNNNNNNNNNNNNNNNNNNNNNNNNNNNNNNNNNNNNNNNNNNNNNNNNNNNNNNNNNNNNNNNNNNNNNNNNNNNNNNNNNNNNNNNNNNNNNNNNNNNNNNNNNNNNNNNNNNNNNNNNNNNNNNNNNNNNNNNNNNNNNNNNNNNNNNNNNNNNNNNNNNNNNNNNNNNNNNNNNNNGGCAUACUGAUUCUCAGGCUCUCCAUUACUCCCCUAAGGUUAUUUGCUCUAUCUGAGGCUGAUUGAGAAAGAUCUUUGAGCUCAUCCCAACUCUUUCCAUCAUAAUAGCCUCUAGAUUCUACAAACUUCACAUCCCUUGAGACAAGGACCCUUCUUGACUCUGGAUCAUAGCACUUAUACCCCUUCUGAGUUGGAGAGUAACCAAUGAACAUAGCUUUUGAGCUUUUAGCAUCAAGCUUGUUCCUCAGCUUCCCAGGUAUCAUCACAAAACAGAGGCAUCCAAACACACGCAAAUGGUCCAAAGAUGCUUUGGUCUUAUUUAGAACCUCAAAAAGGAGACAUGUCGUUGAGGACUUUAGUUGGAGUUCUAUUGAUCAGAUAAGUAGCAGACAUCACAGCAUCACUCCAGAAUCUUUUUGGAACAUUGGUGUGGAACAUCAUUGAUCUUGCUACCUCCAUCAAAUGUAUGUUCUUUCUCUCAGCAACUCCAUUCUGUUGAGGAGUGUAAGGACAGCUUGUCUGGUGAGUAAUCCCAUGUUGAGCAAGAUAUUGCUUGAAUGCAUGACUUGUAUACUCUCCACCAUUAUCUGACCUUAGAAUUUUCAUCUUGGCAUUGAAAUGGUUGCAGAUAUGGGUCUGGAAAUUCUUGAAAGCAUCCAACACCCUGUCCUUAGACGGAAUCAGUGUCACCCAAGUGUAUUUGGAUUUCUCAUCAAUGAAGGUGACAAAGUAUUUGUGGUUCUCUCUGGACACACAUGAAACAGUCCAUACAUCAGAGUGAACUAGGUCAAAACAUCUUUCAUAGAUGGUGCUAGACUAUGGGAAGACUGUUCUACAAUGCUUUCCCAAUAUGCAAGCUUCACAAUCAUCAUUCUUGAAGACCACACCUGGAAGCAUCAAGUUUAGGGCUCUUGUAUGAGGAUGUCCCAACCUAGCAUGCCAUAGUGUGCUAUCAACCCCGCUGGAUGUACUAGCCAAACACUGAGAAGUGGAUGGUCUAGACAUCUCUGUCUUCUGAAGAUGAUAUAGUUCAUUGUGAACGUGCCCCUUUCCAAUCACUUGGCCUGUCUUUAAGUCUUGAAAUUCAACCUCAUCUGGUCUGAAGACAACCUGACAACUCAGAUCAACAGUAGCCUUUCUCACAGAUAGCAAGUUUGAUGUAAACUGAGGCAUAUACAAGGCAGUAGAUUCCCUAUCAAACAACCUCAGGUUCCCUAUCCCUUCUAUCUUAAUCUUAUCACCAUUUGCUAUUUGAACAUUCCCUGAGGCAGGCUGGACAUCACUCAUCAAGUUUCUAUCACUAAUCAUGUGAUGGCUUGCUCCUGAAUCUAUAAUGAUAGGUUUAGGGUCAAGAGAGUGUGUACCAGCCUUCUUGAAUGAGAUAAAAGCUUGGAUAAGGGAAUGUAGGUCACUCAUGGUUGCUGGACCAUCAGUGUUGGCUGCACUAUCAGUACUUCUCCAUGUUCCUUCUUCAUUUGAACCACCAAUGACAGAUGAAUACAUGGUUCGACCUUGAAUCGAUGGAUGCUCAAACUCUUUGAUUACAUUCCUGGCUUGAUUCAAGUCACUUCUUCUUGGCAUAUUGUGGUUCUUAUGUUGUUCCUUAGCCUUCUUGUACUCUGGAAACAACACCAUGUUGGAGUUCUCCCUCAUGGAGAGAUAUGGACCAGUGGACAAUAGAUUGUUCCUACUGAUUUUGAGAUAAACUGGACUUUGAUGAAGCUUUUCCUGAUAUGGUUGAAGCUUUCUUGAGUUCCAGAGAAUAAGGUACUCCUCUAUCUUGAGUUCUGGUGAGGUUCUUCCCUUUUGAAAGACUUUUGGACCAGUGGAUAAAAGGAUGUAUCCAACAGAUUUUGAAGAUAAUCUGAGAAAUAAAGAAAGAAAUUUGCGGAAGCUUUUGUGAGGUUCAGGAGCUUAAUGCUCUGAUACCAUGAAAGAAUGUGAGGAAAAAGAGAUUUAGAUGAAGAACAUUGAAGAACAGAGAGAGAGAGAAAGUAGAUCUCAAAAUGUAAGAGAGAGAAGGAGAGAAUAGUUUCCUUGAUUUAAUUGUGGAUAUGGGUACAAGUAUUUAAAGGCAAGUUGCCUCAGUACACAAUAUAAUAAAAUAUUCAUUGUUUUAAAAUAUCUUCAACAAUCUUCUUCUCUCUUCUUCUUCUCUUCAAUAAAAUUCGAGCUUAUAAAAACCUUAUAAAACCUUAUAAAGCCUUAUAAAAGCUUUAUAAAACCUUAUAAGUCUCUAGCAUAAUUCUCAAGUCUGGCAUUUUACUUCUCAAGUCUGACAGCUUAAUUCUCAAGUCUGGCAGCUUACUUCUCAAAUCUGGCAGCUUACUUCUGCUCCAUGUCAACAUAAGGCUCUCACAGGGAAAAAAGAAGUAAAUUCAGUGAAGAGAUGGCAUAGAAAACGCACACAACUUGGGGUAAUGAAAUACUUGUACUGUUCAGAAAACAUUGGGCAUCUAUAAAUGGUGGUGUCUGGUCUGUUAAGCUCAGAAAAAACUCAGAGAAAAUUGUAGAGAUUAAAUCUGAAGAAAGGUUAGCUUCAUCUUUUUUCAGUCAUCCCGACAGUUUGUUAUGACAGUUAAUUUGGUGCAGCGUAUUUAUUAUAUCGUUUAUUAUUCUUCAUUUGUCUACCAUCUUUUACUGUCGUGAAUCAGUUAAUGUUCAGGUGUACCAAACUGAAUCAAUAAUUUACAGCAUUUAUGGCUCGUAACAUAGCUGAGUUUAUGAAUAUGAAACGCAGAAGUUCAAAGUUACUGAUUAUUAUUUUAUUUUACUGUUUUGUCGUAGGACAUGGGGAAGAUGUUGCGUAUGUGGCGUGGAGAGUGGAGGAAGAAUGAUUCCCAGUACUGGCAUUUUGUUCCGGAACAAACCGAUUUCGGUUUGUCUUUGUACAUGGAUGAGGGUGAGAGCUUCGCGACUGUUGAGAGGAUUGUGAGGACCCAUUAUGGUGUCAGUGAGACCACUCCUAUGGUUAUCACAUACGGAUUACCUUACUGGAUGGUUGUCCCAAGUGGUCAUACUCCACCUCUUACCAUAGGAAGUACGACCGAGCUCGUUGACCUGAUGGCCGGAAGACCUUGGAUGGUGGAGUUCACAUUGUUGGUGACAUUGGGGGCGAAGAGUGUUGCACAAUACCAUUUCAACCGCCGCUCACCGUUUUACAUCGGUUCCUCAUCUUUUGUUGUUGACCAGAUCUUUUGUUGUUGACCAAAAGCAAGAUGCAAACGCAAAAGCAUCUUACGAGAGUGAGUAUAUCAUAUAGAGUAUAUUGCAUAGACUAUAGUUUAUAAGGUUAUAGCAGUUGGCUAACAUAGUGGGUGUGGAAAUAUCAACGUCUCAGGGUUGGUGUUUGGCAAAAGGAUGGCAACAAGUGAGAAGGUCAUGAACGAGAUCUUCGGUGAGGAAGAAAUGGUGGUAUUUUACAGAGUUGCAAUGGAGAUGGAGUUGGCUGACAAGGAAAAGACUCGCCAGAUGGACGAGCAGGCACAACCAGGGCCUUGGCUGAUUCGUCUUGACGAUUACUCUGAUAUGGAAGACGCCAGCAAAGGUGUUGGGCGUAUGGAUUCAACCAUGGGAGGUCUGGAGAGUAAGUGUCUCUAACCAAAACAUUGUUGUAUCCUGCUAAUUAACGUUUAAUAUUGGCUGGUUACCAUAUUCGAAUCUGUACCAAUAAAACUGGUUAGCAGUCAAAACAUAAAUCAUAGCUGCGCAAAUUAAAAUAGAGUCCGGUUACGUUUCUGUGUCGCUGGUUAAAUUAAUUCAUCAACGGCUAAACCGUGCCUAUAAUUAGCCAUGUACAAAUGAUGUUAGCGACUUUGGCUUAAUUAAUCAAUAGGCAGAUCGUGAUUUGUUGGGCAUAUGGUGAACAGAUUAAUUUGGAACCUUAUAAGAUAGGCUAACAAAUAUUAUAUCAUCUUAUUUUGUUUGGUUAAUGUUAAUCAGAACUAAAUUAUUCUAUUUUGCACAGGGGGACAAGGCUCUCUGGAUAAAGGAAAGGGCAUCAUUUAGGAUUCUGUGGGUCAGACCAAAGCACCCGCUGUGUUGUGGGACGUAGGGAUAGAUCUUCUGACUUUCCCUGAGUUUUGCAACCGUGAGCGUGAUGCUGCUAUGGAGGCAAGUGGGAAUGCGUUUUGGGAGAGUGUUUUGCGUGAGGAGACCAAGUCAACUGAUGAGACAGAGUCAACUGAGGAUUUACCUGACUGCGAUGAAGGUGGUGCUGUUGGUCUUGGAUUCAAAAAAGAUGGAGCUGUUGGGAAGGAGGGAGUUGUUGUGGUCAUGGAUGAUGAUGGUUCCUCAUCCACCAGCAACACUGCAGUGAUUUGCACUCAGGUUGGUUCAAAGGCAACAUCAGACCGCAUGGAUGUGGGGGGUGUGGUCGGAACUGCAGUGGGUGUUGGGUCUGUUAACGUGGUCCCAUUGGAGGACAAAGGUAUAGAACAAGUUACAUUCUGUUUGUUGACUUAUUAGUUUUAGCUUACGUAAGUGUUGAUUUAUAUACGUUGGGUUUUCCAUGCAGGGGGACGCAACGCAGAGAAAAUCCCACCGAUAGGUGAUAACCUUUCUGCUGGAAGUCAGGGGCUUCCUCCGCCAGCUCUGAUGCUAACCUUAGCUUGCGGGGAAGGGGAAGAAAAUGUGGGAACAAACUCUACUAAGACCACAGAGGGAUCAACUCAUGCAAGCGACAAAGAGGGUGGGUCUGGAAAAGCUAAAGUCCAUCACCAGCUUAUGUGUUAUAAUGUUAAAUUAUGUCAUCUUUUGUUUAUGUUUCGCUAAGGAGGGUACGGAUUUUGGAAAAUGGCUAACAUAAAGUUUGGCCGGUGUUGUAGCAUUUUGUUGGGGUAAACUUUUGGGUAACCGUUUAUGUUUAAUAUGAACCUAUGUAAGAAAGUUGUGUAACUUUUCUAAUAAUGCAUGGAUGGAAAUGCAAAGUUAUGUUACAUUUAUCUGUGUACAAUUUAUUUUAACCGUUUCAGCAUUAGACUUAGCUAUUUAUGAAAAAUGCCACUUUACCAUAUUGUUCUGGAAAAUUAAUUAAAGAGUUAAGAAUGUCUAACCAUGUUUUUUCAGUGUUAUUGCUCGUAAUGAUGAUGUUAGUUGUAUAACUUUUGAAAUAAUGCAUUGAUGGAAAUGCAAAGUUAUGUUACAUUUAUCUGUGUCAACAUUAGACUAAGCUAUUCAUAUGAAAAGCCGCUUUACCAUAUUGUUGUGAAAAAUUAAUUAAAGAGUUAAGACUGUCUAGCCAUGCUUUUUCAGAAUUAUUCCUCAUAAUGAUGACGUUGUUGUCCGCUUCCAUAAUAUAAAUGUAACAUAACUUUCGUCUCUAUUACAUCACUAUUAACAAAACUAGGGGGUUUUCUGGGCUAUGCCCAGAUUUUUUCCUAUAAUAUUAAUUUAGUUUAAUUUUUAUAUUUAUUCUAUAAAUAAACAAUAUGAUAUAUAUUGGAACUGGUUAUAGAAUUAUAAAAGUAAAUGCAAAUUUAAAACUAUUUGAAAUAAUUUCUUGUUUUUAUUGAAAUUUUAUAUAGGGUAUUAGUAAGAUUAAUAAAAAGUUAACUAAAUUAUUAGUUAAGAUAUAUAUAUUCUUUAUCUUGAAAUUUUCACUAUUCAAAAUUUGUUAUUUUAUUAUUGUAAAUUAUAUAUCACCUGAUGAACAAACAUAUUAAAAUGAUUUAAAAUUAGUUUAAUCUGAAUAUAUGUAUUUUUUGAUUGAAUGAUUAUAUUUAUUACCACACUUAUUUAAGUUUAAGUAAAAUAAAUUUUAAAUUAACAGUCUUUUCAAUUUUUUUUUUUUUGUUAAUGUUUCUUUUGGCUUGAAACCCAUUAAAUUUAUAACUUUUAAGGAUAUUAGGACAUUUAUCUUUUUAUUUCUUUUGUUCUUCUCCAUCUAAGUUGAUGUAUUUGCAUUUUAUUUAUAUAUAUAUAUAUAUAUGUAUAAUUAGUUCAAAUAAUGUCAUACUCGUAUAUGUAUAAUACUGAUAUUUUUUCAGAAUGGGUUGGUGAUCAAUAUAAUUAUUAAAAAAGUAUAAAAAAUUGCAUUGUGGUUAAAAAUCUAUAGUAUAGUUGUCUUUGGAUGUCACAUGCUAAUACAUGAUAUAUAACUGGAGUUUCCUCCUCAAAUAAUCUACGAAAUAGGCUUGCAUGAUCAUUAUAUCAUCCAUCUAUUACAAAUGCUUCUUGUUUUUUUGUUUAUUGUCAUUAACCUAGAAGAGCAAAGCAUUAACAUACGUUUUAUUUUUAUGCUUACUCAAGUGUGUUCUUAAGAAUGAUAAUUAAGUACUAACUAAUAGCGCUUAUAAUCACUCUUGUGUCUUUUGUUUUUUCAUAAACCCUCUGCUCACAUCUCGGUCAUCCAACCUCUAACUUUACCUGAAAUAUGUAUAUAACAUUAAAUAUUUACUAUAGUGGGCAUUCAUUCUUGCUAAAAUGAGGAAGGUGACUUCCUUCGUCUUGUUUAAGUAUAAUUACUCUUUCUUUCUUCUACCACAGUUUAAGCCAUGUAAGAGAGGAACUCGGUGGCCUUGGUAUAACCAAAAUAUUAUGACUGUAAGUUAAAAACAUUUCCAUAUUUUUAAUCAAGAUGAAUCAUGUAGACAUAAGAUGAAUCACAAAAUAGGUUGUUUGCCCGCAUGUACUUAUUAGUUUAUACUACGGGCAUAGCCUCCGCGCAAGCGCGGGGUGAUGGAAAUUGUUGUUGUUUUAUCUUGAGUUGUUUAGUUUCGAUAUUUGUAUAUCAAAAGGGUUGACAGAUGGUCAUGAUCUGGGGGGAGGUGGUAUUGUGUUGCUGUUGUGGAUGUUCUGUGUAGGAAAAGCAACAUGGUUGGUCUUCUUUGUGGUGGGAGAUAUUUUCGAUACAUGUGCAUACCCAUACGUAGGAAUAUAUUGUACUAGGGUCGGCCCGCCCUACGGACGAGAAAUUAUAAUAAAUACUAUUUUAAAUGAAUUUAUAUUAAUGUUAUGAUUUAAAAAAAAACAUAAUAGAUAAAACGUUAUUAUAAACACAUAAAUAAUGCAUAGAAUUUUGAAUAAUCAUUUUUGGUUUGAAUUAAAGUGACAGUAAACUUCUUUAUUCUUUAUUUUUCAGAGAAACAUAAUUAGAAAAAAAAUGUAAUAAUAUAUAUAUAUAUAUAUAUAUCUUGUUAUUAUUUUAUUUCACUUUGGCAUAAUAAAAGAAAAUUAAAGUUUAAAUAAAUAUUACUAUAUUUAAUUCAAGAAGUUUCAAGUUUUAAAAAAAAUUACACUAAUUAAUUUUUCAUGAUAAUAAAUUAGUCUAGCUCCAAGCUAAAUUGGUUAAAAAAAUAAAGUAAUUAAAUUUCAAUUUUAAAAUACUAUAUAAAUAGUAUAAUAAUAUCAUAAAUAAUAAUAUAGAUUUUUCUAAUCUAAACAGGAAAUGAUUAAACAACAUGUGAUAAAUACAUCAAUUUAUUUAAUCUUAGAAAUAUUUUUAAACAUCGUCUCAACAAAACAUAGCAAACCCAAAGGGAUAGAACGAAAGAAAAAAAGAAAAAAACUCGUUAAGCAACAUUGAUGCAUUAGCAUUAUUCAAAUAGGAAAUACCUAUGCCAUGCGUGCUUUCUCAGCCAUCUUCAAAGAUGCUCGAGCCGGAGGCUUAUUAGUGUCGAGAUCACUUGGACCUGCUAAUGUAGUCGGUGCUCCCUCAAGAGCUCUACCACCAACGUCCACCUUAGCAGAGACUGAGUUCAUUCCAGGCAUAUCAUCUCCAUCGUCAUCAUUGCCCGUCUGAUCAAACCCAAUGUAUUAGAAUUAUUUUGUAGUACGGAAGUAAGCGGCAUGAAAUAUGCAUAAAACAUACAGCGGCAACCAAUUCAAGGAGUGGCAGAUGGUCAUAUUCGUAAUAGUAUACUGUACAAAGUUAACCAGACGAAAACAUAACCAUCUGUGACAAAAAAAAGAGUUGCCUCGAGAAUAAAAUAAAACAUAGAAAAAAGACCAAAGUGAAUCAAAAAUCAGAAAAAUGAAGAAUCACAUCGUUAUAUCACAAUUAUCACUUUUAAUUGGAAGCAUAUUUACACUGCAGAUGAAGACUUGUACAUUAACUUUUCCUGUAAUUAAUCAUCUUAUCUUCUAUAAAACAAUAUAUUCAUCACUCACCAGCAAGAAUUGAAACGCAAAACACAACACAAACUUGAAAAAGAUCAAAGCUAAUACCUUGAGUUGCAUGAAGGCCAGGGAGAUCAUGCUCCAUAGACUGAAAACGAUGUAGAGAGCUAAUAACUUUGUUGGGGUCAAAAACGGUUACGACGGAAUUACCACCCGAAAAUCCUCGGAGAUCGUAUUUCCGAAAGAGAUAGUUAAAGGGAAGAUGUAACUUUCGUAAAAUAUAACCAAACACGAAGUUUUUACGAAGAAGUAUCCUUGAAGAUUCAAACCAAACUAACCAAGCUCGACCGUUGCGUAAUUACCACGCAUACACGCUGUCCGGUCGCUGCAUAGCAACCAAGUCCGAGCCAAAGCUCGGUCGCUACGAAGCGACCGAGCUCGAGUCAAAGCUCGGUCGCUACGUNNNNNNNNNNNNNNNNNNNNNNNNNNNNNNNNNNNNNNNNNNNNNNNNNNNNNNNNNNNNNNNNNNNNNNNNNNNNNNNNNNNNNNNNNNNNNNNNNNNNNNNNNNNNNNNNNNNNNNNNNNNNNNNNNNNNNNNNNNNNNNNNNNNNNNNNNNNNNNNNNNNNNNNNNNNNNNNNNNNNNNNNNNNNNNNNNNNNNNNNNNNNNNNNNNNNNNNNNNNNNNNNNNNNNNNNNNNNNNNNNNNNNNNNNNNNNNNNNNNNNNNNNNNNNNNNNNNNNNNNNNNNNNNNNNNNNNNNNNNNNNNNNNNNNNNNNNNNNNNNNNNNNNAUCAGGAGUCGCGCGGGAACGACCUUCCGGUCAAAACCCUAGCGAGAAAUCUCCCAUCGAAAAGGGGAACCCUGAAAGUCUUCCGCCCCCUGCAAAGGACUCGGAGGAUAACGAAGCCGAACACAUUGACCUGGAUCCUAGCGAUGUUUCCAACGACACCGACGAGGACGUCGACAGACAUCCGAGAAGGACCAGAAGCCGAUCUGCUCGGGAAGGCUCCCCGUUCGAAAAACCAAUGACGGAAGAGGAAGAAAUCGCCUAUCGGAACGAACAGGAGGAGCUGGCUGAAAGAAAAACCGAGCUCACUCGCAGUAAACGCCUACAGGCUCAGAAAUCUACUGACGAGACAUCGGAUAUCCGCGAGACAUCGGAUAUCCGUAAAGUCUCAAAUCCAUCAUGCUACUAGUGUUGCCCCCGAAAUCGAUCGACUGUUGGAAGGAGCUAGGAAGACCCCUUUUACCAAUCGCAUUUCGGACAUGAGGGUGUCCGAUCCGGGAAAAAUCAAAGUACCGAAGUACGAUGGUACGGCCGAUCCAAAAGCGCACCUUCAGGCUUUCCACAUCGCGAUGGGAAGAGCUAGACUGAAGGAUGGCGAAAAGGAUGCCGGCUACUGCCGCCUGUUCGUUGAAAACCUGGAAGGAGCAGCACUUGAAUGGUUCGCACGCCUUCGUCGUAACACCAUCGGGAGUUUCCGACAGCUCGCACCGGAAUUUCUCAAGCAAUACUUUGUAUUCAUAGACAGAGAAACUUCUGAUGUUGACCUCUGGAGUCUCUCCCAGAGGGAAGACGAACCCCUCCGCGAGUUUAUCAGUCGGUUCAAACUGAUAAUGUCAAGGGUCAGUGGGAUAAGCGACAAAGUGGCCAUCGACGCGCUGAGAAAGACGCUCUGGUACAAGUCGAAAUUCAGAAANNNNNNNNNNNNNNNNNNNNNNNNNNNNNNNNNNNNNNNNNNNNNNNNNNNNNNNNNNNNNNNNNNNNNNNNNNNNNNNNNNNNNNNNNNNNNNNNNNNNNNNNNNNNNNNNNNNNNNNNNNNNNNAUUCUAGUUUUUCCCACCGUGAAUUGAACCCGAGUGGCGGUAGUUACAGCCGUAACCCCUUUACCACUAGGCCAACUCAGUGUUGGUUACUGAUUAUAAUUUAAGUUGAUAAAAAAGUAUAUUUCAAAUUGUUAAAGGACUAAAUACUUGGGGAAAUUAUAAUAAAUGAUUUAUAAUAAUUAAAAACUUACUCACAUACAACAACAACACACAACCCUAAAAAAGUCUGAACGUUUAGCUAUUUUCCAAAUUUCCCGAAUAAAUUUCAUUUAAAGAAAUGCAAUGAAGAAAAGUUAAAAAAAUGUUUAUGUACAGUUCAUACUAAAUGUUUCGUUCAAAGCUAUUAAAUCGUUUAAAAUGGCCCCUGAUGGCUAUCUAGCUUUGCCUUUGGUUGUCGUUUUUCCUUUUAUUCAUACUAGGGGGUUUUCCGGGCUACGCCCGGAUUUUUUCCUAUAAUAUUAAUUUAGUUUAAUUUUUAUAUUUAUUCUAUAAAUAAACAAUAUGAUAUAUAUUGGAACUGGUUAUAGAAUUAUAAAAGUAAAUGCAAAUUUAAAACUAUUUGAAAUAAUUUCUUGUUUUUAUUGAAAUUUUAUAUAGGGUAUUAGUAAGAUUAAUAAAAAGUUAACUAAAUUAUUAGUUAAGAUAUAUAUAUUCUUUAUCUUGAAAUUUUCACUAUUCAAAAUUUGUUAUUUUAUUAUUGUAAAUUAUAUAUCACCUGAUGAACAAACAUAUUAAAAUGAUUUAAAAUUAGUUUAAUCUGAAUAUAUGUAUUUUUUGAUUGAAUGAUUAUAUUUAUUACCACACUUAUUUAAGUUUAAGUAAAAUAAAUUUUAAAUUAACAGUCUUUUCAAUUUUUUUUUUUUUGUUAAUGUUUCUUUUGGCUUGAAACCCAUUAAAUUUAUAACUUUUAAGGAUAUUAGGACAUUUAUCUUUUUAUUUCUUUUGUUCUUCUCCAUCUAAGUUGAUGUAUUUGCAUUUUAUUUAUAUAUAUAUAUAUAUAUGUAUAAUUAGUUCAAAUAAUGUCAUACUCGUAUAUGUAUAAUACUGAUAUUUUUUCAGAAUGGGUUGGUGAUCAAUAUAAUUAUUAAAAAAGUAUAAAAAAUUGCAUUGUGGUUAAAAAUCUAUAGUAUAGUUGUCUUUGGAUGUCACAUGCUAAUACAUGAUAUAUAACUGGAGUUUCCUCCUCAAAUAAUCUACGAAAUAGGCUUGCAUGAUCAUUAUAUCAUCCAUCUAUUACAAAUGCUUCUUGUUUUUUUGUUUAUUGUCAUUAACCUAGAAGAGCAAAGCAUUAACAUACGUUUUAUUUUUAUGCUUACUCAAGUGUGUUCUUAAGAAUGAUAAUUAAGUACUAACUAAUAGCGCUUAUAAUCACUCUUGUGUCUUUUGUUUUUUCAUAAACCCUCUGCUCACAUCUCGGUCAUCCAACCUCUAACUUUACCUGAAAUAUGUAUAUAACAUUAAAUAUUUACUAUAGUGGGCAUUCAUUCUUGCUAAAAUGAGGAAGGUGACUUCCUUCGUCUUGUUUAAGUAUAAUUACUCUUUCUUUCUUCUACCACAGUUUAAGCCAUGUAAGAGAGGAACUCGGUGGCCUUGGUAUAACCAAAAUAUUAUGACUGUAAGUUAAAAACAUUUCCAUAUUUUUAAUCAAGAUGAAUCAUGUAGACAUAAGAUGAAUCACAAAAUAGGUUGUUUGCCCGCAUGUACUUAUUAGUUUAUACUACGGGCAUAGCCUCCGCGCAAGCGCGGGGUGAUGGAAAUUGUUGUUGUUUUAUCUUGAGUUGUUUAGUUUCGAUAUUUGUAUAUCAAAAGGGUUGACAGAUGGUCAUGAUCUGGGGGGAGGUGGUAUUGUGUUGCUGUUGUGGAUGUUCUGUGUAGGAAAAGCAACAUGGUUGGUCUUCUUUGUGGUGGGAGAUAUUUUCGAUACAUGUGCAUACCCAUACGUAGGAAUAUAUUGUACUAGGGUCGGCCCGCCCUACGGACGAGAAAUUAUAAUAAAUACUAUUUUAAAUGAAUUUAUAUUAAUGUUAUGAUUUAAAAAAAAACAUAAUAGAUAAAACGUUAUUAUAAACACAUAAAUAAUGCAUAGAAUUUUGAAUAAUCAUUUUUGGUUUGAAUUAAAGUGACAGUAAACUUCUUUAUUCUUUAUUUUUCAGAGAAACAUAAUUAGAAAAAAAAUGUAAUAAUAUAUAUAUAUAUAUAUAUAUCUUGUUAUUAUUUUAUUUCACUUUGGCAUAAUAAAAGAAAAUUAAAGUUUAAAUAAAUAUUACUAUAUUUAAUUCAAGAAGUUUCAAGUUUUAAAAAAAAUUACACUAAUUAAUUUUUCAUGAUAAUAAAUUAGUCUAGCUCCAAGCUAAAUUGGUUAAAAAAAUAAAGUAAUUAAAUUUCAAUUUUAAAAUACUAUAUAAAUAGUAUAAUAAUAUCAUAAAUAAUAAUAUAGAUUUUUCUAAUCUAAACAGGAAAUGAUUAAACAACAUGUGAUAAAUACAUCAAUUUAUUUAAUCUUAGAAAUAUUUUUAAACAUCGUCUCAACAAAACAUAGCAAACCCAAAGGGAUAGAACGAAAGAAAAAAAGAAAAAAACUCGUUAAGCAACAUUGAUGCAUUAGCAUUAUUCAAAUAGGAAAUACCUAUGCCAUGCGUGCUUUCUCAGCCAUCUUCAAAGAUGCUCGAGCCGGAGGCUUAUUAGUGUCGAGAUCACUUGGACCUGCUAAUGUAGUCGGUGCUCCCUCAAGAGCUCUACCACCAACGUCCACCUUAGCAGAGACUGAGUUCAUUCCAGGCAUAUCAUCUCCAUCGUCAUCAUUGCCCGUCUGAUCAAACCCAAUGUAUUAGAAUUAUUUUGUAGUACGGAAGUAAGCGGCAUGAAAUAUGCAUAAAACAUACAGCGGCAACCAAUUCAAGGAGUGGCAGAUGGUCAUAUUCGUAAUAGUAUACUGUACAAAGUUAACCAGACGAAAACAUAACCAUCUGUGACAAAAAAAAGAGUUGCCUCGAGAAUAAAAUAAAACAUAGAAAAAAGACCAAAGUGAAUCAAAAAUCAGAAAAAUGAAGAAUCACAUCGUUAUAUCACAAUUAUCACUUUUAAUUGGAAGCAUAUUUACACUGCAGAUGAAGACUUGUACAUUAACUUUUCCUGUAAUUAAUCAUCUUAUCUUCUAUAAAACAAUAUAUUCAUCACUCACCAGCAAGAAUUGAAGCGCAAAACACAACACAAACUUGAAAAAGAUCAAAGCUAAUACCUUGAGUUGCAUGAAGGCCAGGGAGAUCAUGCUCCAUAGACUGAAAACGAUGUAGAGAGCUAAUAACUUUGUUGGGGUCAAAAACGGUUACGACGGAAUUACCACCCGAAAAUCCUCGGAGAUCGUAUUUCCGAAAGAGAUAGUUAAAGGGAAGAUGUAACUUUCGUAAAAUAUAACCAAACACGAAGUUUUUACGAAGAAGUAUCCUUGAAGAUUCAAACCAAACUAACCAAGCUCGACCGUUGCGUAAUUACCACGCAUACACGCUGUCCGGUCGCUGCAUAGCAACCAAGUCCGAGCCAAAGCUCGGUCGCUACGAAGCGACCGAGCUCGAGUCAAAGCUCGGUCGCUACGUAGCGCGAAAAAGUAUGUAAAUCUUUGCAAAAUGAAUAAAAUAUUUAAAUAUUAAAUCUUCUUAUUAUAUUUAUUGAAUUUUUUUAUUUAUAACAUGAGUUUUGAAAGAGGUAGACUCUUCGGCCUCCCCAAAACAGAGAAGAAGAAUCAAGUUCAAGACAGAAACAUUUGGGCUUUGUAGGAUUCAAUGUGUACCAUUACUCUCUCCGUUUUGAUUUAAUUGUCGUUAUAGGGAAAAAAAUCGUUUCAAAAUAAGUGUUGUUUUAUAGUUUCAAUGCAAAUUUUAUUAACAAGAUUCUCUACUUUAUUUUUUUUAUUGGUUGCAAUAUGGUUAGAUAUAUAGGUAAUUGUGUUUUUCUUUUGGAAAUAUACAAAAUUAUAUAUUUUAUUAAUUUGUGUGCAUAAACAUAGAACGACAAUUAAAAUGAAGCGGAAGGAAUAUUAAUUAACUAGACUAAUUUAUUGGCUCAUUAUAUGUUAAAAUUUCUAAAUCUAAUAACUUCACAGACAAGCACAUUAUUUUAUUUUAUUCUGGAAAGCAUUGUCCAGAGCUUGUCCCGUGUGUUGAUGGGUAUAGUUCUGUUCUUGACUUGUCUGUCUAUUAUCCUAAAGAGGAUCUCAUGUGCUUCGAAGUUUCUCUCGAUGUUUCGGUGAACUGAAACACGUAACGUGCAAGGAACAUCCGGGUUCGAAAAAGUUGAGACUGUGACAUGAAGAGAACGACAUUGCUCAACGCAGGCAAGGACAUUAAUUAAAGAGAUGAAAAAUAAUGGGAAUGUUGAUUUUUAUAUAUACCCUUUGAAUUUUUGUGCUGCAUGGUUCCUUACUUUCCGUCGCUUUUCAGUGAUGCGUGGAUUCUCUCACAGAUAACCUCUUCUAUUAUGUGAUUUUUCCUUGUUUGUUAAUGUUUCUGGCUCUAAAUGGUGACCUAGAGAAUUAAUGGGAACAAUGAAUUCCUAGCCUUAGUUCAUUUUACUCUCCUCAUUUGAAUGGGCGACUGCAUUUGGGGUUUUCUAGCCUUAGUUCAUUUUACUCUCCUACUGAGCUUUACAUUAUAGAAUGGGUAUUAUGAAAUACAUGACUGUGUUGUUGUUAGCAUUUAAAAUAUAAUGCAUAAAUUUUAGCAAAAAUAUAUUAGGUGGUUAAUGAAUAAAUAUUGUUGAUGACGGAAAUGUUUCUCCGUACGGACUUGGCUUGAUGCAUAAAGCGUAUAUAUGGAUGUGUGAAGAGCAAAAAGACGGCUAUCUGAAAAUGGAUAAAACAAAGGACAUAACAUAACUCUAACCAAAGUUUUUUACUGAUGAAACGUGUUUCACCUUAUACAUUAAUAAAUAUAGGAAGAAUAAGGAAAAGAAGUUAACUUUUGCAGAGUUUGCUUGGUUGAUCUGUAUCUUGGCAUGAAGCCCUUGCUUGAGCUACACUCAACCCCGUUUCUCCACAACCGUGAAUCCAUAUCACCUGUAAUCAAAAAAUUAUUGACCAACUCAACCACAUCCUUCUUAAUGACAUUCCAGGAAUGCUGGAAAAAAAGGGCUGUCAUUCCAUCUGGGCCAGACACUUUCUCCGGAUGCAUCAUAAAUAACGCUUGUCGAACUUCUUCCUCCGUUGCUCUUCGCAGUAACAUUUGAUUCAUCUGAGGGGAAAUAGAUGGACCUAUCUCCUCCAAAAAACUAUCAAACUCCCUUUGGUUUGUUGAUCUAAACAAAUCCUCAAAGUAAUCUACUGCCACCUUCUCAACAUUGUUCUCUUCAGUGACCCAAUUACCCGCUUCAUCAUGGAGGCCUACUAUUUUGUUUCUGACCCGACGUUGCUUUGUCAGAGCGUGGUAAAACUUAGUAUUUAGGUCCCCAGAUGAAUACCACAUAUUUCUACUCUUCUGAUGCCAAUAUUCCUUUUCAUCCUUAUAGGCCUCUUGUAAUUUCCUAGAUAUCUCAAUAAUAUCCUCUUGUGACCUAUUAUUAUCAGUUUGUACUUCUUCCAACGCAUUUUGGAGAUUCUGAAUUUUGUCCUUCCCAUAUGGUUGAUUAUUUUUCCGCCAUGAUGAAAUUUCAUGACGACAAUUAUCAAUCUUUGUGAUGAAAUCCUCUGAACGGCCUUCCUGAUUUUCUGUCCAUCCUGAUACUAUUGAUUCCAUAAGCCCUUCUUGACCAAUCCAUCGUUUAUCAAACCUAAACUGUCCUCUUUUCCUUCUUGGUACUUUUUCUUCCAAAAAGGCUACCACAGGUCGAUGAUAGGAUCCCACCAAUCUCAAAUAUUCUGUAUAAGAAUAUGGAAAAAGAGUAUGUUAUUCCUCAUUAGCCAAAGCUCUAUCCAGUCGGCAUCUAACCGUAAAUGCUCCAUGCCCUUUACCUCUCCGACCUUGCCAUGACAUCUUAUUUCCCCGAGCCGAAAAUUCCAAUAAACCACUAUUCCUUAUCAUAUUAUUAAAAGGGAUAAAAGAAGCUGUACUCCGUAGAGACGCCCCAUCCUUUUAUGAUUCCCAGUAAUCUCAUUUAGAUCGCCAAUAAUAAACUAGGGUUCAGAUCGUGCUAAUCCGUAUCGAGUUAAGCGUUCCCAUACCUGUUCUCUUAGCUUUUGAACCGGAUCUCCAUAAACGAAAGUAAGAAAGACUUGUUUCCCAUUAGACACCGCUUCUAUGUCAAUCAUUCUAUUACUAGAGUAUAAUAUUUUUACUUGAUAUUCAUUGUUAUAGUAAAGAGCCAAACCACCACUUCUCCCGCUCGGAUCCACAGUAACCAAGCUAUCAUAUCCAAAGUGAGCCUGAAAUUUUUGAACAAAUUCAAACUCCUGUUUCGUCUCUGACAAAAAUAAAAAAUCUGGUUUAUGCUUAUGCCGUAUUUCCUUAAGAUAACUUAUGGUCCAGUGACUUCCAAGUCCUCUGCAAUUCCAACUUAGUAUUUUCAUAAAAAAAAUAUUUUUAUAUUGCUCAUACGAGCUAGAGGAUUCAGGCUUGAUGUCACCCAAAGACCGAAACACGCCAACAUUCCAUAACCACCAUACCAGAGCAAUUGUUACACAUUCAACACAUACAAAACCCCUAUAUAGUUCCAUCACACCUUGACGUAAUGCCACAUUCCGAUAACCAUUAUUAUUACAACUGUGAUUUAAUAACAAAGGCCCCCUUGAAACACCCGAGUUCAGUCUCAUUCUCGAUAACCAUGAUCUCGAAAUCAACCGAGGAAAUCUAUUAAGACAAGCCCAUGUCAUAAAGAAUUUAAUCCCUUGCAGUUCAAAUAUAUCCACAUAUCCAAGGCAAUGCAAAUUAUAAUAAUUACUCUUCGAAUCUUCCCUACUAAUUCUCUCCGUAGAAUUCUUAUACUGAAUCUUAUUUAAAAAAAUAGCUACUGUGGCCAUAAGAACCAAAAUCGCAAGCAUUUGUUCAUACUGCUUUUGGGCCACACCCUUUACAUUCAAAGCCACUAAUACCAACCCAUUACCUAGCCAAUUUGGCUUUACACACCCGAUCAAGAUAAUGGUAAGAAAAAACCAAUUAUUAGUGACAUUAUGUGUACUAGAUCUAAUCCAACUCUCCCAUACAUUCCAAAAGUCAUCGCCAGAGAAUCCACCUAGCACCAUUAUACUAAGAGAUACCUGUAGAUUAACCAUGGAAAACCAUCUAAGAUGAACCCAAUGUUGAAUCCAUGAAAGUUCCUUUUUAUUCCCAAACCACAUAACAAGAUUAAAAGGACAAAGAAGACACCUUAAACCCAAACCGCAAAAAGAAACCGUGCUACCAUUUGAACCAACUACACCAUACUUGCUCAUAGAACUUAUUUGAAAAAAGUAAAACCCAAUACGAAAAUUAAAACCCCGCCCACUUAAAACAACAGAGAAAACUUGAUUCAUAAAACCUAUGGUUUUGGAAUUCCACUCUUCGGGAAUUAGGGUCCCUUGCUCUCCUGCUGCUUGACGUUAUCUCCAUGACGUGUGCCUGUCUUGGUCGGAGCUCGUUUCCGCGGCGAAGCAAGCGCAGACGCAAUCCUCAUCUUCGUGCUCACUGCGGUACCCAAUGAGGCCUUAAGCAGUCUCUUGCGAGAAGCAUGCUUCUUCCCUGUUACUUCAUCAACCUGCUCCUUCUCCUCAGCGUUAGUGCCUAUCUCCAGCUCCCUCUGGGUGUUAUCACCCUCCUCCUGUUCCUUCAUCAUCUCCUCCAGCUCACUAUCAGAAACGUCUGGUAAGCUAUCUGCCGCAUCCAAAUCAAUUCCGUGCUCCAAAAAGACAGCUCGAAACUCAUCCAAAUGGGUGCGUAUACUCAUAUACUCCCACUUAAAAAAUCGCCAUUAUUGUAAUCGAGUUUUUAAGAAACUUCAAAAACUUUUACUACAAUAUACGUUGUCCUUUUUAUCGGAAAACGUUUAACAAGUUGUUCCUGGAAUUCUUGAGAGGGAAGUAUUUUGUCGAUCACCACAGGAUCCCUAAUCUCUCCAUCUUCCUUCGCCUCACUCCUUACUGUACCAUGAACCUGUUGAGCCCCUGUGUGUCCUGAUAAAGUCCUACCAUGGCCCUCUUGAGUAUCAACCUGAGUCUCAUCUCUCAGUGAACUUCUGUAUCUCGAGCCCUCGCCAUCUCCGCGGUAGCCUUUGUGGCCAUUAGAGGAUCCCUUGUUUCCUCUAUCAGCCGCCUUAACCCAUUUCAAGUCAGCCUCAUCAGUCAUCUUGCCCUUGCCCUUCCCAUGGUAGUCGCGGCCAUCUCGCUCUUUGUAUUGUUGUUUCGGAGCUCCAUUGAUGACUACCCCCUUAUAGCUCCGUGCUCGAUCGUCAUGCUUCCCCCCAUCAUACCAACCCCCGUUCCCUUCUCUAUCUUCCCUUCUCUUCUCUGGACUCGCCAUCGCGACAGUCUUCUUUGACAGAGGACAUAGCUCCUCUUUAUGACAGAGACUCGAACAAACAUCACAGUACCCGAACAGUUUCUCAUACCUCAAAGAGAUCUUUACUUCCUCGCCAUCGUAGAACUCACCCCCUUUGAAGUCCAAAGUGGUUUCAAAGCAUAACUCUUGAAACGCAUCCACCACCACCUGAACUCGACAAUGUUCCACAUCCACUGCUACUAAUCUUCCAAGUGCCUCGCCGAGGCUUUCAAAAGUUGGGGCCGUCCUGAACUCCAUUGGAACACCAAUCACUUGAACCCAAAAAGUGAUUUCGGAUGGGAAUAGUUGAUUCUUCUUUGGUUGCCACCGCGCCAAAGCAAGCAUCCAGUAAUCAAAAUGAUAAGGCUGAAGCUUCAUGACCGCAUCAAUAUCAUUCUCCGUUUCAAAAUCAAAUUGAAACUUGCCAAACCCCAAGUCUGUCCCAAUCACCCGAUCCUCCAACUUCCAUAUCUUAGGUACAUUCUGGAUCAAAGCCUUCAUGUCUUGCUCCGGAGGAUUCAUACACCUUCCAAUCAGAGUUUUGGAGUAGGUCUUGAUGAGCGCCGAGUUGUCGAAGUGAGGCACCGUAAUCUUCAAUCUUUUUCGAGCACUCUCUCCUUCUUUCAUAUCCCCACCGUUACCCACUAGUUGCCCCUGUGUCAUGAUGAACAAAAUGAGAGAAAGACCUUGUUUUGUUCUGUAGAAAAACGUACAAGAUUGAUUCGAUGAGUUCCAAUAAAACAGAGACCCAAUAUCCCCUUUAUAAUAAAUCCCACUUUCCAAAUACCCGAGCCAAGGUUGAUCCCCUUUAAUUCCAUAUAUCUCCAACUGAUAUUCUUUGUGAAAUCUCGUUCCCAAUCUUCUCCAUGGAAUCUUAUUAUCAUAAACACUAGAAAUCACAACUCUCCAUAUCGCUUUUGUACUUCCCCCAUUCUCCUUAAAAGAGAAACAAUACAGAAUCUUUAAACAGCCAGACUCAAUACCUGUAGAUCUCUGUGAUUUCGUCUUGAUGAUGAUCGAAAUCGUAAUCGAGAUCUCUGAAACACGAGUCCUCCUUAAUUUUCCAAAAUAUCCAUUCCGUAUAUCCAAAUCAAAUCCCCUGGCUAUCUACAACGUGAUCAUGGGAACCCCAUGGCUCAACGCCAUGCAGGCGGUUCCGUCAACCUUCCACCUGGGUCUCAAAUUCCCAACCCUAAGCGGAGUCGCGGCCAUCUGGGGGUGCCAAAAACAGUCGCGGCUAUGCUUCCUCGCAGAGCACAAGUUAAGAAAAAUCACGACUUGUGCAGCUGUAAACGGCAAGCGCACGAAGAUAGACCAAUCUUCGGCCAAAAGCACCUCGGGGAAAAACGAAUUAAAAACGUCUACCAACGCAAACGCAUCGGACGUCGAAGCUCGACACAAGUCUGAAGCCCACGCUACAACUCAACCGGAACAUCCGGAAAAUUGCGUUGACCCAGCCACGAUCGACAAGGUCAAUGCGGACAUCACGACAUCUACCGCCGAGUAAGAACACUCGCGGCAUGAAACAGAACUACGAGAUGACUUGAUCCUCGAAAGGGGUAUGUAGGCAGCUCGUCAAAAGACGAGUUCAGCUAUCCCCCUCUCUAAAAAGGGGGGGGGGGAGUGGGUGCGUAUACUCGUAUACUCCCACAAUCGCCAUUAUUGUAAUCGAGUUUUUAGAAACAUAAAAAUUUUUACAAUAUACACUGUCUUUUUAUCGAAAACGCUUACGCUUCAGUUUACGCUCGUCUGCGGCCCCAUCCGGCCCAAAAAUCGUAAAGAUUAUCAUCUUUCAAACACGCAAAAAUACACGUAUAAUCCUCGAAAUAACUGCGAGACGUCGCAAAAGUUAAAAUUCGAGGACAAUGCUAACAAAUUGUCCGAACGCGACCACCAAAAACCUUACACCCCGUUCGUCGAUUGGCCCCGACGAACACGCCAGCCGUCUUAAACAAACGCAAUUCGAUCACUCUUUUGAUCUUUAAAAACGUCCAGCACAAGGACAAAAGCGCGCUACAACAAAAAUCCGAAAUUUUGGUUUAGCACUUCCAGUUAAUUCUGAGAAGAUGCUCGAUUCGUACCAUACAAGUCAUAUAAGCCGAGAACAUAUCGCGGACUUUAAAUCGGUGCGAAUCAGGAAGAAAUCGCAACAGGAAAAACGAUAGCCGGCUAGUCACCGCACAAACCUUAACCGAAAGUAAACCUAGGUCUUGCCCUAAACCCAACGCUCUGGUCUCAAACAUCUCAAGGCAUGAUAUCUAAAAGAUACGAGAUCCUAAACCAUGUCUCUCCGUUCGUAUCUCAAUGUUCUCGAAAAUCGUAAAGAUAAAUAAUUUUUACGAAAAUCACGAACGAACCAACAGAUUGAACGUCUCAUCGGAAUUAAAUAUGAGACGACAACUCAUAUUUACUUCAAACCUACUCAGGAAAACUCGAAAACGAAAACAUUCAUCAUAUAAAUAACCGCGUAAAGCGGUAAGGGGAUUCAAAGCCACCAACGGCCAAUCCCGAUAAACGAUAAAAACGGCCAAAACAGGCCCGUACAAAUCUCUCGGCCACAAUCGGCCAUAAACAUGAAACAGAAAGACGAGCAUCUCUCUUUCGAUAACUAUUCCACCUCUCAUAAUCCAAAGUCAAAGUCCCCGGACAACGAAGCACCGAACGCAUCCGCGGGACGAUCCACUUCCUCGCCAUCAUCGGGAAACCCAGUCGAAACCUCCUCGGUAUCAGGGGAAACCGGGAUGGAAUCCCAGAACCCUUGAAUCCGCUCGUCGAUCGGAGGGAUAAGCGCCUCAGCGUGGGCACGUUCAUUCAUCCCACUCUUCAUCAAGCUCAUUUCCUCCUCAAACGCAUAGUCAUCGGCUCGCGUCCUCCAAAGACUUCCGACCGAACCGCGGCACUCACGAAAGUCACCCACCAAGGUAAAGGCAUUCUUGAGGUUCCCAUACUCAACCUGGAAUUGAGAGGCACGAGUCUUCAUCACCUCGACGAUUUCCCUCUUGCCUUUCCUUUCCGCUUUGCGGAUGGCCCGCGCAUGAUCACGAGUAAGUUGCGCCUCUCGCUCCAACAUCUCGCCUUGCACGCGAGCGAGAUCCCGCUCCGCUUUCUCCGCUUUGAAGCGGUAGACCAUGGCUUCUCUAUGGCCCGCCUCAAUGGCCGAGCCCAGCAAGCUCAGGCCCUGCAAAAUCGAUUGACAUGUUAUAAAUAUAUAUAUACAUAGGACAAUCACCAAAAAAUUCUCAAAAAACUAACCCCAUUGAUGAUGCGAGAUCCUUCCGCAACGACUCUCGGCCUCGCCGAUUCUUUCGUAGGAGGAGGAGCAUCGAAACCCGGUGGCAGAUCAGCAAAGAAAUCAUCGAAAUCCGGAAUAGGGACCUCGCUCGAACCACUCCCAUCGCCGUAAGCAAGGUUCGGAUCCCAUCCUGGAAGCAUAGAGUCAUCCAUCGAAAAUUCUAUGUCGCCAAGAUCGACAUCUUUUCCCUUCCGAGAGCUCGACUCCGGCACAGCUGUUGGAGCUUCGACGGGAUUCUGGUCGUCAGAUUCGGAGUCGCUUCCCGUGUCCGCAGCCAAAGCAGGACCGGGUUGCACGAAUCUCAGUGCCUUCCGAACCCUCUUCGGCGUAAAAGAAGUCCAGAAGAAGGGACCGUUCCUGAGAAGAUCCCUCACCGCAAUGAUGUCCUCAGGGAACGGAGCAAGAGGGUUGAUGAAGGGACGAUCAUUCGGCAACCUCCGGAACAGUGGAAUGCAACUCUCUUCGACGGACGCAGCGUCUAUACGAACAAAGAAAAAGAACUUCUUCCACGAGUUGAAGUUCGAAAUGAACUUCUUAACCACUGACAUAAAUUUCCGAGGGACCAACCUAUGCUUAUCCGUAUCUGUGACAAGUUGAAGCCUCAAAAGCGCUUCAUAAUGAUCGACGGAAAGGGAAAGGCCAUGCUCGUAGCUUAGGAUCAGGAUCCCAAUAAGAUGCUGAAUGGCAAGGGGAGUCAACUGGCUUAUCGCAACUUUGAAACGGUCCAACACUCGGACGAGAAUUUCGGGUAUUGGGAACCAUAGGCGACAACGCACUACGAACGCCUCGUAGCAAGUGAAGUAACCCUCUGGGGGGCUGUUAGCACAUUCCCCACGGCGAGGAACCCGGAACUCCACAGCAUCCGGGAUAUGGUAGAACGAUCGCAUGAUCGCGAGAAACUCGUCGGUACUCCUGCUUGCAUCCCCUCUCUCGACUCCACGAUGGGUCAGGACCGGGAACGACUUCUCCUUGGGAGUGGUCAACGAGCCAUAAUGAGCAACCCACCAUGCCUCGUUCUCGGCAGGAUGUACCGAGUGAGGCACGAACUCCAUCUUCGGAACAAUGAGCUGUUCGUAAGCACUCGCGGAUGAAGACCCUUUUUUCGCAAUCUUUUUCUUGCUCGACAUCUUUAAACUUCUCCUAAGAAAAUAGAGGAAAAGGGUGGAGAGAAAGAAAGAAAUUUUUUUUUCUUAAGAAAGAUCUUACAGAAAGACAAGAAAGUGAAAAAAUUAUGAAACAAGUUACCUCCCUUCUUAUAAGCAUGAGGAUUUACUGUUCAAGCUCGGACUUUCGGAUAUUAAUUACAUACAUCACGCCUAACUUGCCUAACAUGCCUAACCGCACGCUAGGAUCCUACGAUGCAUGAUCCUAACGGGCUAGGGGGCUAACUGUUGGGGUCAAAAAUGGUUACGACGGAAUUACCACCCGAAAAUCCUCGGAAAUCGUAUUUCCGAAAGAGAUAGUAAAAGGGAAGAUGUAACUUUCGUAAAAUAUAACCAAAACGAAGUUUUUACGAAGAAGUAUCCUUGAAGAUUCAAACCAAACUAACCAAGCUCGACCGUUGCGUAAUUACCACGCAUAAACGCUGUCCGGUCGCUGCGUAGCAACCAAGUCCAAGCCAAAGCUCGGUCGCUACGAAGCGACCGAGCUCGAGUCAAAGCUCGGUCGCUACGUAGCGACCGAGCGUUCGUCCCGCUCGGUCGCUACGUAGCGGCCGACCGUUCCUCCUGCUCGGUCGCUACGUAGCAACCGGGCUCGAGCCGAAGUUCAGUCGCUGUGUAGCGAUCGAACCCUUCCGAACAUCGAUACGAUAUCAAUCCAUGCAUUCUCGUCAAACCUUCGAAUGCUAUCUCCCGAAGACCGUAGCAAGCUCAGUCCAUGUUUUCCGCUAUUCAAAUUCAUCGAUCAAACUUCGCGGAUUAGAAACCGCGAAAAGUUCGUUCUUUAUCAAAAAGAAUUUGUAGUAAACAUGUCGAGUCGGAAGACGGCCCAAAGGGAUCUAAAACACGACUCGAGGCCCAUCCUACGAUUUCUUAACCAAAAGCCCGUAAACCGCAGCACGGUUUACGCUUGGUCCACAAGGAAGGAUAAAUGUCAAGUUUCCGCGGAUAAAUACGGAAGUUUUGAAGAUAAUUGGAAGAUCGGGAAAAUGGAAUAUCUCCAUUUUUAUGCUAUGACGGCUUAAGGGCAGAAGAGUAAAAGCGUAAACCGACCUUGGAGCUAGUAUAUAAGGAGUCCUAGACGAGGAGCAUGACAGGGGAUUUUUCAGAGCAAACUUAGCACUUAGAGCAAUUUAGGCAAUUACUCUUUGUAUUGUUGUUUCGGAGCUCCAUUGAUGACUACCCCCUUAUAGCUCCGUGCUCGAUUGUCAUGCUUCCCCCCAUCAUACCAACCCCCGUUCCCUUCUCUAUCUUCCCUUCUCUUCUCUGGACUCGCCACCCCCCGGCUUAUACCUUGUUGUAUACGCUCAUACGCAGAUUCGGAAUAAGAUCUACUUUGCUCUCUUUUUCGAUUUCUUAUUCUUAUCGUUGUUAUUCUCGUGUUCUGAUUGCUUGAUUUCUCAUACCUCAAAGAGAUCUUUACUUCCUCGCCAUCAUAGAACUCACCCCCUUUGAAGUUCAAAGUGGUUUCAAAGCAUAACUCUUGAAACGCAUCCACCACCACGUUAUGAUGAUUCAGGCCCUGCAGCACAAAUUUUCUCUCGCCAUGAACUUAACACUUUAUGCUUCCAAAUAAUCAAAUCUAACUUUCUUUGAAGCUACCAUUUUCUUAGUCAAUAAAUCUUCGCCUUGUACACAUUGCUGUGAGUACCUUUCACAAUCUAUAAUUUUAAAAAUAUUAAAUCAUUCAUUUUAUCAAAAACAAAAGAAUAAUUAACCAAAUUAACUAAUUUAAAAGGUAUCUAAAGCUAAGAAAACAAAGUGUUUAGAGUCCUACAUACCAGAGGACACUGACAGCAUUAGUGUUGUUGCAGGUCAGGCAAGUAAAGGCUGAGACAGUCGGUUGAAGCUUCGGUCCACCUGGAGCAACAGACGUAACGACACCUUUUGUCCAUCUUCAUGCCGGUGGAGCAAGACGGUUGACAUUCACGUCGACUGGCAUGAAUGUUGACUGCAAUACAUGUGUAAAGAAAGCAUAAUAAACAAAUGGGUUCAAGAUUUAUCAUUCAAAAGAGUUUGAAUAAGGAUCUUAACACAGAGUAUUGGAUAUUUUAUUAGUUUAAAGCUAGAAAUAGUUUAAAAUUUAGCAGUUCAUGAGGUUCAUGAACAGAAUACCUCAGCAUCGAGGAGGAUCUGUUGAAGAGAUAUGAAGAGAGUAUGGGUUCAAGGAGAGCAAUACUCACAUCUAUUUAUACGGUUUAGAGACCGCCUUUCGCAAACCAUUGAAGAUGGAUCGUGGAAGGGACAAUCAAUUCGAUGUACCACAACCAUUAAUAGAACCGUUUCAGAUCGAACGAAGAAACGCGAAAGUCCCUCAUCGCCGCCGCGUCGAAGAGGAAGAAGGAGCUGCUUUUUUUUUUAUCUGGAUUAGGGUUAGCGUAACUUGCUUGGCAGAACAGAACGCAAGGGGCCAACAAAAAGCCCACGUCACGAAAUAAAGCCCAAGUCACGUCUCGUUAGUUUUAAUGAAACGACGCAGAGCGACACGUGGCACGCGUACAGGAGGCGAGUUUCCAGGCUGGAUCCGACGUGGACUCCUAGGAAGGAGGCAAACACUAUUAUAUAAUAAUAGAUGUUUUUGUGGUAAUGUUAAUCGUACAUGUUUUUGAUAUUUAUUAGACUUUGUCUUAUUUAUGGACUUGUUAACUGUUGUCUAAUUGGGAACGCUUAGUUCCAUAUUUUGAUGGGCCGUAGUUUUUUUUUUGACAACAAAAGUAUCUACAGACUCAUGUGGACUCUGUAAACCAAAAUGGCAACUCUGCAUCCAUGUGUACGACGAACGACGGUUGUAUCCGAGCACUGCGUGCCAAGCGAUCCGCCAUUGUAUUAUUCGUCCUAGGAACAUGAACAAUAUCCGAGUUGGUGAAGCUUCUUCUCAAAAGCUUAAUAUCCUCCUGGUAACUUUCAAAUGCUGGCCAUUCCUCUGGUUCUGAAACCAUCUUCACCAGUUGGGAACAAUCCGUUGCAAACGUGACCCCAUACUGUCGCAAGUUUUUCAUACAUUCCAUUGCAAAGAUUAAUGCUUCCAUCUCCGCAUGAAGAUGUGAGAGACUUGCCCUUACAUUCCUUGCCCCUAGUAAACCUUAAAACCCUGGAAUGGUACUGAACCAUCCUUGUCCUCUGAAAGAAUCUUUAUCUUUCCAAGAACCAUCCGUGAAACACCAUCGUCCUGCGUUCCCUAAAUGUGAUCGGAUCUGUACUUCAGGCGCCACCCUUGGAUUAUUGAUCCUCUGUGCCUCUGCCCAAAGUGUUGAUUCCAAUUCUGCUAAUUUAAGCGUGUCCCUCGGAUCCGUAUCUAUAUUAUUGAAAACCUUAUUAUUCCUACCCUUCCAAAUGUACCAUAAUAUCCAUGCAAACUGAUGAUCCUCCAUUUUUGGGUUGACUCUCCAAAAUAAGUGAUCCAUAUUAGCGAAUAGAGAACCAAUAGGGAAUAAUGUCGGGUUUGAUGGAAUCUUUGAUAGUGCCCACACUUGACGUGCCGGAGGACACUCGAAGAAAGCAUGAUUUAUUGAUUCCUCUGGGUCUCCACACCGUACACAAACUGUAUCUCCUUUUAUUCCCCUUGAUUUUAAAUUCUUUGUCACUGCUAUACAACCUGUCAGCAACUGCCAUAGAAAAUGCCUUAACUUUGGAGGGCAUUUCACUUUCCAGCAGAAUGCCUUGAGAAUAUCCACAUUAGGGCCAUAAAACUCCGGUGGUUUUUCCUUAUCUGGAUAUAUCCUUUCGACAUGAUACCCUGAUUGUACCGUAUAUCUCCCAUUAUUAGUGAAAUGCCAACCAUUCCUGUCUUCCAUUUGAUUUCUACUCAGAGGAAUACUCUCAAUCAAUUUCGCAUCGUUGGGUUGCACCAAAGUCCUAAGUGCCUGUAAAUUCCAAGUGCGGGAGUCUUGAUGAAUAAGGGAAUCCACUGUAAGGUCCGGGUAACUAUUGUGAAGGUUUUUGUUAGCUGGUCUCGAGCGAGUGGAUGGGAGCCAAGGAUCAUUCCAUACUGAAAUAGAUGACCCUGUGCCCACCCUUUUAAUUAGUCCUUUACAAACCAGAGAUCUAGCAGAGAUGAUACUCCUCCAUCCAUACGACGGGGAGUAUGAGCGAAUCAGUUCCAGGGGUGAAGCAUUCCUGUAAUACCAUCCUUUAAAAACUCGAGAGAAAAGAGAGUUUGGUUUCUCUAUCAGCCUCCACAAUUGCUUUCCAAGCAUUGCCGUGUUAAAAUCAUUUAAAUCUUUAAAACCUAGUCCACCAUUAUCCUUAUGUUCACACAAUUUAUCCCAUGAUUUCCAGUGCAUUCCCCUUGUACUUCCUCCUGGGCUCCACCAAAAAAAAUCUACUGCACUCGUUAGUUUCUUCACUGUAGCUUUCAGUAAUCUGUACACCGACAGCACAAGAAAAAAGUCUUUAAAUGUUUUGUAAAUGUAUGUCUCAAAAUAUUUUUAGCACAGAUUGUAUGAACAAUAGAUGGACAAAUGGAUUCAUAUAUUUUCUGCAAAUUUGUCCACAUUUAGGUUAUUUGUGUCUUCAGGGAGCUUUGGCCCCAAUAAGGAUCCGGGUUCGAAUCCCGCUGGCCACCGUCGAUUAAAAUGAGGUGAAAAAAGCGGUUUUCCAGGAUGCCUUCGGCGAAAAUGUACUUAGGCGCUAGUCGGGUUUCCUCCGGGAUGUUCGGAUUACCUGGAUUAUAAAAAAAAAUAACAAUAAUAACUGAAGUAGUAAAUGUACUGAAUGACUUCUUACAUUUAUGAAAUUCUUAUGGAUGAAGACUAUUCCACUAAUGUAGAUCCCACUUUCACUAAUUUAAAAUAGUAUAUAUGUUGCAAAAUAUAGUUCCAUUUGUUGAUAUGUGAUCACACGUUUCAUAGCCCAAAUAAAGCGUUUCACUAGUAUGCGAUGAUGAAAAUUACAUUUGAUGUUCCUAGUCCCCAUUAAUACAUUUAACUCAAUCUUUAGUAAGGAGCCAUUCUUGUCCUUAAAACUGACAAGUCUUUUCCAAAGAGUCAUCUAUGCAGCAUCAACAUCUAUUUGAAUCAAUUAAAGAGCAUUUUAAUAACUCCACUUGAAUGGACAUGAUGUAAACCAUAAUUAAUCCCGAAUAAUUGGCCAACCUUUUUGCGCUCUAGAUUGUUAUCAUCAUAAAUUUUAUCAUUUCUAUUUUCAUUCAUGCUAUAGUUUUCAUAUACAUUCUAUUUGAUUUAUAGGGUGGAACCCUUCUAUUUUUUUUAUUUUUUUUUUGUUCGACUGUCCAUUUAGGCUAGAUCAAGUGGUGGUAGACGAGUCGAUUCUACGUAGAGUAUCUCCGUCUAUACGGAUCUGAUCUAUAAGGAAAAAAAUAUAUCAUCUACGUCUUGCUUCUUUCGCUAGUACAUAUGCUCGACCAUUCAUAUUCCGAAAAAUAUGAGACAAACUCACAUCCUCAAUGGGAUGGGAUGGGAAAGACAAUAAACUCAAUGAAACGUUUUUACUUUUCAAAUUUCGUUGAAAUAAAACAAAAUUGUCUGUAAAAAGAACAAUCAACUUUGGUUGACAAGCCAUUUUAAUUAUAAAUUUUGUUAACCAUAUCAUUUUACUCAUAUUGUUAGUCAACUAAAGUUGAUGAUUUUUUAGAAAAAAUAUAAAUUAACAUUUUCCCAAAAAAAAAAAAUGGAUGCUAACUUUUAGAAUAAAUUAUUUAAUAACUAUAAAAUGUUAUACUAUGAAUAUAAUAAAUAAAAACAUAUUUCAUUAUUUUAUUCACAAUAAAUUUAUAUAAUUUUCAUUUGUAUUCUAAAAUAUUUAGUUAAUAUUUAUGAAGAAGUUUAAUAAUUAUUUACGACAAUUAUAUGAUUUUGUAAUUAUCCAUAUGGUCCUAAUUGAAUUAUGUUUCAUAAUUUUAUUGUCAAUAUUUUGAUUUUUUUUUUUUUUUGCAUAUUUGUUUAAAUCUCAGAUGAAUAAAAUUAAUGGUGGAUGGAUUUUUUAUGAUUCCAUUGAUGUACGUAGCAACAUUUUGGAUUUUAACAGUUUCCGGUAAAACUUAUUUCUCAUUAAAUUCAGAAGGAAUUUAUAACAAAUUUAUAGAAAUUAUAUACAUUUUCUUUCGAAGAUCUUUAUUAUAAACAUAAAUAAUCACAAGGAAUCCAUCAACCGAUAAAAAUUUUCAUUUGAGAAUCACAAGUUGAAUUAACAUUUUACUAACAAAAUUUUCAACAUUAAACACCCUGUGUUUGAUUUUAUAUUUUAUGUUCCCAGACUAAAACAUAUAAUAUUUAUUGACAAAAAUAAUAAAUAUGUUGUAAACUUAAGGAUUUAAAACUGUAAGUUUCUGUAUAUUAUUAAUGAAUAAAUGUUCUCUUUAUAUAGGGGUUACAAGAGAAAUAAAUGGAAAUAUAAUAUUAGGAAAGAUUACAAAUCAUAAACAUAAACGAAUUAGGAAAUAGGCAAGUUGUAGCCGCCUCUCUCUCCUCUCCAAGAUUCGCGGCAACCUCUCUCUCUCUAGGGUUGGGCCGUCUCUCUCUCUAAGUGUAUGGGCCGGUUAUGGACCGGGCCGGUUAUGGACAUGCACCAAUUGGUUUAUAACACUCCCCCUUGGAUGCCAUAACCAUACAAGGAUUGUAAUACACUUAAUGUUGCCUCAUUAAAACCCAGUGGGACAAAACCAUGAUGAAGGAAAAAGAGUACAACACGUACUACUCCCCCUGAUGUGAACCUCAGUGGAGGUCCUUCAGCCUACGCAUCCCAAUCUGAUGCGUGAGCUUCUUGAACGUGCAAGUAGGAAGUGCCUUGGUGAAUAGGUCAGCUGAAUUGUCAUUGGCUCAUACUUGGACGACCUGGACCUCACCGGCUUUCUGAAGCUCGUGAGUAUAGAAGAACUUAGGCAAUAUGUGCUUCGUCCUAUCACCUUUUAUGUAACCGUCCUUGGGCUGAGCAAUGCACGCAGCAUUGUCCUCAUACAUCACUGUUGGCUUUUUGCACUUGGCCUUCCCGAAAUCAGCUCGGACGUGUUGGGUCAUCGACCUCAACCAAACACACUCGCGGCUGGCCUCAUGUAUGGCCAAGAUUUCCGAGUGAUUAGAUGAAGUGGCCGCGAUGGUUUGUUUCAUGGAACGCCAUGAUAUGGUCGUACCUCCAUGUGUAAAGACAUAUCCUGUCUGUGAUCGAGCUUGAUGUGGAUCUGAUAAAUAACCAGCAUCAGCAAAGCCAACUAAACCAUUUUUGUUAUGGUUAGUAUAAUAUAGACCCAAGUAUUUCGUUCCUUGCAGAUAACGAAGAACAUGUUUGAUCCCAUUCCAAUGCCUCUGGGUCGGACAGGAGCUAAACCUAGAUAGUAGGUUCACAGCAAAGCUUAUAUCAGGCCAUGUGUGAGUUGCCAAGUACAUUAAAACUCCUAUGGCACUGAGAUAUGGCAUUUCGGGACCUAGUUCAUCUUCACCGUCCAUCUUGGGACGGAAUGGGUCAGUGUCCAGACCGAGAGACCUCACGACCAUGAGACUGGUCAGAGGAUGGCAAUCAGCCAUAUUGAAUCUCUUGAGUACCUUUUCUGUACAUGCCAUUUGAUGCACAAGGAUUCCAUCACUUAUGUACUCAAGCUGUAAUCCCAAACAGAAUUUCGUUUUUCCCGAGAUCUUUCAUCUCAUAUUCUUUCUUAAGGUAUUCAACCGUUUGGAAAAUCUCUUCAGAGGUUCCUAGGAUAUUUUAUAUCAUUAACAUAUGCUUGUAUACUUUAGUUCUCGAGAACCUGUUGCAUUUGACAACUCAAUACCCUCUGGGACUUAUAUAUAUAUCUCAUUAUCCAGUGGACCAUACAAGUAGGCGGUUUCUACAUCCUUUAACCGCAAGUCUAUUUUUCUUCUUUUAUGGCCAGACUUGUUAGNNNNNNNNNNNNNNNNNNNNNNNNNNNNNNNNNNNNNNNNNNNNNNNNNNNNNNNNNNNNNNNNNNNNNNNNNNNNNNNNNNNNNNNNNNNNNNNNNNNNNNNNNNNNNNNNNNNNNNNNNNNNNNNNNNNNNNNNNNNNNNNNNNNNNNNNNNNNNNNNNNNNNNNNNNNNNNNNNNNNNNNNNNNNNNNNNNNNNNNNNNNNNNNNNNNNNNNNNNNNNNNNNNNNNNNNNNNNNNNNNNNNNNNNNNNNNNNNNNNNNNNNNNNNNNNNNNNNNNNNNNNNNNNNNNNNNNNNNNNNNNNNNNNNNNNNNNNNNNNNNNNNNNNNNNNNNNNNNNNNNNNNNNNNNNNNNNNNNNNNNNNNNNNNNNNNNNNNNNNNNNNNNNNNNNNNNNNNNNNNNNNNNNNNNNNNNNNNNNNNNNNNNNNNNNNNNNNNNNNNNNNNNNNNNNNNNNNNNNNNNNNNNNNNNNNNNNNNNNNNNNNNNNNNNNNNNNNNNNNNNNNNNNNNNNNNNNNNNNNNNNNNNNNNNNCAAAGUGGUUUCAAAGCAUAACUCUUGAAACGCAUCCACCACCACCUGAACUCGACAAUGUUCCACAUCCACUGCUACUAAUCUUCCAAGUGCCUCGCCGAGGCUUUCAAAAGUUGGGGCCGUCCUGAACUCCAUUGGAACACCAAUCACUCGAACCCAAAAAGUGAUUUCGGAUGGGAAUAGUUGAUUCUUCUUUGGUUGCCACCGCGCCAAAGCAAGCAUCCAGUAAUCAAAAUGAUAAGGUUGAAGCUUCAUGACCGCAUCAAUAUCAUUCUCUGUUUCAAAAUCAAAUUGAAACUUGCCAAACCCCAAGUCUGUCCCAAUCACCUGAUCCUCCGACUUCCAUAUCUUAGGUACAUUCUGGAUCAAAGCCUUCAUGUCUUGCCCCGGAGGAUUCAUACACCUUCCAAUCGGAGUUUUGGAGUAGGUCUUGAUGAGCGCCGAGUUGUCGAAGUGAGGCACCGUAAUCUUCAAUCUUUUUCGAGCACUCUCUCCUUCCUUCAUGUCCCCACCAUUACCCACUAGUUGCCCCUGUGUCAUGAUGAACAAAAUGAGAGAAAUACCUUGUUUUGUUCUGUGGAAAAACGUACAAAAUUGAUUCGAUGAGUUCCAAUAAAACAGAGACCCAAUAUCCCCUUUAUAAUAAAUCCCAUUUUCCAAAUACCCGAGCCAAGGUUGAUCCCCUUUAAUUCCAUAUAGCUAGAAAUAGUUUAAAAUUUAGCAGUUCAUGAGGUUCAUGAACAGAAUACCUCAGCAUCGAGGAGGAUCUGUUGAAGAGAUAUGAAGAGAGUAUGGGUUCAAGGAGAGCAAUACUCACAUCUAUUUAUACGGUUUAGAGACCGCCUUUCGCAAACCAUUGAAGAUGGAUCGUGGAAGGGACAAUCAAUUCGAUGUACCACAACCAUUAAUAGAACCGUUUCAGAUCGAACGAAGAAACGCGAAAGUCCCUCAUCGCCGCCGCGUCGAAGAGGAAGAAGGAGCUGCUUUUUUUUUUAUCUGGAUUAGGGUUAGCGUAACUUGCUUGGCAGAACAGAACGCAAGGGGCCAACAAAAAGCCCACGUCACGAAAUAAAGCCCAAGUCACGUCUCGUUAGUUUUAAUGAAACGACGCAGAGCGACACGUGGCACGCGUACAGGAGGCGAGUUUCCAGGCUGGAUCCGACGUGGACUCCUAGGAAGGAGGCAAACACUAUUAUAUAAUAAUAGAUGUUUUUGUGGUAAUGUUAAUCGUACAUGUUUUUGAUAUUUAUUAGACUUUGUCUUAUUUAUGGACUUGUUAACUGUUGUCUAAUUGGGAACGCUUAGUUCCAUAUUUUGAUGGGCCGUAGUUUUUUUUUUGACAACAAAAGUAUCUACAGACUCAUGUGGACUCUGUAAACCAAAAUGGCAACUCUGCAUCCAUGUGUACGACGAACGACGGUUGUAUCCGAGCACUGCGUGCCAAGCGAUCCGCCAUUGUAUUAUUCGUCCUAGGAACAUGAACAAUAUCCGAGUUGGUGAAGCUUCUUCUCAAAAGCUUAAUAUCCUCCUGGUAACUUUCAAAUGCUGGCCAUUCCUCUGGUUCUGAAACCAUCUUCACCAGUUGGGAACAAUCCGUUGCAAACGUGACCCCAUACUGUCGCAAGUUUUUCAUACAUUCCAUUGCAAAGAUUAAUGCUUCCAUCUCCGCAUGAAGAUGUGAGAGACUUGCCCUUACAUUCCUUGCCCCUAGUAAACCUUAAAACCCUGGAAUGGUACUGAACCAUCCUUGUCCUCUGAAAGAAUCUUUAUCUUUCCAAGAACCAUCCGUGAAACACCAUCGUCCUGCGUUCCCUAAAUGUGAUCGGAUCUGUACUUCAGGCGCCACCCUUGGAUUAUUGAUCCUCUGUGCCUCUGCCCAAAGUGUUGAUUCCAAUUCUGCUAAUUUAAGCGUGUCCCUCGGAUCCGUAUCUAUAUUAUUGAAAACCUUAUUAUUCCUACCCUUCCAAAUGUACCAUAAUAUCCAUGCAAACUGAUGAUCCUCCAUUUUUGGGUUGACUCUCCAAAAUAAGUGAUCCAUAUUAGCGAAUAGAGAACCAAUAGGGAAUAAUGUCGGGUUUGAUGGAAUCUUUGAUAGUGCCCACACUUGACGUGCCGGAGGACACUCGAAGAAAGCAUGAUUUAUUGAUUCCUCUGGGUCUCCACACCGUACACAAACUGUAUCUCCUUUUAUUCCCCUUGAUUUUAAAUUCUUUGUCACUGCUAUACAACCUGUCAGCAACUGCCAUAGAAAAUGCCUUAACUUUGGAGGGCAUUUCACUUUCCAGCAGAAUGCCUUGAGAAUAUCCACAUUAGGGCCAUAAAACUCCGGUGGUUUUUCCUUAUCUGGAUAUAUCCUUUCGACAUGAUACCCUGAUUGUACCGUAUAUCUCCCAUUAUUAGUGAAAUGCCAACCAUUCCUGUCUUCCAUUUGAUUUCUACUCAGAGGAAUACUCUCAAUCAAUUUCGCAUCGUUGGGUUGCACCAAAGUCCUAAGUGCCUGUAAAUUCCAAGUGCGGGAGUCUUGAUGAAUAAGGGAAUCCACUGUAAGGUCCGGGUAACUAUUGUGAAGGUUUUUGUUAGCUGGUCUCGAGCGAGUGGAUGGGAGCCAAGGAUCAUUCCAUACUGAAAUAGAUGACCCUGUGCCCACCCUUUUAAUUAGUCCUUUACAAACCAGAGAUCUAGCAGAGAUGAUACUCCUCCAUCCAUACGACGGGGAGUAUGAGCGAAUCAGUUCCAGGGGUGAAGCAUUCCUGUAAUACCAUCCUUUAAAAACUCGAGAGAAAAGAGAGUUUGGUUUCUCUAUCAGCCUCCACAAUUGCUUUCCAAGCAUUGCCGUGUUAAAAUCAUUUAAAUCUUUAAAACCUAGUCCACCAUUAUCCUUAUGUUCACACAAUUUAUCCCAUGAUUUCCAGUGCAUUCCCCUUGUACUUCCUCCUGGGCUCCACCAAAAAAAAUCUACUGCACUCGUUAGUUUCUUCACUGUAGCUUUCAGUAAUCUGUACACCGACAGCACAAGAAAAAAGUCUUUAAAUGUUUUGUAAAUGUAUGUCUCAAAAUAUUUUUAGCACAGAUUGUAUGAACAAUAGAUGGACAAAUGGAUUCAUAUAUUUUCUGCAAAUUUGUCCACAUUUAGGUUAUUUGUGUCUUCAGGGAGCUUUGGCCCCAAUAAGGAUCCGGGUUCGAAUCCCGCUGGCCACCGUCGAUUAAAAUGAGGUGAAAAAAGCGGUUUUCCAGGAUGCCUUCGGCGAAAAUGUACUUAGGCGCUAGUCGGGUUUCCUCCGGGAUGUUCGGAUUACCUGGAUUAUAAAAAAAAAUAACAAUAAUAACUGAAGUAGUAAAUGUACUGAAUGACUUCUUACAUUUAUGAAAUUCUUAUGGAUGAAGACUAUUCCACUAAUGUAGAUCCCACUUUCACUAAUUUAAAAUAGUAUAUAUGUUGCAAAAUAUAGUUCCAUUUGUUGAUAUGUGAUCACACGUUUCAUAGCCCAAAUAAAGCGUUUCACUAGUAUGCGAUGAUGAAAAUUACAUUUGAUGUUCCUAGUCCCCAUUAAUACAUUUAACUCAAUCUUUAGUAAGGAGCCAUUCUUGUCCUUAAAACUGACAAGUCUUUUCCAAAGAGUCAUCUAUGCAGCAUCAACAUCUAUUUGAAUCAAUUAAAGAGCAUUUUAAUAACUCCACUUGAAUGGACAUGAUGUAAACCAUAAUUAAUCCCGAAUAAUUGGCCAACCUUUUUGCGCUCUAGAUUGUUAUCAUCAUAAAUUUUAUCAUUUCUAUUUUCAUUCAUGCUAUAGUUUUCAUAUACAUUCUAUUUGAUUUAUAGGGUGGAACCCUUCUAUUUUUUUUAUUUUUUUUUUGUUCGACUGUCCAUUUAGGCUAGAUCAAGUGGUGGUAGACGAGUCGAUUCUACGUAGAGUAUCUCCGUCUAUACGGAUCUGAUCUAUAAGGAAAAAAAUAUAUCAUCUACGUCUUGCUUCUUUCGCUAGUACAUAUGCUCGACCAUUCAUAUUCCGAAAAAUAUGAGACAAACUCACAUCCUCAAUGGGAUGGGAUGGGAAAGACAAUAAACUCAAUGAAACGUUUUUACUUUUCAAAUUUCGUUGAAAUAAAACAAAAUUGUCUGUAAAAAGAACAAUCAACUUUGGUUGACAAGCCAUUUUAAUUAUAAAUUUUGUUAACCAUAUCAUUUUACUCAUAUUGUUAGUCAACUAAAGUUGAUGAUUUUUUAGAAAAAAUAUAAAUUAACAUUUUCCCAAAAAAAAAAAAUGGAUGCUAACUUUUAGAAUAAAUUAUUUAAUAACUAUAAAAUGUUAUACUAUGAAUAUAAUAAAUAAAAACAUAUUUCAUUAUUUUAUUCACAAUAAAUUUAUAUAAUUUUCAUUUGUAUUCUAAAAUAUUUAGUUAAUAUUUAUGAAGAAGUUUAAUAAUUAUUUACGACAAUUAUAUGAUUUUGUAAUUAUCCAUAUGGUCCUAAUUGAAUUAUGUUUCAUAAUUUUAUUGUCAAUAUUUUGAUUUUUUUUUUUUUUUGCAUAUUUGUUUAAAUCUCAGAUGAAUAAAAUUAAUGGUGGAUGGAUUUUUUAUGAUUCCAUUGAUGUACGUAGCAACAUUUUGGAUUUUAACAGUUUCCGGUAAAACUUAUUUCUCAUUAAAUUCAGAAGGAAUUUAUAACAAAUUUAUAGAAAUUAUAUACAUUUUCUUUCGAAGAUCUUUAUUAUAAACAUAAAUAAUCACAAGGAAUCCAUCAACCGAUAAAAAUUUUCAUUUGAGAAUCACAAGUUGAAUUAACAUUUUACUAACAAAAUUUUCAACAUUAAACACCCUGUGUUUGAUUUUAUAUUUUAUGUUCCCAGACUAAAACAUAUAAUAUUUAUUGACAAAAAUAAUAAAUAUGUUGUAAACUUAAGGAUUUAAAACUGUAAGUUUCUGUAUAUUAUUAAUGAAUAAAUGUUCUCUUUAUAUAGGGGUUACAAGAGAAAUAAAUGGAAAUAUAAUAUUAGGAAAGAUUACAAAUCAUAAACAUAAACGAAUUAGGAAAUAGGCAAGUUGUAGCCGCCUCUCUCUCCUCUCCAAGAUUCGCGGCAACCUCUCUCUCUCUAGGGUUGGGCCGUCUCUCUCUCUAAGUGUAUGGGCCGGUUAUGGACCGGGCCGGUUAUGGACAUGCACCAAUUGGUUUAUAACACUCCCCCUUGGAUGCCAUAACCAUACAAGGAUUGUAAUACACUUAAUGUUGCCUCAUUAAAACCCAGUGGGACAAAACCAUGAUGAAGGAAAAAGAGUACAACACGUACUACUCCCCCUGAUGUGAACCUCAGUGGAGGUCCUUCAGCCUACGCAUCCCAAUCUGAUGCGUGAGCUUCUUGAACGUGCAAGUAGGAAGUGCCUUGGUGAAUAGGUCAGCUGAAUUGUCAUUGGCUCAUACUUGGACGACCUGGACCUCACCGGCUUUCUGAAGCUCGUGAGUAUAGAAGAACUUAGGCAAUAUGUGCUUCGUCCUAUCACCUUUUAUGUAACCGUCCUUGGGCUGAGCAAUGCACGCAGCAUUGUCCUCAUACAUCACUGUUGGCUUUUUGCACUUGGCCUUCCCGAAAUCAGCUCGGACGUGUUGGGUCAUCGACCUCAACCAAACACACUCGCGGCUGGCCUCAUGUAUGGCCAAGAUUUCCGAGUGAUUAGAUGAAGUGGCCGCGAUGGUUUGUUUCAUGGAACGCCAUGAUAUGGUCGUACCUCCAUGUGUAAAGACAUAUCCUGUCUGUGAUCGAGCUUGAUGUGGAUCUGAUAAAUAACCAGCAUCAGCAAAGCCAACUAAACCAUUUUUGUUAUGGUUAGUAUAAUAUAGACCCAAGUAUUUCGUUCCUUGCAGAUAACGAAGAACAUGUUUGAUCCCAUUCCAAUGCCUCUGGGUCGGACAGGAGCUAAACCUAGAUAGUAGGUUCACAGCAAAGCUUAUAUCAGGCCAUGUGUGAGUUGCCAAGUACAUUAAAACUCCUAUGGCACUGAGAUAUGGCAUUUCGGGACCUAGUUCAUCUUCACCGUCCAUCUUGGGACGGAAUGGGUCAGUGUCCAGACCGAGAGACCUCACGACCACAAGUUGUUCCUGGAAUUCUUGAGAGGGAAGUAUUUUGUCGAUCACCACAGGAUCCCUAAUCUCUCCAUCUUCCUUCGCCUCACUCCUUACUGUACCAUGAACCUGCUGAGCCCCUGUGUGUCUCAUCUCUCCGUGAACUUCUGUAUCUCGAGCCCUCGCCAUCUCCGCGGUAACCUUUGUGGCCAUUAGAGGAUCCCUUGUUUCCUCUAUCAGCUGCCUUAACCCAUUUCAAGUCAGCUUCAUCAGUCAUCUUGCCCUUGCCCUUCCCAUGGUAGUCGCGGCCAUCUCGCUCUUUGUAUUGUUGUUUCGGAGCUCCAUUGAUGACUACCCCCUUAUAGCUCCGUGCUCGAUCGUCAUGCUUUCCCCCAUCAUACCAACCCCCGUUCCCUUCUCUGGACUCGCCUUCGCGACAGUCUUCUUUGACAGAGGACAUAGCUCCUCUUUAUGACAGAGACUCGAACAAACAUCACAGUACCCGAACAGUUUCUCAUACCUCAAAGAGAUCUUUACUUCCUCGCCAUCAUAGAACUCACCCCCUUUGAAGUUCAAAGUGGUUUCAAAGCAUAACUCUUGAAACGCAUCCACCACCACCUGAACUCGACAAUGUUCCACAUCCACUGCUACUAAUCUUCCAAGUGCCUCGCCGAGGCUUUCAAAAGUUGGGGCCGUCCUGAACUCCAUUGGAACACCAAUCACUCGAACCCAAAAAGUGAUUUCGGAUGGGAAUAGUUGAUUCUUCUUUGGUUGCCACCGCGCCAAAGCAAGCAUCCAGUAAUCAAAAUGAUAAGGUUGAAGCUUCAUGACCGCAUCAAUAUCAUUCUCUGUUUCAAAAUCAAAUUGAAACUUGCCAAACCCCAAGUCUGUCCCAAUCACCUGAUCCUCCGACUUCCAUAUCUUAGGUACAUUCUGGAUCAAAGCCUUCAUGUCUUGCCCCGGAGGAUUCAUACACCUUCCAAUCGGAGUUUUGGAGUAGGUCUUGAUGAGCGCCGAGUUGUCGAAGUGAGGCACCGUAAUCUUCAAUCUUUUUCGAGCACUCUCUCCUUCCUUCAUGUCCCCACCAUUACCCACUAGUUGCCCCUGUGUCAUGAUGAACAAAAUGAGAGAAAUACCUUGUUUUGUUCUGUGGAAAAACGUACAAAAUUGAUUCGAUGAGUUCCAAUAAAACAGAGACCCAAUAUCCCCUUUAUAAUAAAUCCCAUUUUCCAAAUACCCGAGCCAAGGUUGAUCCCCUUUAAUUCCAUAUAUCUCCAACUGAUAUUCUUUGUGAAAUCUCGUUCCCAAUCUUCUCCAUGGAAUCUUAUUAUCAUAAACACUAGAAAUCACAACUCUCCAUAUCGCUUUUGUACUUCCCCCAUUCUCCUUAAAAGAGAAACAAUACAGAAUCUUUAAACAGCCAGACUCAAUACCUGUAGAUCUCUGUGAUUUUGUCUUGAUGAUGAUCGAAAUCGUAAUCGAGAUCUCUGAAACACGAGUCCUCCUUAAUUUUCCAAAAUAUCCAUUCCGUAUAUCCAAAUCAAAUCCCCUGAGAUUCGGUAACAUCGCCCAAUCUAAGAACCCCCACUCCGUGCCUUGCUGUUCCUGUAGAUCCACCCGUUCGCCGCCUCCAUUUCCAGGAUCCCAUCGCCGUGAAAUCAUGAAACCCUAGAUCGCCUCUUUAGUCGCCAUACUUUUUAUUUUUGGUAUGAAUUUUUUUUUUUUUUACCACUUUGAUGGGCCGUUGUUAAAAAUGGAAAAGGGAUGAUUGAGGGUCUAUAAGUCCAUUCUUAGGAGAAUGUAAAAAUGAAUAGUUGCUGGUCUUCUUGUCGUCUAGCUUACACGGAAGAGUUUUCUGCUGUGCCUGUUCGAGAUUGGCUUAUUUUACAGAUAUUAAAGAGGGUUUCAAGAAAGAAUCUAAGCAAAGCCGAACAGAGGCUCAAAUCUUUGCGGCCCAUUUUUUUCAAAUUCGAACAGAGGCUCAAAUAAGCUUGUAAGUAAAACAAUGUAGAUGUCCAUGCUAUGUUUAGUUCAGCCGAAGUUAACUUUCUGCACAUGUUUUGAUGCAGCAAGUUAAAAACAUUGUGUUAGACGCAUAACACAGACAGUGUAAACAAUCAGCAAUACUAUUGUCUCUUUUUGUACAUUUUAGGUUGACCAAUUGCUACGCAAACGCAGGGUACUGAUUUUUCUAUUGGGACACUUUUUUGUACUUUUUUUUGUUUUUCUAUUAGUCUACACAAUCUUUUUUUAUUAAGAAUGACUCUUUUGAAGUUUAUAACCAUUACGUUGUGCAUUAAAUCUAAAUCUCAGACAGUUGCGAGCGACAAAAAAAAAUGUUUAGAAAUAUCUUAUGUGUAUAAGUACCACGUUCUUUUUCAUUUAAUCACAAAAUAAAAACAUAAAUUAAUAGUCUUAAGCCAGUACAGAGCGAAAGUUCAAGCAUUGAGAAUUAUCAAUCACAGUGGUCAACACAAAUUCUUAACAGAGAAGGUGUGGUUAUUUCUGUUCUUCUCCAGUACUCCUCUUUAGAAGCUCAUUUCUUGGUACUUACCAAUUGAAUGAUGCUGCUUCUCUUCCAUGCUACUGUCAUUUUUGGCCCACUCGACCACCUGUGACGGUAAACAAAGAGUCAAUGGAUCCAAAUUAAGAGGUCUGAGAGAGAGAGAAAGAGAACAGAGUGCAACAUAAGAGUCUUACCAAAUGGCGUCCGUAGUAAUGAGUACUCGACCAUGUUUGUUUUUUGCGUUUGACGUUUCUUGCUUUGUCAUUAAAUCAACAAAAUUUUAACUUGAAUAUUUUCCAAUAUUCCUCUUUGGAAGCUAUGCAUAAACAAAGAAACAUGAAGGAUUGUGUUUGAUGUUUCUGAGGGUAGUAAAUCCAACACAACUUCUAUUACGACAGAGACCAAUGGCAUGUCACGUCCCUUUGUAGCUGUUGUGACUUGUAACAGAAUAAUAUUAAACCGAUGCAUAAGACCUAAACUUCAGUAAUUGCAUUAUUACCUGUUCAAGUCCUGAAAAGCUGUCUUAGCUCUUUCCGGUUGCCUCAACAGCUAAAACUUUUACAAGUAACUUUGUUGGAAUAUUAUCUCAAGCUUUCCCAACCGUGUCCCUCUGCUUGUGUCCAGAAUCUCAACCUGAAAGCAUGCUCAUCCAUAGAAGUUCCCUGAAAUUAAAAAGAAAUGUGUCUUUGCACUUCAUCAAAUUCAAGAAACUUGAAAUUUCAAAGAGAAAAAAAACUAUAUACUUGCACAUCUCUGUAGAGUCGAAUUCUACAAAACAAUAACUGCUUGAAACUUCUUUCAAAUAAUUGUCCACGGCUUAUUUACAUAUCCCAUAAACCAUAAAGAUGAUAAACAAACAUAAAACAAAGGAAACCCCAAGCAUAUGAAGUUAAAAACCUUCAAAAUUUUGGUAUCAAGCAACAGUAAACAAUUUCAUGAUCAACCCAAGGGUAAAGGAUUCCUAAACAAUCAAAAUUCUGAUCCCUGAUUUUUCAUACUCUAACUCAAACAUUUAUGGUAAGUCAGAGACAAAAAAAAAAAGAUUUACUACAAUGAGUUUGCCUCCAUUUUCUGGCCGCUUUGCAACCUUCAACGCAGCAGCUGGGAUAUUCCCACCUGCCAAAUUAUCUCAUUGAUCACAUCAAACACCUAUGUUUCAUAGUUUUAUACACUUAGAAAAGAAGGUUAUAAAGCAGUUGUACCAGCAAUCCCUCUUUAAGAGCAAGAAGUUUUACUGUUUCAAUGGCUUCCUCACCUGUCCCCUGAAUCAAAAAAAUAUUGCAAGUCUCAGAAACAUUGUUUUACUAUUCAAGGAAGUAGAUGAAUGCGCUUGACAUGUGGGAGACUUCGGAAGCUACAUGUAUAUUUAAACUUGUGGGACAUGAAUUUGGGGAUUGAAGAAUCCAAAAAAAAAAGCGGAAAUAAAAACCCAGAAACUGAAAAAAAUUAAGAGUAAUCUGAAGUUUUCAUGCCUUAAAAUGCAUGCCAAUCCAGCGAAAUUUCCAGAAUUGAAUUGAAUUGAAUCGAACAAUCCGCAAUUAGAGAAGGAAUGAUUAUGAUUUUACCGUCGAAAAUGGUGGCUUUGGAGAGGGAAGCAGAACGUGAAUCGCGGGUGUUGUGGUCAUGCAAUUGCUUCCCUAUCGUGACGGAGUUCGACGCUGCUUUGCCCUUUCCGUUGACGGUGUGAGACAACAAAUGUGACACUCGAUUAUCAUGAACCUUGUUUAUGCGUUUCUGAUCCACCACCUCCGACUUCCCCUCUCCUUAUAAUCUAUCUCUCCACAGUGACCGGAGAAUCUUAAAAAACAAAACAAAACAAAACAAAAAAGCCUAAGAGGCGAGGGGUAAAGAUUCUGAAUUGCUAGGGUUUCGAAACGGAGCGUCUAUUUACAGAGACAUGAAACGAUAAGGAAAAUAAAUUAGGGUUUGGAGAAAUGAGGAAGGCAAGGUCGAGUCGGCGAGUAUCAUGUAAGAGGCUUCGACUUUUUAUGGGCUUUCUGGCCCAUUUGUAUAACACGACGGAUUUUAAUAAACGCCAAGCACAACAUAGGCAACAAAGAGCUUACGUGACAGAACCUUGCAACAUGAUUGCCUGAUUUUCUUGUCCGACGUGGACAUGCUAUAUGAGGCUGAUAUUCACCUUUUAAUACUUGUUUGAUGUAACCUUUUUGGGUGUUCAGGAGAAGUUGGUGAUCAGGAAGGGAAGUUGGCUGUUGGAAUGAUUUUCAGAACAAGAGAGGAUUUCAAGCAGCAUAUGGCCUUAUAUGCAAUCAGCCAGAAGUUUUGUUUCCGAAAUGCAAAGUCCGAUCCAACAAUGAUGAUCCUAAAGUGCUGCGGAACGGGGUGUCCAUGGCGCGUCUAUGCGGUUCGGUUAAAGGAUUGUGAUGUGUUUGAGAUAAGAACCUACGAGAGUAGGCACCAGUGUUCAAUAGACGAGCGUGGAGGUUACCAGGAUCAAGCCACGGCUUCUGUUAUUGGCAUGCUAAUGAGGGCAAAGUUUGCUGGUACUGGGGCCGGGCCCCGCCCGGGAGAAAUAAGGCAAAUGAUGCGGGGGGAGCAUGACGUCAAUAUCUCAUACUAGAAGGCUUGGCAAUCGAGAGAUUUGGCAAUAGAUAAUGUACAAGGGUCGUGUAAUGCAUCGUACAUUCACUUGCCAUCGUAUCUGAACAAGCUUGUGACCGUGAAUCCAGGAACCAUAGCCAAUCUUUGCACAGAGCCCACAGAUGAUGGAGGACACCGCUUCAAGUACAUGUUUGUGGCAUUGGGAGCUUCUGUGAAAGGAUAUCAGUAUAUGAGAAAAGUGAUUGUGGUUGAUGGGACUCACUUGAAAGGGAAGUACGCAGGUUGCUUGUUGACGGCCUCGGCACAAGACGGUAAUUACCAAAUUUUCCCGUUGGCUAUUGCAUCAUGGGAAUGGUUUUUCAAGCAACUAAAAACGUUUGUGACGAACAUUGGGGGUUUAGUGUUUGUGUCUGACAGGAAUUCUUCAAUUUACAAGGGCCUAAGCAAGGUAAAGGUCACGAUCCUUGGCUUAAUGUAAAUUAUAUUAGUCGGUCCUAGCAUGAAUUUGUAGGUUAAUGAAAUAUGUAGCCAAAGUCUGUAUUUGUUAGCUGGUUAUAGUUUUACAGGUGCAGGCAAAUGUAGCCAUAAUCAAUAUUUGAUAGCUAGUUAGACUGUUAUAGGUACAUACAAAUGUAAUUCAGUUGGAGUGUUAGCUGGUUAGAGUAUUAUAGGUAUAUGAAAAUGUAGCCAUAAUUAAUAUUUGUUAGCUGGUUAGAGUGUUAUAGGUGAAUGCAAAUGUAAUCGGUGAGCAUUAAUCUUAAAUUACUAUUGUGCAUCCCUAGGUAUAUCCUGACGCAGGGCACUGUAUAUGUAUCGUCCACCUAAAGAGAAACAUCCGGACAAAUUUCAAAGGAAGGCACCUGCCUUACUUGGUUGCCAAAGCAGCGAGAUCAUACCGGCUAGAGGACUUCUACAAAACGUUCAACGAAACAAAAGAAAUGGAUGCUGGCUGUGCAAAAUACCUGUUGGAUAUAGGGUUUGAACAUUGGGCAAGGUCCCAUUUUCCUGGAGAUAGGUUUGACAUAAUGACGAGCAAUUUAGCGGAGUCGUGGAAUGCAGUCUUAAACGAAGCGAGAGAGUAUUCGGUUAUCCGGUUGGUUGAUUACGUUAGAGGGAAGCUGACGGAGUGGUUUGCAAGCAGGAGAACUUCAGCAAAUAGGAAUAACAACGCCCUAUCGCCCCGUGUGCUCGGGAUUGUGACAAGAAACUUUGAGAUGACAGGGGGUUAUGAGGUAACUAAUAUUGCUGAUGGCGAGUUCGAGGUGCGGGACAAGAAGGGAGGAAGCUUUCAUGUGAAACUUGCUAACAAAACUUGUAGCUGUUUUGCGUUUCAGAUGCUCUGUAUCCCAUGUCCACACGCGAUAGCUGCGGCAUUACAGUCUGGUGUGUUGGUUGAGACUUUAGUGAUGGAAGCUUACAACGUAAGUAUGCUGAGGGGUGCUUAUCAGGAGAGGAUAGUACCGGUUGGGGAUUACAGUGGAUUUCCAGAGAAUGAUGCUAUUUUCAAUGGCCGGCGCCUUAGUCCUCCAGCAACGAGACGCCCCCCGGGUAGGCCGAAGAAACAUAGGUUCUUCUCGCGUGGAGAGAAACUGGUAAUGUCUAUCAAUCCAAACUUAUCUUUGUUUGUAUAUAUUUUCAUUACAUAAAAUAAUAUAUGGCUGGGUUGGCUAUCGGUGUUGUGUGAUUUAUCAGAUGAAAUGCGUCCGUAGGAGAAUUGUAUGCAGCAGGUGCAAGGGUCUGAACCAUAACAAAGCGACAUGCAAGCGUCCAAUAUAAGAAAAAGUAGCAAGCCGAGGGAGGGAGAUGGUUGCGUGGGAGAGUUGUAUGGAAAGAGGAUAGUUCAGUGGGCUAAAAUAAAACUAUUGUUAUGUAUUAUAUUGUAGCUUUCUGCUUUCUACGGGUUGUUGGAUUAGUGGUAAUAUCGCAAUGUUAUGAUAAAUAAAGGUUUUCUUCCCUAAUAAGUUUGACGCUUGUCUGGACAAGUAAGAAGUGUAUAUUCAGAAAGAUGGUUAUGAUAGUGGUUUGAUGGAAAAUAAAUUUAUAAACCGUAAACAAGAACAUUUAGAUUGGAAAACUUAUAAGACAUAGGCGACAAAUUGAGAUUGAAGCUUUUCCGGGACAAGUAUGGAAAAGUAUACAAGACACAUAUGUUUCUGAAAAUAGAUGGUUGGCUGGUUAAACAAUAUUAAAUUAAGUCUACUCUAAAGGUUAGACGGUUUAUAUUAACAUUGGACGGUGAACAUGUUAAAAGAUACAUAAAAAAUAGCUAAACCAUACUUUUCAUGCGCAUAUAUGAUUUUACAACACGUUGGUUUCUAUGGGGUAUAUUGGUAGGAUGAUUAACAUGUUCAAAUGACGGUAAAAAGAAAAUUUAGACGGGUAGUGCCAAAUUACGAGUCGAUAACAUGGUUCAUUGGUAAAAAAAAUGGUUUGGAUAGAUAACAUGUAUUAAUAAUGGCUAGCAUGUAGUUUUGCUGUCUAGACAGUAUGUUCAACUUAUUUUGAUAAGGAUAUAGAUCACUAUAUUUAUCGUAUCUCCGACCGUUUUCGAGUAGAACCAUGUAACUAUACUGGAAUUGAGUAGUUGUAAAACAUACAACAAUCAGAAACAAUGUGGUGACUUGUCAUGAAUCGACUACUUCUGAACAUAUUGCAUUCUUUUCAUCACAUGUGUUAGAGAUUUGUAACCAAUGAUGAAAAGAAUAUUGGCUACGCAUUCGAUUUCAAAUAGCUGGCUGAUAAUUUAAGGGAAGUCCAUAGUGUAUAUAUGGCUACAGAAAAUAUAACACCUUCAUUAAACUUAUAUCGACAUUAUAAGAGUUCGAUAAACAUGAUUCUCUUCAUUUUUCAUAAGAUUUAUUGAAAAGAAGAAGAGACCUAAUAAAAAGCAUAAGAGUUUGAUAAGCAGUACGAUAGUCUGUUUUCAUAGAUAGAGAGACUUAGUAAAAACAACAAACACACACGUGCAUGAAAUAAAAGAGUGACGGUCGGACGGGUUAGAGCAUUCCCACGGUGGCUUCGUAAAACAUAACCGCCAGCCUCUCAACUUCACUACCGAUUUUAUCAGGGGUAAUGCAUUUGUAGACGUCGACACCUGCGACGGCGUGAGCUUGCACGAGAAGAAGGGCUGACACAGCAGAGGCAGCAUGAAAAGUAUUUUGCGGAAUGCUACGAGGUCUCUCAAUGGGAAAUGCUCUAGCAUCUUUGUGCAUAAGCUGUUUACCCCCUUGUUUCAGAAGGUAUGGAAACAUCUGAGCAAUGGGAGUAACCUCUAUCACCAUAAUGCUGUCAGUCCUGAGUGCUAUUUUGCAGUCCAACACAACAAUUGACCAUCUUGUGCAAUCAACGCAAACACCAACACAGUGUUUUUUGUCGAGAUUGAAGGGAAGAUAGUAACGCUCAGCGUCGGGAUAACUUUGAACUCGCUCAAGUAUAUUGCUGGGAAACCGGAAGGACUCUUUCUUGGACGUCUUAGAAAACUUGGUAAACAGUUUUGAGAGCUGGAAACAAACUGAGUGUCCAUGAACACAGGGUGGUUGGACUGGUUUGGGGGUGAGUUUAGCGUAAACUGUGAACUAAUAUGGCCAAUGAGAACAUCAACCACCUGUUUUUGAAAAUUAAAAACAAUAUUAUUAAGGGACAAUAUUACUAGCAGCACAAAAAUUACAUUGCAGGGCAGAUGAACGAACCUUUGGUUGCAAGGGAGAGGAUCUUUGAACAAGCUCAUAUGGGUCAUUGCUCUCUAGCGUUGAUUGGCCAAUGCGUAUUGUACUAAAAGAGGACGGCCAAGAAAGUUUGUUAGACGGUAUCUUAAAUAAUUAUACAGAUAAAAAUUAAUUUAACCAUCCAGAAUUUGAACUUACAAUGGUGACUUCAGUUUAUCGAGGAGGGAAGAGAACUUAGCAGCGUAAUCAAUGUUCCCGCCUGUGUUGUCGGGAUCUACAAAUGCUACUCGGGCCCGAUUGAGGAGACGCAUGUCGCAUUCAUACUGUCCCACCAGAGACUUGGGUAGGGCCUUAAGUCUCUUACUUUUCCGGCAGGCACCCAGCUGAUCCUCCUGUUCGCAAAUUUCUUUGCCAGCAGCAUUUUCGCACAUAGUUUCCCCUUCAGUGACAGCCUCCUUCGGGUGCGGGCGUUCCUCUUGAGUUAGCCCUAGGGAGAAGGUUGGUUUUGGGAAUGGUAACUCAUGGUCAAGAUUCUGCAAAAGUAAUUAGACUCAAAUUAGGCAGAGGGAGCAUUGUGGCGCUGUGCAACCUGAAACAACGUUGUACGUACCGUAUCUGGUGAGCUUUGACUAUGAUCAACAUCAUUUUCACACAUGCUGACCCCUUCGGUGACAGUCUCUUUCCGGUGUGGACGUUCCUCCUGAGUUAGCCCUAGGGAGAAGGUUGGUUUUGUGAAUAGUAACUCAGGGUCAAGAUUCUGCAAAGUAAUUAGACUCAAUUAGGCAAAUGGAACAGAACUGGCGCCGUGCUACCUGAAACAAAGUUGUACAUACCAUAUCUGGUGAACUUUGCCUAUGAUCAGCAACUUUUCCCUCUCGGCCAAGGGGAUAUUGUGGUGGGGGAUUGUCAACGACCAACGAUGCGGAUGGGUUACUUGCAACCUAUUGACCAGAAAAUAUCACAAAAGACUUAUAAAAGUAUCAAAUGUGUAAGCAUAGAGCGAUUUUCAGUUACCAUAUCUUCAGCUCCAGAUUUCUGAGCGCCCCCACGCAAUGUCUGAUAAUCAGUGUGUAUAGAUGACUGAAUCUCUUGUGCUCCGUUUAGGACCUGCAUGAGAUCAGUAUUUUAUGUAAGAUUCAUCGUGUUAAUCGGCUAGUAUCAUAGUGUGGCCGGGUAUUGAGAAACUUACAUCGACAGCAAAUGUAUUUGCUUGAUUUGAGAAUAGGAUUGCAACGGGGAGAUCGUCAGUUAUCAUCUCUUCAUGGCUGUCGCGCCGUGUCUGAUUUUCGGUGUGUAUCACUUGCUGAAUCACUUGUCCUCCGAUCAACCCCUGCGUGUGAAAUGUAUAUUAAGUAAGUGACGGUGAUUUAGCCGGUUAAUAUAUUAUUUUUCAGGGUAUUUUGUAGCUUACAUCGUAUGUGGAUGAUGUUGUUUGGUUUGCGAGUAUGGUGUCGUGCGAGACCAUUUUCUCAGGAAUGACGAGCGGUGUCUGAUUUUCACAGGGUACAUCUAACUGAAUCCCUUGUCCUCCGUUCAGCCCCUGCAAAGUGAUGAAUCUUAUGUGUACAAGAAAGAGAAGUAUCCGGUUAACAUAAUAUUUGUCUGGUUAUUGAAAAACUUACAUCGACAGUCAAUGAUGUUGUUUGGUUUGCUAAUCGGAUAGCGUCGUUGAUAAUAUCAUUUUCGGCGGAUUCAGUAUGAAUACCUACACGGUGUAGUGAAGUGCGCCUGAUGUCUAGAUGUUGGCCAUCUCUAGCGACUUUGGAAAGAUCCAGUCUGCACUGAAGAGCUAACUGGUAUCUGCCCAGAAGAAACCUCCAAUUUACGAACCAAUUGUUGGAUGCUCUCUAGGACAUUGGUUUGGAAGGUGAUGAAAGAUUCAGAAAGUGUGCUUAAUUGCCUCUCAAUCCGAGAAAGAUCUUCUCUAACUUUGUCUCUGACCAUCGAUGCAAUUGAUUCACAAUCUAUGACCUCUGAGGUUGUUGUCUGUUUUGUCUGCUUUGGCUUCACUGUUUUCCGGUUAAUUGCCUCUGUUUUUGCAUCUUCGCGCAUCCUAUUGACCUCUAGAUUAGUUGCGCCACCCGUAAAGCUUGACUUGUUGAAGGGAAAUUGCUGCUCGAGUAGACUCAUCAAAUUAUCCACGAUAGGAUCCUCCUCGUCGUCCUACCAGCCAAGAUCAGGUGACGCUUUGAAGUGUUCUUUGUCUUCUACUAUUAUAGAAUGAACUGCGACCUAGCACGCAAAGUAAAAAAAGUAACGAGAAGUCAGUGUUGGUUGCAAUGGAGACAGUGGCUCAAAUUGUACUAUUUCACAUUUUGACUGAGAACGUGAAUAAGUAUACGUAAUGGGAAUACGUACCUUUCCUGCUGCGUCGGUGUCGCGAGCAUGACCCGGGCUGAUGCUUCUUUUCCCAUUCUUAUCUUCAUCUACUAGAUCAUCGUCCUCGCCGCCGUCACCUUCUGAGCCAGAUGAGGAUCCAUCGUUGACCACCUCUGUUAGAGCGGGGAUGGCUUCGACCAUUACAAGCUGUAGUGAAAGCACGAAUCCUUUCAGAGCAAUGGUGUUUUGCAACAGUGAAACCUCCUUCCUCUCUUUAAUACUACUCAUGAGCAUGUCAAAGGAUACUCUUCCCCAUGGGUAUGCGAAGAAAUCAUCUAUGUCUUUGAUGACCUAUGCGUGAUCUUGUGAGAUACGCGGUGUGUGUAUGGUUGGUAGAAUAACAGCAUCUAGUAAAGCUAAUAGAGCGUAUUUCACACGAAUGCAGCUAUCUUUGACGGUUCUUUUCUUGAGCAUUCUUAUAACAGAAGUGACUGGGACCUUCUUCAGUGUCCUAAAAAGCUCCCCCCAAUAUGGUUUUUCCGAGAUAAUUUUCUUGGCUCUUUUUUUUUUUUUUUGGAAGCUUACGACAGUUUAGCCCCGUUACAUAGGCGAACUCUCAAAGAGAAAAACGUACAGGUUUUCCUGCGAAUAUGAACCACGCUUCGUGUUUCUUUGAGACUUUUAGCUGCCUGGAGAUGAUGAAUCGGCCAAAACGUCCGGAGAAAGAGGGCUUUUCCCCAAUCUCAACAAGCUUCCCGAACGAUGAGCCCCUGAUGGUGUCUACUUCUUCAGGAUCGAGAGCGUUGAGUAUUUGCCUAAUGGCAUAGGGUUUAUGGUAUGGCGUUACCCUAACGCCGACUGGUUCAUGGCCCACCGCGAAAAUCCGGUCUGGAAUGCGGAGAGGUGGAGAUGAGAGAUCGUCUUCUUCCAUUUUGUUACUGAUUUUGUAGAAAGUGGGGUUUGGUAAUGAACCUCGAUGAUAACGAUGAGAGAGAAGGAGGAUUGUAUCGGGGAAAGGAGAAUGAGAUUUCAGAGAGUAAAUAUAUGAAUAUAUGGGAGAAGAGGAAGAUUCACUAAUUCUAUUAAGAUCUCUUUAGCAUUAAGGACUGACAAAAUCCCAAACUGCGUACUUCAUAUCUUUUAUCUAAGAUUUUGUAAUCUCACGCCGAGUUGAUACAUAUAAGGGUAGCAGCGUCUAGGAAAAUUAUGAAUAGUGGCCAGAAAAGUGUCUUUUGGUAUGAUGUUAAAUAUGGUAUAAUACGUUGGUACACGUCCUAAUUUCUCAUUUAUUAAUUGUUUUAUUAAUUUGCAGAUUACUAUUAUUAGUUGACUUUUAUUUUACUCAUAAUAAUGCGAUGCAGUGCUAUAUUAGUGGAUCUAAAUUCAUACGAUUAUUAAUCCACAAAACAUCCAGAUGCAGUAAAAAAAAUUAUAAGAUAAUUGAUAGGUUAUUCUUUCUUUUUUUUUUGUCGGCUACCCGUUUAAACUAGAUCACGUGCUGGUCAAAUGAACUAAUUUUUCGAAGAGCAUUUCUGUAUGUCCAUGUUUGAUUUAUAUGGGAGAAAAUACAACUUCUGGUUCUUGCUUUGAAUCCGUCCAACCAUUCCUACUUGGAGGAAUAUGAGCCAGGUUCACGUUCUCGAAGUCCUCAUGUAGUCUAUGUAACAAUUCAAUUUUCGACGCGAAUGCUGGCCAAUCCAUCGGGUUCGCAGUCAUAUCCAAUAGAUCUAAUAAGUUUGUCUGGAACCCGAUCGAGGUUAUCCUCCUGUCUCUCAUGCAUGAAGUUGCCCAUAAUAAACCUUCCAUCUCAACAUGUAAGGCUGAGAGGCUUCUGUUGCACGUCCGUAAUCUGAAAGAUUCGAACUAAUUUGAUCUUUAAAACUCCACCCUAGGCCACUGAAAUUGCUAUUAUCAAUCAUUGAAGUAUCAAUUUGGCAGGUACAGAUUCGAAAUAUCCAAGGGGGCACUGUCUGAACCUCUGAAGUAGGAGGGUCCUCAUGAUCCUUGUCCUCUUCCUCUUUUUCGUUAGCUUUUCUCCAAGAUUCCGCUUAAAUGGAUGCAAGUUGAAGAGUGUCAAUUGGGAAAACAUAGACUACAUGUAUUUUACUUAUGGACUCGAACCAACCCGAACAUGAAAGGGAUCAAACCGAACUGAAAAUUAUUAAAUACCUAGUCGGACUAGUUAGGUACAACUGUCUAGGACUCGAAAGAACCGGACCCGAUAUGAACUAACCAAACCAGACCCCAAGAUCCAAAUGCCCAAGUCUAUCUACUUCUCCAAAUUAAAGUUUAAAAUAAAUUAAAUUUUUGAUUAAUUUUGUUAUUUGCAUUUAGGUUGAUUGUUAUAUUAGAUAUUUAAACAUAUUUUAUCAACAUUAUGUAUAACUUAAUACAUAUUGUUUUAAGAACGAAACAGAAAAGAUCUAAAAUGUUCGAUUCAAAUUAAAAUAAAUGAUUAUAAAGAUAAUAAUCUGAAAUCUUAUGCAUAUAUAUAUAUAUACACAUAAAAACUAAAUUGUAACAUUAAAUGAUAUUUUAUUUUUGCUAAUUAAUAUGUUUCAAGUCAUCUCAUAAUUUAUAUAUAGAAAAAUAAAUAAAAUAUUAUUAUAAAAUAGUAUAUUAAUAUUUUAGUUAGAUCUUUGAUUUUGGAUAUAAGAAACUGGAUUAAUUUAGUUACUAAUUUUAUGAGUAUAUUUAGUUAUAUAUGUAUAUAUAUUCUUGCAAUUUUGAAUUAAAGUAUAAUUAUUUUUUAUUUUAAUUAAGACAAAUCAAAUUAUUUUUAUUUAUCGUAUUAGUUUUAUUUAUCGUAUUAGUUUAGUUCUUCAUUUAUGUACAAGUAUAUUUUGUAAUAUUAUAAUAAUUUGAUAUAUGCUGUUUUUUUUAAAAAUUAUUAGAAAAAAAUGAUCUGUGAUCAAUAUAACAUUUCAUAAAUGAACAUUACUGAUAAAAUUUUGAAAUCUAAUGAGCACAUAUCGGUAUUUACAAUAAUGAAAAUACUUCAUAAUUCUAAGUAAUUAUAUAAAUUAGAUUUUUUAAAAGGUAAGGUGAAAAUUAAUUUAAAAUAAGCUAAAACAUGAGAAUUCCGAUUUGUGAGGUUAAUUUUACAAGGUUAUAUUAGGUUCUACAAACAUAAAGCAAAAUAAAUCAGACUAAUAUUAGGCUAAAAGUAAAUUUAAGAUUUUAUAAUAUUUUGUUCACUAAAGGUAUCUAUAUUCUAGAGUUGUGCUAUUUUAAAAUAUUUAUAUAAUUAUUAGAUAAAAAAAUAUGCUAAUAGUAAAAAGUGUUUUAGUUUCCUUUUUUAAUAUUAAAAGAAAUGCCAAAUUUUAUUUUGUGAUUGUUUAUACAAAUCAUAUUAUAUACGUUAAUUAAAUUUUGUAGAUACUAUUUUAUUUUGUUUAAAAUUAUAAUAUAUUAUAGUCAACUAAAAAGUAUGCAAAAAAUAAAUAAAACAUCUCCAUAUUACUAUUUAUAAUUCAUUUUUAGUCAAUUAAAAUAUUUUAAUUUUCUCUUAUUUGAUUAUUUUACGGGGAAAUUGCAUGUUUACCACUUUCAUGCUACCACUUUUCACUUUUACCUUCACUAAAUAAACAUUUUCAAAAAUAUCUUCUUCAUUAAGUGUCAAAAGACUCUAAUGCCCUUGUUCUUUAUAUAUAUAAUAAAUAAAUAUUUAAAUAAAUAAAAAUCUAAAAAAAUAAAAAAUAAUUUUUUUAAUUUUUUUUCGAAUGAUACUAUUCCGAAAUUCAAACCCUAAACCCUAAAACACAACUUUAAACCUAAAUCAUCAAUCCUAAACCUUUUUUUUUUUGAAAUACGAACCCUAAACCAUCAAUCCUAAACCCUUUUUUUUUUUAAAUACGAACCCUAAACCCUUAAACAUCAACUCUAAAUCCUAAACCCCGAAACGUCAACUCUAAACCCUAAACCCUAAACCUUCAACUCUAAACCCUAAAACAUCAACUCUAAACCCGAAACCCUAAACUUCAACUCUAAACCAUCAACGCUAAACCCUAAACUAUCAACACUAAACCCUAAACCCUAAAAAGUAAACUCUAAACCCUAAACCCUAAAAAUUAACACUAAACCCCAAACCUUCAAAUCUAAACCCUAAAACAUCAACUCUAAACCCUAAACGUAAACCCUAAACCCUAAAUCCUAAACCCUAAACCCUAAAACCCCAGAGUUGAUGUUUUAGGGUUUAGAUUUGAAGGUUUAGGGUUUUAGGGUUUACAUUUAGGGUUUAGAGUUGAUAUUUUAGGGUUUAGAUUUGAAGGUUUAGGGUUUUAGGGGGUAGGGUUCGAAUUUCAGAAAAAUAUAGUGUUUAGGGUUUACGUUUAGGGUUUACGUUGUUGUUUUAGGGUUUAGAUUUGAAGGUUUAGGGUGCAGGGUUUAGAGUUGAUGUUUCGGGGUUUAGGGUUUAUAGUUGAUGUUUCAUGGUUUAGGGUUUAGGGUUGAUGAUUUAGGGUUUAAAAUUGAUGUUUUAAGUGUAGAUUUAGGGUUUAGGGUUUACGUUUAGGGUUUAGAGUUGAUGUUUUAGGGUUUAGAUUUGAAGGUUUAGGGUUUAGGGUUUAGAGUUGAUGUUUCGGGGUUUAGGGUUUAGAGUUGAUGUUUCAUGGUUUAGGGUUUAGAGUUGAUGAUUUAGGGUUUAGAGUUGAUGUUUUAAGUUUAAAUUAGUUAACCUUAUAUUUUUUUUGUCAAAGUUAAUCAAAAGGUUAUAAAUAUCUUUUACCCUUCAUUAAUGAUGAAGGUAAAAGCGGUUACUGUAAACAUGAAAAAUGGUACUUUGAAAAUGAUAUUUUUGGCAAAUUCCCUUAUUUUAUGUAAUCUUGUAAGAAAAUAGGUAGGGUUCGAAUUUCAGAAAAAUAUAGUGUUUAGGGUUUACGUUUAGGGUUUACGUUGUUGUUUUAGGGUUUAGAUUUGAAGGUUUAGGGUGCAGGGUUUAGAGUUGAUGUUUCGGGGUUUAGGGUUUAUAGUUGAUGUUUCAUGGUUUAGGGUUUAGGGUUGAUGAUUUAGGGUUUAAAAUUGAUGUUUUAAGUGUAGAUUUAGGGUUUAGGGUUUACGUUUAGGGUUUAGAGUUGAUGUCUAAACCCUAAACCCUAAAACCCCAGAGUUGAUGUUUUAGGGUUUAGAUUUGAAGGUUUAGGGUUUUAGGGUUUACAUUUAGGGUUUAGAGUUGAUAUUUUAGGGUUUAGAUUUGAAGGUUUAGGGUUUUAGGGGGUAGGGUUCGAAUUUCAGAAAAAUAUAGUGUUUAGGGUUUACGUUUAGGGUUUACGUUGUUGUUUUAGGGUUUAGAUUUGAAGGUUUAGGGUGCAGGGUUUAGAGUUGAUGUUUCGGGGUUUAGGGUUUAUAGUUGAUGUUUCAUGGUUUAGGGUUUAGGGUUGAUGAUUUAGGGUUUAAAAUUGAUGUUUUAAGUGUAGAUUUAGGGUUUAGGGUUUACGUUUAGGGUUUAGAGUUGAUGUUUUAGGGUUUAGAUUUGAAGGUUUAGGGUUUAGGGUUUAGAGUUGAUGUUUCGGGGUUUAGGGUUUAGAGUUGAUGUUUCAUGGUUUAGGGUUUAGAGUUGAUGAUUUAGGGUUUAGAGUUGAUGUUUUAAGUUUAAAUUAGUUAACCUUAUAUUUUUUUUGUCAAAGUUAAUCAAAAGGUUAUAAAUAUCUUUUACCCUUCAUUAAAGAUGAAGGUAAAAGCGGUUACUGUAAACAUGAAAAAUGGUACUUUGAAAAUGAUAUUUUUGGCAAAUUCCCUUAUUUUAUGUAAUCUUGUAAGAAAAUAUAUAGAUAUAUAGAAAAUAUUUUUACUACUUUGAAAAUAUAUUUUAUGAUGCUUAAAAAUAUGUUUAAAAGGGAAGAUAUUUAUUUUCUUAAUAUCAAGACUAUUUUUGUUUUAAAUUUUUUUUUAUGAAAUCACUUAUAUAUAAAUAUAUUCUCGUUUCAUUUAAGAAAAAUAUAGAUAUAAACAAAAUAUUUUUAUUACUUUGAAAUAUAUAUAUAUAUAUAUUUAAUGUUGCUUAAAAUUAUUUUUAAUAUAUCUUAAUUUUUUUCUUAAUAUCAAGAUUGUUUUUGUGAAUUUUCUUUUUUAUUAAAUCAAAUAUAUAUAUAUAUAUAUAUAUAUAUAUUAAAAAUUAAAUUUUUUAUAAAUGAUUCCUUUUUAUUAUAUAUGUUAUUUUUGAAAAAAAAAUAAAAGGAAUGUAAAUUUAAGAUUUACGAAAUAAAUUUUUGUAGUGAUGGUAUUUAGAUACAAUAUUUUUUAAUUCAUUAAGAGUAUCUUUGUAAUUAAUCAUCGUAAUAAUUUACGUGAGCGCUACACAUAUGAAACUGCUUUAUCUAACAAUAUUGUAGAGAUAUUUUGAUAAUGUUGUCAAUAGUCAAUAUAAUAUACUCUCCGUUUCAUUUUAAUUGAUGUUUAGAAAAAACGUUUUAUUUCAGAUUAGAUAAUGUUUUCAAUUAUUUUGCAAGAAGUUAAUGUGAUUUGUUGUUUGUGAUUAAUCAUAAAACAUAAAUAUUUAAUUUAUUUCAAAAAAAAUGGAAAGAAAAUAUAUAAGAAUGCAUCAUCAUAGCAAAAACAAAAGGAAUAAAAUUGAGAAAGCUGUUUUAAAAAGUCUAGAAGCCCCAUAUUUUGUUCACUCUCUAUUCCUUAUAUAUUAAUUGAGAAACAUUACAACAUUGUUUUGUAGCCACGUGUCGCAAUGAGAAUGAAAUUCAGAAUUCUUAGAAAAAUAGGUUGGUUUAUCUUAAUUUAUAGUAUACUUUUUAUUAAACUAACUAUCAAAUUGAUAAAUAGUGUAUAAAAGAAUAUUCUCGCAGUUUCAUUAAAUAAAAACUACGGAAUUACCUAAUAUGAUUAACGUAUAUAUGACCAUUAAUGAUUAUGAAUAAUAAAAAUUUGAUAACAAUUUUUGUAUCCUUCUUAAUUUUUGUCUAAUGUUAUAUUAUUAAAAGAAAUUAAACAAUCACAUUAACCAUAUAAUAAAAAGAAAUUAGAUUUUUUCUUAUAUGUUAUAUUUUGAAUUUUUUAAAUGACUAUAAAUUAUUAGAAAUUUUAAAAUACUACUUUGAAAAUUUUGUGAUCAAUGGCCGAAUUUGUUUUGUUAUAACAAGAUACAAAUGAUCCUAAAAUUAUAUUAAUAUGGAUUUUUAUUUAAUAAAUAUUCAAAUUAAAUAAUAUAUUUAUUCAGCUAAUGACUUAAAGCAAGAAAAUGGGCUGCAUCAAUUUAGUCGCCAAGUUGAAACCCUUCAAAACUAUGUGGAAGACUAAGGUCACAGUAAUACGAUUUUGGAAACAAUACUAAGCUGAUGGUUCUAAAACCAUUGAAAUAGUUCUCAGUGAUGUUAAAGUAAGUAUUAAAAAAGUUGUAGAACCUGUUUUAUAAUAAAAAUUUACUUGAUGACCACAUUACGGUUUUUAUAGGUAUAAACAGGGUGAUAAAAAAUUUAAUCUCAAAUCGAUCAGGAUCAUCAUAAAUUCAAAAUAGAUUUCACUCCACAAUUACAAUUACAAAUGGCUGUCCAACAUAUAGAUGAUUAUAUAAAGAAAACAUAUAUGUAUGCAUAUUAAAAAAAAUCAAAUACAUUUACAUAUUUAAUUUGUUAAUACUAUAUAUUUUUAAUUUUUAUUAUAUAAGUUUGCGCAGGUCUUAUCCUAGUAUUGUAAGUAUAGCAGAGUCCAAUACAUAAUAAAAAUCAUUCAAACUUGAACACAAGGUGGCAUGUAUUAGAAGCCUUGAGCACACCAUCCAAUUUUUUGCGCGUCCUACGUCUCUGUUUCAACUUGUCAAGCUGGCCCGGUUCAAUGGGACCUGUAGAGAAAGUCGCAUUCUUUAACCCUCUUGCAUUCUUUAGAAGAUAUGUAGCCACUUCUUCUUCCUUUUCUCCUUUCCAAUCGUAUCUUCUCCACACAAAUGUCUCUAGAUGUGACAACAAACAUUCAGGGACAGACUUUGGCUUAUUCCAUUCCCAGCCGAGAACAUGAUAGUCAGGAUUAAUCCUAUAUUUCUGUAACCAACGUGAAAAAGAGUAGUAGUCAAUGUAUAUAUCAUCAGUAUUAGACCAUCAAAAAUAGCUAGCUGAAUAAUAAAACAAUAAAAUUUCUUACACCAACGAGCUUCAGGACUUGUAGUUUCGGUGAAUGUUCGAGCAUCCACGUAAGUAGAUCAUACCAGCCUGGUUCAUGCGUAUAUAUCUGUAGAUACACCAGUUGAUAGAAGAUACAUCCAGUAGGAGGAUAUAUAGUCUAUCCAUGAGACGAAAUUAAUAACUUAUACAAAUAAUAUUAUUUAGUUUUGCUUUGUAUUUAUUUAGUUAUAUUCGAGUAAAUCGUUAUAUAUAUAAGUACAAAGAGGAUAUAUGUCAAUGCCAACUCAAGAUUCAUGAUCCGAGAGUAAACCAUAUAUGUUUGCAAUCUUCGUUUGAUGACGUGUUUUACUCGUACUCGUUAUACUAGUUUUGUGUGGAUAAGAUGUUAUACUUUUGGUCAAUGUAACCGUUGUAGAUUUUAAAGAAAAUAAUCUAAUUUUACAUUCUUAUUUAUAUAGUUAGAUUCGAGUAUAUCGAUUUAUUUACAAAACAAUAUAUGAAGAGGACAUGUGUCAAUUCCAAUUCAAAGUUUAUAAUACAAGAGUGAACCAUAUAUAUGAAAUAUGUGUUUGAUGAUGUUUUUUUGUCGUACUCGUUGUACUAGUUUUGUAUGGAUAAAAUUGUACUUUUGGUCAAUAUAACCAUUAUAAAGUUUGACUAAGUUAUAUGGUUAUUGGGCUUUUAUUUUUUUGGUUAACCCACUUUGCAUUUCUGAUGUUGAAUUAGAAUUUCUUAAUGGGAGGCUUUUGGUUAUAGUGUUAUUAUAAUUUUUCACAUUCAAAAGUGGGUGGAUAAUUCACCCCCAGUUUGAAGCAUAAAGAGAUGAACAUGUGAGACUGUGUGGAUUGUCCUUUUUAGACCAUGAAAUGAUACGGAGCCAAGAAAUAUACAUAAACCAUCAAUAGAUCUCAUUGCUUCCUACAUCAUGUCCAGUUAUUAUGGACUCCAAGUGUUGAGUCUAAAUCUGAAGAGAAGUAGAGUUUCAUUUUCACCAUACUUUUUAUACAAAGAAGUACUUUUUCUAGAGAGAAAAGUCUUAUAUCAAAAGAUGAUGCAUUUUAUGACAAACAAAAAUUGAUGGAAACUUUUAUAUAUCUUUGAUGUGAUAUAUUGAAGAUUUCCUGCUUAGCUUCAAAAGUAGGUAGGAUCCGAGAAGAGGUCAUCCUUAUUCUUAAGAAUUACUUGAUUGAGCUUUUGAACUUUUGAUCAAUGUAGUUGUUGCUGAGUUUGUGUGAGUCAUUAACUUGUUCGGGUUUUGUUUUUUAAGUUCUCCUUUUUAUGUUGAUUUAAAUAUUUUUGAUUGACUAGAGGCCGUUCUUUUUUUGAAUAAAUGUUAAAUUUUAUUCAUCCAAAAAAACUGUUUUAUAUAUGAUGUAACUAUGAGUUAGAAUGAUAAAAAAGUAUAAACUCAUCUUUACAUAUCAUCUUGUUCCAAACCAAAUUCUAAGGCCCUCCUCCAUCUUUUGAUCACCUUGGCGCCUAAUGGUAGAUAAUCUGUUCGUCACAGUCUUAUCAAUUGUCUUUAUCAACAGACUAUAUGGUGUUGCUGCUCUCCAUGCCUUCUCUUAUUUCUUUCCCACCAAAUUGUAUGAGCAGUAGCUUGGAAAGUGUACCUCAGCAAGAACAACCUUACGCUUUCCUGUCUACUAUCAAGCAAGAGAUUGAAAAUGUCUUCCCAUUCCUCUGUAUAUCUCGAUUGGAGUAACCCUUUCACAAGCUUCUGCCAGAUUUGACUUGAGUAUGAACAAGAGAGAAACAGAUGGUUACGCGUUUCCAUGCUUUGGGUAGUUAUGAUGAGGUGAUUCAUGUUAAGUAGGAAGGUUGCGAAUUGACUCAAGGUGAAUACUUCUGAAGGGACUUCAUAGAAACAAGAGAAUGUCAUCUAACUUAACUAAUACAACAAAACCAUAUCAUAUAACCCCUGUUCGGGAACGCGCUAGGCGCUAGUCGGGCGGUCGGGUUGGACCUAGCGCCUAAAAAAAAAUCGAGGAUUAAUCGAAAAUUAUGCGGGGCGGAAUUUUUAGAUUCUUUACUAUGUUAUAAAACAAGUUAAUCUUUAAUUGUGUAUAACAUUAAUACAUUUUCAUGUUUAAGAUUGUAUAUAACACACAAAUAGAAUAUAUAAACUUAAUAUAGUGUAAUUUUCAUCAAAAUUAUGAAUAUAAAUGAUAUUUAUAAAAUUUUAGAUCAAACAAAUAAAUAAAAAUAUUAUUAAAAAAAAAAUUAAAAAAACAGAUUAGGCGGCUAGGCGGUCAUUUAGGCGGUCUAGGCGGAGAAAAUCGGAUAUCCGAUUUUUUAAACCGAUUUGGCAUAAAUCGGGGCGGAAGAGUGACACGUAGCGCCCAGACGGCCGCCUAGAGCUAAGCGGCCGAUUUUUAGAACAUGGCUAAAUAAUAAUGAUUGUUAUGAAUUUGUUUUUUAGAUGAGGGAUGCUCGUUCGUUGGCGACAUGGAGAUAUUGUAAGGAGAGUAAUUGAAACGCCCGGUCCGUCCACGGCUAAUGGGCCAUCCACUAGAUUAUUGNNNNNNNNNNNNNNNNNNNNNNNNNNNNNNNNNNNNNNNNNNNNNNNNNNNNNNNNNNNNNNNNNNNNNNNNNNNNNNNNNNNNNNNNNNNNNNNNNNNNNNNNNNNNNNNNNNNNNNNNNNNNNNNNNNNNNNNNNNNNNNNNNNNNNNNNNNNNNNNNNNNNNNNNNNNNNNNNNNNNNNNNNNNNNNNNNNNNNNNNNNNNNNNNNNNNNNNNNNNNNNNNNNNNNNNNNNNNNNNNNNNNNNNNNNNNNNNNNNNNNNNNNNNNNNNNNNNNNNNNNNNNNNNNNNNNNNNNNNNNNNNNNNNNNNNNNNNNNNNNNNNNNNNNNNNNNNNNNNNNNNNNNNNNNNNNNNNNNNNNNNNNNNNNNNNNNNNNNNNNNNNNNAUAUUGCACCAUUACAAUGUGCGUUAAAUAUAAAUCUCAGGCAGUUGCGAGCGACAAAAAAAAUGUUUAGAAAUAUCUUAUGUGUAUAAGUACCACGUUCUUUUUCAUUUAAUCACAAAAUAAAAACAUAAAUUAAUAGUCUUAAGCCAGUACAGAGCGAAAGUUCAAGCAUUGAGAAUUAUCAAUCACAGUGGUCAACACAAAUUCUUAACAGAGAAGGUGUGGUUAUUUCUGUUCUUCUCCAGUACUCCUCUUUAGAAGCUCAUUUCUUGGUACUUACCAAUUGAAUGAUGCUGCUUCUCUUCCAUGCUACUGUCAUUUUUGGCCCACUCGACCACCUGUGACGGUAAACAAAGAGUCAAUGGAUCCAAAUUAAGAGGUCUGAGAGAGAGAGAAAGAGAACAGAGUGCAACAUAAGAGUCUUACCAAAUGGCGUCCGUAGUAAUGAGUACUCGACCAUGUUUGUUUUUUGCGUUUGACGUUUCUUGCUUUGUCAUUAAAUCAACAAAAUUUUAACUUGAAUAUUUUCCAAUAUUCCUCUUUGGAAGCUAUGCAUAAACAAAGAAACAUGAAGGAUUGUGUUUGAUGUUUCUGAGGGUAGUAAAUCCAACACAACUUCUAUUACGACAGAGACCAAUGGCAUGUCACGUCCCUUUGUAGCUGUUGUGACUUGUAACAGAAUAAUAUUAAACCGAUGCAUAAGACCUAAACUUCAGUAAUUGCAUUAUUACCUGUUCAAGUCCUGAAAAGCUGUCUUAGCUCUUUCCGGUUGCCUCAACAGCUAAAACUUUUACAAGUAACUUUGUUGGAAUAUUAUCUCAAGCUUUCCCAACCGUGUCCCUCUGCUUGUGUCCAGAAUCUCAACCUGAAAGCAUGCUCAUCCAUAGAAGUUCCCUGAAAUUAAAAAGAAAUGUGUCUUUGCACUUCAUCAAAUUCAAGAAACUUGAAAUUUCAAAGAGAAACAAAACUAUAUACUUGCACAUCUCUGUAGAGUCGAAUUCUACAAAACAAUAACUGCUUGAAACUUCUUUCAAAUAAUUUCCCAUGGCUUAUUUACAUAUCCCAUAAACCAUAAAGAUGAUAAACACACAUAAAACAAAGGAAACCCCAAGCAUAGGAAGUUAAAAACCUUCAAAAUUUUGGUAUCAAGCAACAAUUUUUUGAUUGUUUUAAAAAGAAUCUAAAAACAUAUAUCACAUUAAAGUUUGGGCAGUUCUAUCAGAUAAAUCUUUUUAUGUUUUUGUUACAAAAAUAGAUCUCAAAAAAGAAAAUGACCAAAAUAGAGUUUUUUAUUUUGAAAAUUUUAAUACUUUUUUAGUUUUUAAAAUUUGAAAUCAUACCUCUAAAACUCUACCCCUUAACUCUAAUCUCUAAACCCUAAAUCGUAAAUCAAAAACCCUAAAUUCUAAAUUUUAAACCCAAAAACCCAAUCCUUAAUAAAACAUCUCUAUUAUUAAAAGAGAAGUACCAUUAAAAAAUACCCCUAAGUUUUCUAACUUAUUUACACUUUCAUACCACUGAGAAUUAAAUUAAACUACUUAUUUUAAUGUUUGUCUUUUCCAGUUAAAUUAAUGAAUUUUUCUUAAUCAAAUUUAAACUUAAUGUCAUUAAAUAAACCUACCUAUUUUAAUGUUUGUCUUUUCCAGUUAAAUUAAUAAGUUUUCCUUAAUCAAAUUUAAAUUUAAUGUCAUUAAAUGAACCUAAAAAUACAUCAUAUUUAACGUAGCUUAUUACGUACGAGUACGACCCAAUAAUGAACUUGAAUUUUAUUUUUACGAAAACGUGAAUCACUUGACUUAUGAUUUUCUAAGCUUUAUAAAAAAAACAAAUCAAUAAAUACAAACUCAAAAUCCAAUAUCUUCUAUUAAUCAAAACAUAAUAUCUUCAAUGUCGUAUCUUUAAUGUACCUAUUAAAUAUAGAAACUGUAACCAUAAUUACACUAAUUAUAAGAAUAGAUUUGAUUCCAACCAAAUGAUCUAUUACUUCGGUAAUUGAUUUGCUUGCAGAAGAGAAAACAAUAAAUUUAAAAUUUAUAAGAAUAUAAAGAUAUAGAGAUUCCAACCAAUUGCCUAUAUUUGCGUAUGAUUUUCGCAUAAUAAGCUUCAAAUUGAACAUUGAAAAAGAUAGAGAUAUUUUUUUUAAACUUUUACCGAUACAAACUUAAACAAAACGAAGACUUAAAUGUAAUUUUUUUUGUUACACUUCCCGGAAAAAAACUGUUACAACAUGAGCUUUCAUAAUAUGACUUUUUAACAUAUUAAUGUUAUGGACAUUUAAUAAUUAUCUUGACGAAAAACAAAGACUAUAAAUAAUUUAUUAUUAAUAAAAUUAUGAAAUUAUUUACAAUUUGAUGACUAAUUCAUCGCCUUUUUUUAUAUGUUAAAUUUUUCAUAGAAGUUUAAAAAUCAUUUUAUUUUCUUUAAACAUGUAUAACUAAUUUAUAAUCUUUUAUGCCAUACUAAGUCAUAAUAUAAUAUUUCUUUAUAUUUUACAUUAAUAACCAUUGUUUUAACAUAUCAUCUACAAUUCUCUAAUUACGUCUAUUUGUUCAAUUUUUUAUAUGAUAUCGAAUAUUCAUCGCAAAUAGAUGGUUUAAGAUGCCAAAAAAAAUAUUUUCUUGAUGAAUAUAAUACAUCAAAUAUUACAAAUACAUUAUUUAAUUAAAUAAAUAACCAAAAGCCAAAAAUUCAAAUCAGGGAGGGUCUAGUUUUAGUUAUUUUGAAAUAUAUAGGGAUAUCUAAGGAAUUUUUCUUAAAGUUUUCCCACAUCUUAAUAAAAAAUUUAGUUUAUAGGCAUUAUUGCAUUUGUCGAAAAUAAAAAUAAAAAUGUGUUUUAAUUAAUCUGCGCACAAGAAAUUACCUCCGACGCGAAACAUCUCAGUCUUGACUCUCCGAACUCCCAACUAGGGUUUCUCGAUCUCUCCACCAAAUGCUUCUUCUGCAGCGAUGAUUUCUACAUAGCUUCCGCUGAUUCCAACUCUCUAAGCGGCAUCCAAUUUCAAUGGGACUUCCUCGUCUCGUUGCUGUUGCUUUUACACUUGCUCUAGUUUCAAUCUUUCUCCCUCUCCCGUUCUCUCUCGCUGGUGAGUUUUCCUUUUUCUGAUUUGUAUUAGCACAAAUUAUCUAUCGUUUUUUGAUAGAACAUUAGUUUGUUAGUGUGAUCCAUUUCGAAGAUUUCUUUUUUUUUUUUUGGGUGUGUGCAGGUGAGAUAACGUCUAUUGAAUCUGUGCCUGACCUUCAGAAGCUUAUGUAUGUUGCUGUUGAUGGGUAUCCUUGUGUGCGCCUCCUCAAUCUCUCUGGAGAGAUUGGCUGUUCCAGUAAGAUUCUUUUAUUAUUCGAUUAGUUCCCCCCCUGGUUUUUAUUUUUGUUUAUAAUAUACUCAGAUCCUGGAUUGAGUAAGGUGGUGGCUCCACUCAUUAAACUCAAGGAUGUUAAAGAUUUGGUUGAGCCGCACACUGUUUUGGUUACAGCUGAUGAAAUGGAAGAUUUCUUUACCAGGCAUGUUCCUUUGUCUCUUUUUUUUUUUUUUGCUAAAGUUCUAUUCGGUUUAGAACAAAUCUCUUAAUCUGUGGACUAGUGCUUUAACUCCCAUGCUAAUAAGCAUGUAGCCAUGCAUGAAAUAGGUGUUUGCUUAACAUCUGUCAAUAAAGUCACUUUUGUUGUUAGUGCAUCCGGAGCUAAUGAUGUUCUAUUCACUAGGAUCCUGUAAUUCAUUCUACAAACUAUUUUAGUCAUGGCAUUAUUGGUUAGAUUUUGUACCUCUUAAACUAUUUACGUUAGAAUCCUACAUUGCGCAUUCUGUUUUACUUCUGGCAUGAUUCAUUAGAUUUUGUACACCCUCUGUUAAAGUAGAAAUUACUCAUGAUUUAUUGCUAUUUUCAGGGUAUCAAAUGAUUUGAGUUUUGCUAGCAAAAUUGGUGGCGUUCUAAUUGAGUCAGGAUCUAGCUUUCAACAAAAGUUAAAAGGUACUAUGCCAAUCCGCAUAUUUCUAUUAUUCUGUCAACCUGAUGCAUUAGUAUUUGUUUCUUCUUUCCUGUAGGUCUUUCCCCUGAUAAAAUGUUUCCUCAGGCGGAGUUUUCACCAUAUAAAAACGUUGAGUACAAAUGGAAUCCAAUGGUAUAAUAUCAUAAACUCUGUCUGAAUCUUUGAAGUUACAUCUUCUUGUGAUGGAUGUAUGUGGGUUAGAAAAUAUUUUAAUCAGUUAUUACCAAUCCAUUGUCAAGCAUUUCCAAGCUGUAUGCUAUUUUUUACUGGAAUUAUACGACAUCAUAAAUCCUUAUCUUGUGGUUUGUUCUUGGUGUAUAAAACGGAAUGCUUGUAUGUGCUAAGAUUUUCACUUACAAAGAAGUUCAUAAGACAGUCGCACAUUAUCUACCUUAGUAAAAUGAUAUCUUUUUCAUGGAGAAGAAAGUGGUUUCAAUUUUAUGAAUAGUUGCAGGCAGUGGGUCUUUAGCCCUCUUAACCAUUCUAAAAAUGAUACAUUUUAUUUGCAGGCAUCAAGCAUUAUGUGGAAAGCUUAUAAUUUUCCUGUGUACUUAUUGUCAGAAAGUGGUAUAACAGCUGUGCAGAAGGUAAUCCUUCAAACUUGCAUUCUUAUGGAAAUUAUAAUUGUAUGACUGUUGGUCACUCUUAAGAGCAGUAUUCCUUGAUGGAAAAAUGUUGCAUGAGACCUGCCUCUCAAUGUCAUGUGAAAUGAUUACUCUUACUUUAGACUGAACUAGAUUCCAGAAGUUUUGCUAAACAAUGGUUACUGAAUCAUGAUAGAAAUACAAUUUGGUCCUUCAGUGUUUGUAUUAUGCAUCUGGGUGCAGCUGAGAGUUUAUAGCUUUUGAAGUGCAGUUUGUUAAUUUCCUUAGCGUGCAAUUGGAACCAACCACUGCCUUUCCAUUUGUCUUGCGGUAGUGGCAAAUUCAUGACCUACCUGUAGUUUUAGAGAUUGUUGGAAAGACUAAAAAUGAAGUGUUUACUUGCAUGUUAAUAACCUAAUAUAUUUGUGCAGUUCCUUUCCAAGAAAGAUAUGAAGCAUAAAACUUACACCAGUGACGUCGCUGAAUUCAAUAUGGUUAUGGAGGUAUUUGGCUUUAGCAAUCUAGCUCACUGGAGUCUCAAACGUCUUCAUGAAUUUUUACUGUGACUGGCAUUUUGACCAUUUAUUUUAUGGAUUAGACUACCAAAGCUGGCACACACAAUUCGGAGGCUUGUUUACAGGAAGGAACCUGCCUCCCAUUGGGCGGAUAUAGGUAACAUUUUUGGAAGGUCUAACUGCUCUCAUGUACUGUCUGAUUUCAAAACAUGUGAUAACUUUUCAACGGAUAAGCUUCGUUUUUAAUAUCUUUGUUAUGAAGAACAGUGUUUGGUCCUCACUUCCACCAAUCAACGUUUCGUCUUCCAACAAUCGCAAACCAAUUGUGCUAACUGUGGCCUCCAUGGAUUCUGCAUCAUUUUUCCGUGACAAGAGCUUUGGUGCAGGUUCACCGAUAUCUGUGAGAUCUUGCUAUUUAUUGCUUCUGGCUUGACCUGUAUAUGUUUUAUUUACUCUUCUUUUUAGAUUCAGUGUUCAACGACCCAUUUGAUUUUCAGGGACUGGUAGCUCUUCUGGGAGCAGUUGAUGCUCUUUCUCGAGUUGAGGGUUUAAGUAAUCUCAAAAAGCAGGUGCCAAUUAAUAAAUAUAAUCACCUAGGACUUUCUAAAACACUUCAGUGUGCCAUGUGAAUUUGUUCUGUAGCUUGCACGUCGCUGUUCUGUGCCUCUUAUAGCUUGACGUGUGUAUCCUGCAGCUUGUAUUUUUGGUUCUGACCGGAGAAACGUGGGGUUACCUUGGCAGCAGGAGGUUCUUACACGAACUAGAUCUGCAUUCAGAUGCUGUUGCAGGCCUUAGCGAUACCCUGAUUGAAACGGUAACAUUUUUUGUUUUGAUCCGAGGAAGUUGGUAGAGACAGCUAGUCUCUCAUGCAUGAAUACCCUUGUGGAAAAAAGUUGCAUAAGUGUUAUCGUUGCUGCAACGUAUUUUGUUCCUUAGUAGCAAAGAAAAAAAAAGUUUGUUGCUUACCGAGUGUUCCUUGUGAUAUUGUGACUUCACAAUUCCCAAAUUGCUGUCUUCUAUUAUCUAUCAGGUGCUCGAAAUAGGAUCUGUUGGGAAAGGUUUGAGUGGAGGGAUCAAUACCUUCUUUGCUCAUAAAACCAGGGUGAGAAAUUCCUGAUGCGCUAAAACUCUUACGUAAUUAAUUAAAUCAUGUGAAUCUGUAGUAGGCGACUUAACCUCCACAUUUGGUCUUCUGCUUUAGGUUUCUUCUGCUACAAACAUGACACUGGAUGCUUUGAAGAUAGCUCAGGAUUCAUUUGCAUCAAAGAAUAUCAAGAUUCUUUCAGCGGAUAAGACAAACCCUGGAAUACCACCAUCAUCCACGAUGGCAUUCAUGAAGAAGGUAUAAUAUGUUUUCCAAGUAUACAUAGAUGGAAAGACAAUUCAAAUUCGUAUUCGUAAUUUGAAAGAGAAAGCAACUCUUCAAAUAUAUAUGAGCAUGGUGUUUUGAUCUCAUUUCUGUUUACCGUAAGAAAUCAUCAAUUGAUAGGAAAAGUAUGCUUAUUGCUUGAUGUUAAUGUGGUUCUUAAUCAGAUGGACAGUUGAUCAAAAAAAAAAAUUAGAUGGUCAAGAGUGAAAAAGUUAUAUAAUUUUUCAUUGUUGCAGAACCCUCAGACUUCAGCUGUUGUUCUUGAAGACUUUGAUACCAAGUUUGUGAAUAAGUUCUACCAUAGUCACCUCGAUGAUUUGUGUAAGAAGAAGUGUCACAACCUGUCUCUUCUUUUCGCUCUGAAACACCAGUUUGAACUUUUUCUGAUCCUUACUGGUAUUUCUAUUGCAGCAAAUAUCAACUCCUCAUCUGUAGUAGCUGCUGCUUCGGUUUUAGCCCGUACGCUUUACAUUCUUGCAAGUGACAACAAAGAUUCAGCUCUGGGAUCUAUUUAUGUCAAUGCUUCUUUCGUUGAAGAGCUUCUAGCCUGUCUUCUAUCUUGUGAGCCGGGGCUAUCAUGCAACUUGGUCAAAGAUUACAUUUCACCGACGAACACUUGCCCAGGCAACUAUGCUGGCGUCAUGAGUGGAGAACCUUCCUCCAACCCUUACCUUGGUUCCGUCGGUGACGUUUCUAGAUUCCUAUGGAACUUUCUGGCUGAAAAAACAUCUGUCCAAAAGGGAAACACAACCUCGGUUUGUUCAAAAGGAAGCUGUAGCAGAACCGACCAAGUGUGUAUCAAAGCAGAGAGUAACAAGGAGGGAACAUGCGUGGUCUCCACGACCAGGUAAACUCUUUUCGCUUAGAACUGUGUCUUGUGUCCUGAAACUGAACAAAUCAUAAGCUAGUGAUGUCACAUUAGAACUGUGUCUUGGAAGAAUCUUUCUAGGUUCUCUUCAGGUUGAUUCGGUUGUUCUGGUCGUAUCAGGUAUGUUCCAGCGUAUUCAACAAGAUUGAAGUAUGCAGAUGGCGCUUGGACUAUUCUGCCCCAAAACACAUCGGAUUCUAUGGGGAUGGUUGAUCCGGUCUGGACGGAGAGCAACUGGAACACUAUAGGCUUGCAAGUAUACACGGUCCAGCACUCAGCAUAUGACAAUGCAGUCCUUGUAGCGGGUAUUACAGUCGCAACACUGGCUUAUAUUGGAAUUAUGGUUGCCAAAUCGUUCAUCACAAAAGCUUUGAAGCAGGACUGAGACUUAUGAUUGUAGCUCCCAAAACUGUAUGGUGGUAGAAACCUUUUCUCACAAUUCACAACUAAAGUUAUAUUGAAAACACUUGUUCUUUUUUUUUUUUUAAAGAUAGUUCAUAUUAAAUUCUCACCAUUUAUCAAGAAUAAGCAAAAGCUUGAAUAAGCAAAGAAGUUGUUUAAACAGUCAAAGAAGUACCAAGCGUGCUCCAUUCAGUCUUCUGUGCUAAUAAAAGACUUCCUUCCUCUAAACUUUUGAGUAUUUCCUUUCCAAAGCUGAAGACGUAUUGGCAAAUUUCAGCCCGUUGUGAUGGUGAGGGUGAUUCAGGAAAAUUCAAAGUCUUUUAGAGUUUUGCUCCAUAUCAGAAUAAGCAGUGCUUGACACGUUACCAAGAUAACCAUCAUCAGCAAGGAGCUGAUUUGAUAUUCUGAUAGAUCGAAUCAAGAGAGCGAUUCUUCUUAGGGUUUGGGCAAUCUUCGAAAUAUUUAAUCCAACUAGUGCUUUUAGACUUUUGUCGUGCACUUUUAAGCUUUUAAUGUAUUUUGGUUUACAAUCCAUGUCCUUGUCAUAUAAGCAAUUUUGUGAAAGUUUUCAACGAUGCACUCAACAAGAAACUAGAGAUAUCUUCACCAUCCACAUCUACUAGCUAGGUUUUUUUCGUUUCUAAAGACAAGAAUAACAACAAAAAUCCCUUUUCCUUCUCAUCUACUUCCACUGCUUAAUCUCAGCUUCCCCCAGAAGGUAAAAAUUUGGGAAUCUAAGGUUUGCUUUAUUGAAUUUUUUUUGUUUUCUCUUGAGUUCUUAAUUGAUUUUUAGACAGUGGAUGUGAAACGGGUUCAGAUCUGAGUGGAUCAGAAGGUGAUGAUAGAUCAUGGGUUUUGAAAUUUGAGAGGCAAUGAUUUCUGAUGUAAAGUAGAUAUGAGGAUUAUGUGCAAGAUGAUUUCAAUCAUUGUUGUUUUAAGUGGUCAAGUUCCAUAUUAUAUCUCGUUCUUGAUGUUGAAUCUUCAAACAGCAUGUACAAAAAUCAAAGUCUAAAGAAUAAGAAAAGUUGGAAAACAUUUAAAUCUUGAUAAUGAUGUUUUGGUGAGAUGUUAGCGAAGAACAUAAUGAAAUGGUGAAAUCAGCUGCUGAAACUUAUAUAUGUAUAUGGUUUGAUUCAUGUUUUUUUACAUUUUGACUAGUACUAAAGGAAUUGCUGCAAUGGUUAGUAGUGUGUUUUACUUAUUUUGUCGUUUGGUUAACAAUCUUGUCUUCCACUUGGAACGGAGAUCGAGUACUGUGGCCCGAAAUGCGAAGAUGUAUCUUACCCGCUAUCUAAAAACCAAGGCAGUAAGUAGUAUCAUUUGCGUAAAUGGCACGAUUGUAUCUUAGUGUGUUUUUGUUUCCGUAACUGAAUGUUGUUGCAGAUAUUGAUGGAGCUUACUUUGGAACAACAUUCCAUCAUUUGUUAUUUGUGACUUAUGGGAACUUAAAGCCGCAGAAACUGACUCAGAGCUUAAUAUGUUCCAAGAAUCUAGGGCUGGGCAAAUAUAUCGAACCCGAAAAUCCGAACCGAACCCGAUCCGAUAAAAAUGAAUCCGAACCGAUCCGAACCCGACAUAAAUACCGAAUGGAUCUUGUUUUUUGGUAUUUUGGGUUAUGGGUAGGCUUGGGCGUUCGGGUACCCGUUGGCGUUCGGAUCGGGUUUUUCGGAUUUUGGUUCUUUUUUAUAACACCUCCUAGAUCCCAUUCUAGUAAAUUUGCAAGUACUGAUCGGGUUCGGGUCGGUUUUGUAUCACAUCAUAGAACCCAUAAAGUAAUCAUAUAUCAUUCGGAUUCGGGUUAUAUUGGAUCGGUUCGGAUAUACUCGAAAUAAAAUCUAAAAUUUAAAAGUAAAACAUAAGAAAUAUAUAUUUAUUUAUAUAUAAUUAAGUAUUUAAGGUAGUUAUUUAAAUUUUAAAUACUUAUUGUUAGAUAACAUAUCAAAAUAAAUAUGAAAUUAAAUAUUUGAAGUAUAUAUUCAUGUUUCAUUUAAUUAUAUUGUAUAUUAUUUUGGACAUUCGGAUCAGUUUCUUCGGAUAUUUUUUCGGUUUUUUCAGCUUUUCGGGUUACUCGUUUGGGUUCGGUUAAUAACACUUCGGGUUCGGAUAUGUUUUAUACCACCUUACAAGACCCAUUCGGAUAUUUUUUACAUUUCGGACCGGAUACGGAUCGGGUUUUUCGGUUCGGGUUCGGUUCGGGUUCGGUUCGGAUUUCGGGUUACGGAUAUUAUGCCCAUGCCUAGUUAUGGGUAUUAUCCGAACCGAACCCGGACCUAAAUGGAUAUCCGAUAGAACCCGAAACAUUUAAAAUCACAAAAAAAAACUUCUACCAAAUAUGAUCUUAAUUCUUAAUAUGUAUCCAAAAUACUUUAAGAUAUUAUUGAACUUCUAAAAUAAUUAUCUAUUACAUGAAGGUUGAUGGUGGAAUGUGGCGGUUGAAGACUGAAGUUUAUAGAUUUUGGUUUUGUUUUCACUGAAUAAUGUUUCUCAUUUCAUGAGAACUUAGUUUUUGUUUUAUGAUUUCAUUUGUCUGAUUUUCUUUCUAUCACUAACUAUGUUUAUCUUUCGCUUGAUUUUGAAUGAUCACGUUUAAUGUUUUUUCUUAUUUUUGAAUCGAUUUUACUUAUGUUUUGGCUAUUAAAAUAUGUUCAAAUCAUCUACAGUAGAACCUCUAUAAAUUAAUAAUCUUUAAAUUAAUAAUCUCUAUAAAUUAAUAAAUUUCACCGGUCCCAACUUGGACUGGUUCAAAAUUUGACACGAAUCGAUAAAAUAAUAAGAUAAUAUUGUUUUAGAAAAUUCUAUGUAAAAAUAUGGUCCCAUUAAAUAAUUUAUAUGUAUACAUAUUUUAUAUAAGUAGAACCUAUUAUUAUAUUAUUUAUUUUAUAUCCACAAAGGAAUUAUCUUUAUAUUUUCUUAACACUUAAAAUAUUUUUUGAUGAGAUUUAGUAAUAUUAUAUCUAAAACCACAUUUUAUGUUCUAUGCAAUAUAUAUUAUAUAUACCAAAUAAUAUAAUAAAAUUAAGAUAAAUGUAAAAUUUCAAAAAAUAACAAUUAAUGUCUAUACACUAAAAUCAAAUAUUUUUCUUAUAUUAUAAUAAAUAUAUCUUAAAACAAGAAAUCUAAAUAAGGAAACUUUUGUAAAUUAAUAUCUCUAUAAAUUAAUAAAAUUUCAAAGUCCCAACAUUAUUAAUUUAUAGAAGUUUUACUGUAUUUUAAAUCCAAAGAACCGAUUUCAUUGUUAUAAAAUAGGUACAAAUCAGGUAUUUUUAAACUGAAGAACCGAUUGGGAUCCGAGCCCGAAAGUACAAUGGGUUAUACCGGUUCUUUGAAGAUUUACUAAGUCCGACCCGAACCCGAUAGAACCCGAACCGGUCCCGAGCCGAACUUUUAUAUAACCCGAAUGAAGCUGAUUUUGAUAAACCCGAAAAACCAAAACCCGAAUGGAUAAAACCGAUCACCCGAAUGAGAUCCUGAAUGCCCAUGCCUACAAUAAUCUUUGGGUUUAAAAGUACACAAAUCCGUGAUAUGCUAGUGAAAGUUAUGAUAGCUCAGUUUUAUUUUCUCAUUGAGUGAAACAAUCACUGCUCUUUAGAGGAUGCGGGUUAAAAAACCGAAGUUGGAAUCUUGAAGAAUCUCAGGAAGUUCCAAGAGAAACUUGUCUCGUUGAGGGAGAGUGACAAAAGACAAUUUGGGGGAUUCAGAAGAUUUUUGCCUUAUUCGUUGGAAUUUUUGUUUUUGUUAUGGGCAUUUUAUGUUCUUUCUUAGCUUUGCAUAUUUAAUGUCAUUGUAAAAAUCAAAAAAAAAAAAUCCAAUAUAAAAUCAACCUCAUUGGUAAUAAACCCUCUAUAAUUGGUAAGGUAGAGUGUGUGUGUUUUGAAAUGUUACUCUGGUUAGCAAAUAUAUAUAUAUCUUCUCAGUUUAGAUAAACUAUUCCAAACCAAAAUAGAUAAAAGAGCAAACCAGCUUACAAACGGAUUCACUUUUUUUUAAUCCUUAGAAUCUGAAUCCAAUUUGAAAAUCCAUCAUAGUCAUUGUAACAUAUAAGAGCGAACCAGCUUAGGCUGAAUCUGAACAAGCUUAAAUUUAAGAGUUAUAGCAAUUCAAUACUCUGCCUACACAAAAUAAACGUCUUGAGCCAAAACAAAAAAGCAGAUUGUCAAAAGUCAAAACAAACAAUAAAAGCCAGCCACAACAUAUUUGCUCAACCUCCUUGAUGGUGCUUCUAACAGUUAUGGUACUAGCAGUAGAGGACAAGUUUUUUCAGUAUUUAACCCAAACCACACUAAAACUCAAUUAAAUCAGAUUCAGGAUUACACAUAAUUCAAGAUAAUAAAGUCUUUGAUACAAAACCAUAUCACAAUGUAACCAAAAACUAGAUUGUCAAAAAACCAAUAGAUAAAAAAGCAACAUCAGAUUUAAAUUUAACCUCAAUGGUGCUUUUAACACUCACUGCACUAGCACUGCUGCAAACAGAAUCAAUUUUCCGCAGAAUUGAUUACUGAACUGUUAUUCAAUAAUCACAAAAUAUCUAUCAAAUGCAUACUCCACUUACUUACUUCUAACAAAAAUCAUCCUCAAACAGAGUCUAUAUCCAUUUUCUCUAUUUUAGUCUUUUCCUGCUGNNNNNNNNNNNNNNNNNNNNNNNNNNNNNNNNNNNNNNNNNNNNNNNNNNNNNNNNNNNNNUCCUGCUGAGAAGAUACAGAUUUGUAAACCGUAAACUCAACAAAUGCAUUGAAUUAGACAUUCGCUAGGCUAGAAAAUUUCCUCAAUGUACUUAUCUCAUGUUUCACCAUAAUAUUGAAACCCAAAUCAUGUCAAUAACAAUUUCGAAGAGAAAUAGUUUAAAAUUCAAUACAGCGCAAACCAACUUAAAAAAAAAAUAGUGAAUCAGAGAAUUUCUUACUAAAUUUUGAGAAGCGAUUGAUGGUCAAAUACGACAGUGUUACGCGGACAAUCCAAGAAGAUACAAUGUUGAUAGGAUUAGAUUUUAGGAGGAAUCGGUCUCUGUGAUUUUAGGAGGUUUGGCGAGCACUGUGUGAAUCUUCCCUCUAAGGUGUUCAGAAGAAGGUGGAUUUCGUUUUUUUUUUUUGCAAAAAGAACCCUCUAAAAUGAAAAUAAAUAUGAAUAUCAAAUUGUCGCUUAAAAAAUGGUAGGAUAAACCUCUGAUUUUUGGAUUUAAUUUUGGUUUACUACCGAUUUGGUUUGGUCUAAAGUAUUAUCACCCAAAUUUUUAUUUGAUGGAAUUCAGUUUUAAAUGAUAUCAAUGGAGAGACUUUAGUUUAAUUUUUUUUUGGUUCAACUUUAAUUUGAACCAAAUCUAUAUCAAAUUUGGUUCACACAUGUUGGGUUUACUUGAUUUGUAUAAGGUUUGAUGGUUUAAGGAUCAUAUUAUCUUCGGGUACCAAAUGACCCAAGUGUUAUACAAAAUAUGAGUCGGAUGUAUGAGUCGGAUGUAGACAAAGAUUGCACUAGCACUGCACUAGUUCUGCAAACAAAAUAAGUUUUCCUCACAAUUGAUUACCAAACUAUUACUCAAUAAUCACAAAAUAUUGUAGCAAAUGCAUACCCCACUUACUUACUUUUAACAUAAAUUCUCCUCAAAACUCUACAUUUCGUAUAAAGAAGAACCAACACUUACCUCAAACAUCUUCAUCUUCAAUGCAUCCAAAUCAUGUUUUCCCAACAAUAAGUAGCAUGAUAUUGAACCCUAGCUCUCUAACCAUCCAUAUCACCCGAAAUAACUAAAAUGAUACAAGGUUCUUGGUUUUUGCCAAGUAAGCAUGAUCCCAGUAGAUUAUGCCCGCAAUUAUAGUUCUAUCUGCUAUAGGUUUAAAUACUGAUUUCACUGAAAAAUCAAAUUUCAAAGACCACGAUCACACAAAAUAAGAAAUAUGUUUCCAUUAAGUAUUAAGCAAAAGAAUGAGAUGGAAAAGUUACCUCUCGGAGUGUGGUUCACCACAAUGCUAUGAGCAUUGUAUUGCAUCAACUCUAGUUCAUCUAUGAAUCUUUCUGAAUAAGCUGCGAUCUCUAAAUUUCCUUUGUGACCCUGAUCAUUCAGAAAGUAUUGCAGGUUUGGGGAGAGAGUGAGGACAUCAAAUCCUUCCGGUAAACUGCAACUCUCUAUGUUCCAAGGAGCUCACAUACCAUCGUGAAAACUCAUCAAACUUUUGCCGGAUACAAAAUACCCAAAGAACCAAAUUUCACUUAACAAACCCUUCAACUCCAAAAGUUCAAUAAUAUCGGCUCAAUUUCUCGAUUCCGCAUCAAACCUUUCUCCACUCAUAAACUACUCAUUUUCUUCUCUACAGCAAGCCUUUAAGAAUUUUUUUUUUGGAAAAGCUUUUCCUCUACAUCCUUUAGAACUAACUCAUUAAACCCAUGUAUAAUCUUAAACCUCUCAACUCUUCCAUCAUUUCACACCCAUAAUCUUUUUGAAACUUCAUUCUUUGAUUUGCAAUCCAUGAGAGAUGCAGUCACCAAAAACUUAACGAAAAUAUCUUCCAUUUAUUCUCUUCACAAACACACUAUCUUGAAAAUCAAGUUUUUAAGCAUAUCAAAAAUAAGAAGAAUGAACAACAGAGUCUAUAUCCCUUUUCUCUCGUUUUUUCUUUUCCUGCUGACAACAUACAGAUUUGUAAACCGUAAUCUCAGCUAAGACAUUAAAUCAUACAUGCUCUAGGCUAGAAAAUCUCUUCAAUCUACUUAUCUCAUGUUUCACCAUAAUACUGAAAUCCAAAUCAUGUCAAUAACAAUCUAUAAGAGAAAUAGUAUAAAAUUCAAUACAUCGCAAACCAACUUAAACAAAUAGCGAAUCAGAGGAUUACUUACCAAAAUUUUGAGAAGCGAUGAUGGUGUAAUACGAUAGUGAUGAGAAGCGAAUAUUGUGAAACGCGGAAAAUCCAAGAAGAUACAACAUUGAAUGGAUUAGAUUUUAGGAGGAAUCAGUCUCGGUGAUUGAUGAUGGAAUCGGUCUCGGUGAUUGAUGAUGGAAUCGGUCUCAGUGAUUUUAAGAGGUUUGGCAAACACUAUGUGAUUCUUCACUCUUAGGUGUUCAGUAAAAUAUGGAUUUUUUUUUUUCAAAAAGAACACUCUAAAUGAAAAAAAUUGCAUAUUAAACUGUGAUUAAAGAAAUGCAAGAUAAACCUUCAAUUUUUGGAUUUAAUUUCAGAUUACUACUGAUUUUGUUUGGUCUAAAGUACUGUCACCCAAAUUUUGAUUUGAUAGAAUUCAGUUUAAACUGAUUAUCAAUGGAGAGACUUAAGUUUAAUUUAAUUUUGGUUUAACUUUAAAUUGAACCAAAUCUUAAUCAAUUUUGGUUCACACAUGUUUGAGUUUACUUUUUAUUGGUUUUUAUUAACUUGACCUCUUUUUUUUUUGUCAAAAUAGAUUUGUAUAUGAUUACGCAUAAACAUAUCACAAUGUAACCAAAAACUAGAUUGUCAAAACUAAAAGAUAAAAGAAACCAGAACAGGUUUUAAUUUAACCUCCAUGGUGCUUUAGUGCACUAGCACUGCUGCAAACAUAAUUAGUUUUCCUCACAAUUGAUUACCAAGCUAUUACUCAAUAAUCACAAAAUAUCGUAGCAAAUGUAUACCACUUCCUUCUAACAUAAAUUCUCCUCAGACCCUCUACAUAUUGUAUCAUCAAUUUCCUAUUGUGAAACAAACUGUCAAAGUACAAAACAAAUAUUCUUAUCCACUACAAGAAUCACUCUGAAACCAAGAGAGCUAUAACUGCUCUAUUGUAGAAAUCAUAUCAACAUCUCCGGAAAUCACAAGCAUUGUCGUUGGUUCGUGGUGCUUGUCAAGAUAAUUGUGAAACCAGUCCACAGUGCCCACAAUCAUUGCUUUGUCGGCGGUAUCUUUAUCUUUGGUUAAUUCUGAAAUAAGAAAGUAUCAAGUUAUGAAAUCAACGGCUAUAUCACUAUCUUCGUGUGAUUGUAAAUAAGAAUGUAAUCAAGGUAUGAAAUCAAAGAGAGAAAUAAAGCGCUUACCCUUAGGAGAAAAAUACAUCAUCUGUCAUGGCUACCUCGAAAUAAGACAGUAGCUCGACAUCCUCCAGUCGUAUGUAGCCACAAGACUUUAGAUAGUUGACUAGUUUUCCUCAAAGAGAUUCGAUGUUAAAUUCUUCUGGUAAUUCACAAUUAGAGAAAUCUCUGUCAAAAUAAUUAGUUGGAACUUUUCCAUAAACCGAUUCCCAAGUAUCCCUUAUCAAAUCUUGUUUCAACAUAUAUUUUUGGUUAUUGCAAAAUUCAUUUGCUUGAUUGGUGCAACCAUGAUAAAAAAAGCCAUUUUAGUUUUUUGUGGGAGAAAUUUUACAUUUGGAGGUAAUAUUUGAUCUCUUACUCUAGAGAUCUUUCCCAAAAUUUCAACGGUUCGAAAGAAAUUGUUCUCUGAAUAUGCAAGAUUUCUUUGCUGCAAAAAGUAAGCAGCCAUCUAUUCCUUUUCUGAUUUAAAGUCAUUCAGUAACGCCAUGACAAACAACCUUGUCAAAUCCUCUUUCAUUUUUCUCCUGUUGGCUGGAAAAUAUGUUGUCAUAAUUAAGCUCUCAGAUUCUCUCAGGUUACAGCCACGAGAACAGUCGCCGGGGAAAAAAAAAAUAUUUAUCCAUAUUAACUCGAUUUAUCCCUUAUAUUUUAAUUUCCAAUCAAGAUCCCAAACAAACUUAUUCAUUGGAUUGAGCUUCCCGAACAUUGACUUGAUAUUACCAUAAAUGUGUCUAACACAAUGCAUAUAUUCGGCAGCAAGUAAUUGUUUCUUCACAACACUGAUUAAUCUAUACAAAAGCAAACAUCCAAGUAAUAACAUUGGGAAUUAAAUGAAAAGAAAUAAGGUUAAAGCAUUAACAAAUAACCAACAUUACCUUUUGCUGAUUUGAGACCAUCACAAAGCUUGUUUCAUCACCUAAACCUAAGUCUUCUUGUAGCUUCUUCACAAACCACUCUCAGUUAUUUGUAUUCUCUUUCUCGCCAUUUCCCCCAUUCAAUUGGAUAGAUCUGGUUAUCACCAUCCCUCCCAAGUUCUACCAGAAACUGCCCUUUAACCUUAGAAUUCAAGAAGGUUCCAUCAAUAACAAUCAGUUGUUUACAUGUAGCUUUCCAAGACCUUCUCAACACAUGAGAGCACAUAAAUAAUUUUAAGAACAAAUCCUCACCAUCUGAGUUCUUAUAGCUUUGCAUUUCAACAAAACCACUGAAAUUUGAGUGAAAGAUCUCAGUUCCAUCAUCCCUCGUAUAAAAGUGAUAUUUCUUUACAUUUAAAAUCAAUCGAACCGAAUGGUUUGAUUUUCUGGUUCAUUAAUGUUCUUUUCAUUUUUGUAAUUGUUUGUUGAAACUGUAUGGCUCGUUCAUAGUUUUUCUUGUAACCGAAAUAUGAAUGUUUAAAAAACAUAUACUGACUACUGUUCACUAUCUUUUUUAUACUAAAGAUAUAUAUAUCUACAAGAGAAUCUACACUCGAAAAUAAUGCAAUUUCAGCUUGCAAACACUGCACGGAUUAAAUGUAAGGAAAGUAACAAAGAUGGUAUCUUACUUUGGAUUAUCUACUUCUUUCUUCGCAUAUUACUUGCAGAGCCGGCCUUAAAGGAAAGGUAAUGAACCCUGUGCUUGCGGCCGCCAAAUAUUAUCAUUUUAAACGGCCACGUUUGAACAGAAAGUUCUUAGUAUCAUAGUGGUUUGGCUUGAUGUUGUACGCAUCCAAGGUCAUGGGUUCGAAGUGACUCCGGCCACAUUAAUUUUUUUUUUUUUUUUUUUUUUUUUUUGCAUCCAAGGGCAUGGGUUCGAAGUGGCUCCGGCCACAUUAAUUUUUUUUUUUUUUUUUUUUUUUUCAAUAAAAAUUCCUUUAUUUAUUUAAUCAGAGAUUACAACUCUACUACUGCAGGAAAAAAAAACCCACAACCGGGCCAUCAAGAAAUAAAGACUGAAUCCAAACCUGUACUUUCUUCUGCAAACUUUUGUCGCCUAUUUCCUAGCUAUCUCCUAGCUUUCUCUAAAAAGGAACUCCAUCUACUCUUCUACCCUUCAACAAACUUCAAAAUCUACCAAACCAAGUCCCAAGCAAAGUUGUAUCUGUUCUGCGAGAGUUAUGAGCUCUUGACAAGGGGUCCAAACGCGCUAGAACUACUUGCUUGAUCUCAGCAAUCAAAAUCCGAGCUGGUCUGAAACUUUGGUUAUGCACUCUAGCAUUUCUUUCCUUCCAAAUACUAUAUAUCGCUGCUUGAUAUACAAGCUUGAUGAUCAACUUCAAAAACUCAUCCGAGGAAGGGUUACUCAACCAUCUUAACCCAUCCUCAAAUAUCACAGGAGGAGUAAUUGAGAGCCUAGCGCAGAAGAACGACCACACCUCCGCACUGAAGCAGCAGUCAAAGAACAAGUGUUGCCUUGACUCAUCCGCAGCGUUACAAAGGAUGCAACCCGCAGGUACCUGCAGCCCCCACCUUCUCAUUCUGUCCCGAGUGCCCAAUCUGUCUCUAGCCGUCACCCAAGUAAUGAAUGCAUGCUUUGGAAUUCUCCCUUGGAACCACACUUGUCUGUGCCAAAACACUGUCUCUCCUUGCGUUCGAAGGGCUUCCCAUGUACUAGCUGUUGAGAAAGAACUCGACGCUGCAUUAUUUCCCGGUUUCCACAAAUAAAUAUCGUCCACCUCUGACGAUAAAAUAGGAGCCACUUCCGGAAGACAUUCCCUCAACAAUGAUAUGAACCUGUUCCUGCUACGGCUUCUACUAAUCCACCAGGCCCCAUUACUAAUUGCCCCCGCAACAACUUCAUUCUCAUGUAGUCCCGUAACAGCUGGUCCUCGCGGUCCUGUGAUAUCAAUCAGUGGACCUAGAGAUGUCCAAUUGUCGUGCCAGAAACUUGCACUUCUACCGUUACCAACCUCACACACUAGCAUGGGCCGAGCAAGAUAUCUCAGAUUACACAAACUCUUCCAAAUCCAGCUAUCAGUUCUAUGUGGCUGAAGCUCCCAAAAAUUUCUAUCUCCAAUCAAAUGCCUCCUAACGCAAGAAACCCACAAAGAUCCUCCUGCUGCAAAUAAAAGCCAGAUUAACUUUAACCCAAGCACCUCAUUCCAUUCCUCCAAUCUCCUAAGCCCUAACCCUCCUUCUUCCUUAGGUGUACAAACUGAUACCCAUGAGAUUUUCGCACCUCUAGCUGAUGUUGGAGCUCCUCUCCACAAGAAAGCAUUACACAUUUGUUCCAGCAAUUUAAUACACUCUGUGGGAAUGAUGAAUAUCGAGGCCCAGAAAGAUAUGGUGGAGUAUAUCACUGCCUGAAUGAGUUGAAAACGUCCGGCAAAUGACAAGUGACGAACCGUCCAGGAGUUAAAUCUUAAUGAGAUUUUAUCCAGUAGCGGCUGGAAAUCACUUUUCUUCAUCUUCUUUGAUGACAGAGGAACUCCCAAAUAUCUAAUAGGUAGAGACCCUUGCUUAACUCCCAACCUGGCUGCCAUCUCUUGACAUCUAACUGAGCAACCUCCAUCGAUCAGCAACUCUGUCUUAUCUUUAUUUAUCUUCAGCCCUGAUAUUGUUUUAAACUCCUCCAAUAUCCCCAGAAUACCAGCAAGGGACUCCUCAGAUCCAUCAAAAAAAUUAAUACAUCGUCCGCGAAACUAAGGUGAGUGAUAAGUGGCUCCUCGCAUGAAGGAUGUGGCCUGAAUACAUGAUUUUCAGCUCCUUUGUCCAACAUCUUCGACAAAACAUCCAUUGCCAUAACAAAUAGUAGUGAAGAGAUCGGAUCUCCCUGUCUCAAUCCUUUUUUCCCAACAAAAUGCCCGUUCAUCUCACCAUUAACAAUCACUGAGUAGGAAGGAGUUGAGAUACAUUCUUUGAUCCACCCAAUGAAUUUGUUUGGCAUCUCAAAAGACUUCAUCAAGUUAAGGACAAACUCCCAAUGGAUAUUGUCGUACGCCUUCGACAAGUCAAUCUUUAAACAACCUCUACUAAUCUCUCCUUCUUUAUGGAAAUCAUUCACAAGCUCUGAUGCCAAUAACACAUUCUCACAGAGUAACCGCUUCUGCACAAAUCCCACCUGGUUCCUUUGUACAAUACUGUCAACAACCAGCUGUAGUUUCCUCUUUAAGAGCCUUGCAAUGACCUUAUAGAUCGUAGAACACAGAGAUACCGGUCUGAAAAGAUUGAGCUUAUCCGCCCCCACAACCUUCGGUAUAAGAGCAAUUGCUGUUUCAUUGAAACCUUUCAGCAACCUCUCAGCAAUGAAGAACUCCUGUACCGCCUUGACCGAAUCAUUACCUACGACACUCCAUGCCUCCCAAAAAAACUCCACUGGGAACCCGUCAGGCCCUGGCGCCUUGUUCUUUGGUAAAUCAAAGAACAUACUUUUAAUAUCCUCCACUGAAGGAAUCCUGAUCAUCUCCUCCUUGACCCCUUCAGAACAACGAAACACUACCAGAUUUUGUAAUUCCUCCACUGUCAAAGGCACUACCUCCUCAUUAACAGACCCAAGUAGAUUCUGGAAGUAAGAUACCACCAUGUCUUUGAUCUGAGCCUUAUUUGUCACUUUCAAACCAUGCGCAUCUACAAGGUACCUUAUAGCGUUCCUCGCUUGAUGAGCAACUACCGAAUUAUAAUAAAAUUUAGUAUUUGCAUCCCCAUCUUUAAACCAUCGAACUCUUGACUUCCUUAUGAAAAAAAUAUUCUGCGCAGCCUCAAAGAACUUCCAUUUCUUCCUUGCUACAAACUCUUUUCGGAAUAAAGAAUCUGUAGGCGAGGUUAACAGACGUUCCUGAACGCUCUUUAGAUUCAACAUAGCCUCCUUCGCCCUCUGCUGUAUGUUCUCGCACCCCACUCUAUUAAUUUCCCUACAUUUAGAUUCAACAUAGCCUCCUUCGUCCUCUGCUGUAUGUUCUCUAACCCCACUCUAUUAAUCUCCCUACAAGCCUUCUUCACUGCUUUCAAUCUCUGUUUCAGGGAGAACAUCUUUGAUCCUGUAAGAAUACUCUCCUCCCAGGCCACUUGGAUAUCUCCCAAAAACCUAGGGUGAGUCGACAAGAAAGAGAAGUAUUUGAAACUUGUCUUUCGAAACUCAGGUUCCACCUCAAAAUCCACUACACACGGCGCAUGAUCCGAAUCUCCAGGCGCCUCAAACACCGCUACAACCUCCUGAAAACUCUGUCUCCAAGUGUCAUUUCCCAACGCUCUAUCCAAUUUUCUUAGAAUAGGAGGUCUCCCAUUCGACCAAGAAAAGAAUACUCCACGCGUUUCCAGAUCAUCCAACCCGCUGUCUAGUAAACACUCCUGAAAUUCCCUCAUCCCACUUACUGGGAGCUGGUAUGAAUCAAUAGAGAAAUGUUCUGAAGCCACUCUGAUCUGAUUGAAGUCUCCCAAUACCAGCAGAGGAGCUUCCAUUACCAAUCUAUUUCCUGAAACUGUAACCAGCUCUUCCCAUAAACUUCUUCUCUGGAUCUCUGUGUUAUAAGCGUAUACAAAUAUUACCGUGAAUGAUAAUCCUGUCUCCGGUCUAAUCUUUUCUAGCGACACUUGUUAGUCUUAAAUUGGCUUCUAGCGACACUUGUUAGUCUUAUCUAAAUUGGCUUCUAGCGACACUUGUUAGUCUUAUCUAAUCUUUUCUACUUUUACCAAGUCAUUAUUGUUUUGACAACCCAAAAAAUAAUAACAAAUGUUGUUAAAAUGCCCAGGACUAAAAUAUCUUUUGUUAACAACAUUUGUUUUAUUAUUUAGUUAAAAUAUCUUUUGUUAACAACAUUUGUUAUUAUUUUUUAAUAUUUUUAAAGUAAUAUAAAGCUUUAAAAUGUAAAAUUUAGAGUUUUAAAAUGUUUUAUUUUAAUUAUUAAUAGUUUCAUUUAAGUUGUUUUGUAAAAUUUUAGAUAUAUAUGACAAAUAUUCAACUAAAGUUGAUGGAAUUGGGUAUAUCAUGUCCUUUUCAGAUCCUAAAAACCUCAACUAAAGUUGAUGGAAUUGGGUAUAUCGUGUCUUUUUCAGAUCCUAAAAACCUGAAUCCGAUCCGGACCCGAUAUGGACCCGAAAAAUUACGGGUAUUUUAUGGGUAUUUUAAUUAUAGACCCGAACCGAACCGGAUCCGAGAAAAACCGAUCCGAACCCGAACCGAAAAUUUUUAAAUACCUAUUGGAUCUAAAUAUUUAGGACCUGAAAAGAGCCGGACCCGAAAGGAACCGGUCCGAACCCGACCCGAAGACCCGAACUCCCGGGCCUAGUCUCUGAGUAAUCUUUCUUCUACGGCGUUUUUCCCCUCUUAUCUCUCGUAUUGUAUCUUCUCCCCUAUACACCUCCCUUGAUUCGCCGAUGUCUAUUAUGAGGACUAGUCUCCAGGACGGUCGAUUCAUCAGUAAGUUCUCUCUAGAUCUGUCAUCUUGCCUAUUGUUUCAGUUUUUACCUUUUUUAUUUUUUUUGGUAUUUGAAAUUUAUCUCUCGUUGAUUAGAAAAAACUAGACCAUUAGGUUUUCACCAACUAAUGGAUACGAUGGGCAAUUGUUAUUUCGUAAUUUACUUAUUUCAUUUCUGUUCGCAGGGGCAAAAACAAUAGCCUUCUGGGACAUCAAUGCUUGCCAGAUACCUGAUGGCCUCGGUGCAGGAGUUAUAAGUGAGAGCGUUAACCAGACCCUUAUGAACAUGAAUUACUAUGGUGAAUUGUGUUUGAGGCUAUAUGGCGACACUGAUAUGGACAAACUCGUUCCUACUUAUCAUACAUUUGACUUCUGUGGCCUGCCUCGUAUGUUAUUGAAUCCUUUCUUUAAUCUUUCUCUCUUUUACAUGUGUCACUGUAUCUUGAUGAUGAUAUGUUUAUAUAUGGUUUCCGGUUCUAAAGACACGACAAUAUUGGAGCAGAUAUUAGUGGACUUAUACGGUGACACUCUGUUUAAUCGUGGUACACAAAUUAAUAUGUUGCUAAUUGUUGGAGAUUUAUCAAAAGACAAAGCCAUCAUCGACGCUUUCUGCCCCCAUUCAACAGUCUAGGAAAGGGCCAUAACUGUUUCUAUUAAUCCAUUUCCCCAUCCAAGUCCUUAAUUUUUUUUUCCACCAAAUUUUGAUUUUAUUAAUGAUCAGCCAUCAGCUGUUGAGGCAGCAGUAUUCUCCUCUGAAGUUCAGCUUCCACCUUGGGAAAAAAUUGUAGAAACUGCUUUUGCGAUUUGUGAAAAGAAGGAGAAAGAGAGAGUAGAUUACAGAAAAGAGAUCAGAAGAAAUACCAGCCAAAGUUAGCCUGUGUCUUUGGUGAAUUCUUAAGACAAAAUCAAACAAGCUUUCUCUCACUAUAUUGCUUCGUUUAUCUCUAAACUCUUGCAUCUUUCCUUUGAUUUUCUGUUGCUAAAACCUUGGAUUUUAACAUAAAGCAAUAAAAAACAAAAACUAUGGAUUUGGUUAUGUUAUUUUUUCAUUCUAUAUGUUUCAUUUUGCUUUCAUAACUUUGGAU